This 104026-nucleotide long non-coding RNA is filed under the name Brassica napus (rape). RNAcentral's name for it is "long non-coding RNA (BNAP_LNC023855)". The record is from RNAcentral. Lineage: Eukaryota; Viridiplantae; Streptophyta; Magnoliopsida; Brassicales; Brassicaceae.
UUAUUUAAUGUGCAAAUCUCCAAAAUAGCACCUUUAUAAGUUUAUAUCACAAAAAUAGCACUCCAAAACUAAAAUGACCAAAAUAGCACCUUUCUAAGUUUAUCCUUUGAAAUUUUUAAUUUUUUUAUUUUUCAAAAUUUGAAAUCUUAUCCCCAAAAUCUCAUUUCUCAACUCUAAACCCUAAACCUUAAACUCUAAACCCUAAACCCUAAACCCUAAACCCUAAACUCUAAACCCUAAACCCUAAACUCUAAACCCUAAACCCUAAAUCCUAAACCACACCCUUUAACUCUAAACCCUAAGUUUGUGACUUUUGAUAAAACAUUAAGUGCUAUUUUUGUGACUUUUGACCUUGAGUGCUAGUUUGAGAACAAAAACUUGAUUUAGUGUUAUUUUUGUCUUUUUCUCUUAUUUAAACCCAUUUUCUUUUAUGUUGUUAUUCUUUUAAAAGCCCAAUUAUUUUUCGUACGUACAGUAAAUACAAAUUAACAUUCUAUAAAACUUAAAUCUUGGCAGAGAUAAUAGUUGUUCUUGCGUUUAAACAUGAUGCGGAACUCUCUAAAAACAUUGGUUUUUAUUUAAAAACUCUUACAUGAAGAACACAAACUUUAAAAUCUGACUUAAUCCCUGAUUAAAACAGAAAAGAGGUAUAACAAUACCUUAUUAUAAAGUUUCUAACCUAAUAUUUGGGUCCCAUCCACCUUUUCCUGUCCCAUUUUUGCAUCACCCAACUAAGCACCUUUUCACAUAGCAAUUUGAUCGAUUCAAAGCUCUCAAGUCUUGGGGGUCUGUUGCGAUGAAGUUAUAAGUGAAUGAGAGUAGAUUACACGGGUUACCAGAGAUAGUUAAUUCAACUGGAAUUUUUUUUGCCAAUACGGAGGUUCCUAGUUCGAAUGAUUGCUGAAACAAAAUGUUAUUGGAUGAAUUCCCCUUGAGGGGUUCAUUAUAUUAGAUAGGCUAUAUAAAGCCAAAGUUGUUACACAUAUCACGUUAUACAGUUGAGAUAUUAACGAGAUAGAUACUAGAGAAUGAGAAAUAUUCUCUUAUAUUCUUUCACCCUCCCGCAGUCGAAGCAUCGUAUGGUAAGAUGGUGAGACUGGAGCGGAACUGUUCAAAGAGUGUUGUCAGGAGUCCUUUUGUGAAGAUGUACGCAUAUUGGAGUGAUGUUGGGACGUGUAACACUUUCACUUCACCAAUGGCCACCUUCUCGCGUACGAAAUGGAUAUCCAACUCCACGUGUUUUGUCCUUUGAUGUUUGACGGGGUUAGAAGAGAGGUAUACUAAUCCAAUGUUGUCGCAGUAGAUGAGAGAGGCUUUGGUGAUCUUGUAGUGGAGUUAAAGCAUUAGGUUGCGUAUCCAGCAGAGUUCUGCAACCGUGUUGGCAACACCUCUGUAUUCAGCUUCAGAGCUCGAUCUUGAAACCGUUGGUUGUCUCUUAGCUGACCAGGAGACAAGACUUGGGCCGAGAAAGACACAGAACCCUGAGGUUGAUCUUCGAGUAUCAGGACAACCUCCCCAGUCCGCAUCUGUAUAGGCUGUCAAUGUGUCGAUGUUACCUCUAUAGAGCUGUUGUCCAUGUGAAAUUGUACCCUUGACAUAUCAUAUGAUGCGCUUCAAUGCUUGAAAAUGUGGAACGCGAGGGUCAUGCAUAUAGAGACAAAUUUGAUGGACUGCGUAGGAGAUGUCGGGGCGUGUGAAUGUGAGGUACUGUAAGGCUCCUGCUAAGCUGUGAUAUUCUUUGGGGUUCUCAAGCUUGUCUCCUUCCUCUGCUGAAAGUUUGGAUUUGAUGUCUACGGGCGUGGUGACCGGUUUUGAUGUUCCCAUGUUUGCGCGAUCGAUUAUGUCCUGAGCAUACGCGCUUUGACUGAGGAAGAGGCCUUCUUUGUUGAAGUCCGCCUUUAUUCCUAGGAAGUGCUGAAGACGACCAAGAUCAGUCAUGGGAAAUUCGGUUUUGAGUACCGCAAUGAUCUUGUUUAGGAGUGUCGUUGAUGAUGCUGUUAAGACAAUGUCAUCAACGUAUAACAGAAUGUAUGCGAGUUCAGCUCCUUUCCCGAAAACAAAUAAAGAUGUAUCCGCCCUGCUAAUGACAAAGCUAAGUUUCAUUAGAAAUUUUGCAAAGCGCGCAUUCCAGGCCCGUGGAGCUUGCUUUAGACCAUAGAUAGCCUUUCGAAGCUUGCAGACAUGGUUGGGAUGUUCUUUGCUGACAAAACCUGGCGGCUGAUGCAUGUAGACUGUCUACUCUAGGUCACCAUGGAGGAAGGCGUUUUGUACAUCCAAUUGAUGCAUCGGCCAGUUGUUUGCGACACCCAUGUGGAGUACAGUCCGAAUGGUUGCUGGUUUCACCACCGGGCUAAAGGUUUCGUCGAAGUCAAUACCUGCCUCCAGUGAUUUACCAUUCGCGACUAUACGAGACUUGUGCUUCUUGAGCUUCCCAUUUCCAUCGUAUUUGUGUCUGUGGAGCCACAUUGACCUGAUAAUAUUGACAUUUUUCGGACGUGGUACCAAGUCCCAAGUCCUAGUCUUAAGCAUAGCACCAUAUUCAUCAAACAUUGAUGGGUUCCAGUUUGGGUCGGCUAAGGCUUGGAUAUGGCUCUUUGGUAGGGGCGAUUUGGUAGUGGUAAGAAGAGAAACAAUAGGUUUAGGUUUUGUGAUUCCAGACCGUGCUCUCGUUGUCAUUGGGUGACGAGAUGGAGCCGUCUGAAUGGGGUUAAUGGGUGGGUUGGGUUGUGGUGGCUGAGGCGCAGGUAGAGGUUUGGUAAGUAUGGUUUUGAAAAUGGGUGCGGGUUCAUCUUGAUGGUCAAGAAAGUGAUACUUUGAACCACCAUUUUUUGUUUCUGCAUCAGGGAAUUUGUCCUCAUCAAAGUAGACGUGUCUGGAAAGGAUUAUUUUGUUGGUUUUUAGGUUUAGACAACGGUAACCACGGUGUUGAGAUGGGUAGCCAAGAAAUAGGCAAGGUGUAGAGCGAGGUGAGAGUUUAAAGAGAUGGGAAUGGUUGAGGUUUGGAAAGCAUAAUCAACCAAACACUCUUAAGUGGUCAUAAGUCGGGGUUUGAUGAAAGAGGACAGUAUGUGGUAUUUGGUUUUGGAUUGCUGCAGAAGGAAUGAUGUUGAUGAGAUGAACCGCGACAUGGAGGGCUUCAACCCAAUAACUCGGUGAGAGUUUAGCCUGAGCAAGUAAAGACCGGAUAGCACUGUUGAUCGUGCGGAUCAUGCGUUCGGACUUACCGUUUUGCUGAGACGUAUGGGGAUAGGAAAAUCUAACUUGUAUUCCAUUCUUAUCAAGGUAUUUUCGAAAUUGAAUGUUGUUAAAUUCCUCUCCAUUGUCACAUUGGAAGUUUUUGAUUAAGGCAGAGAAGUGAAGGAAUUUUGAGAAGACCUCACUAUUCUUUCUUAUGGGAUAUACCCAGACAUAAUGAGAGAAUUGAUCCAUGAAUAAAACAUAGUAGCGAACGCCACUUAUGCUUAAUUUAGGAGAGGACCAAACGUCCGAAUGGACGAUUUCAAAAGGGCCGUAGUUUGAGUAGAUGAUUUGUGAAAUGGUAAUUUUGUUUGUUUGGAAAUUAGGCAAGGUUCACACGAAGAUGGAAACAAAGUCUUAUUGAUUUAAUAGAAUUUGAAGAACAAAGGGAAUUUAAAACAGCUUUAUUUGUAUGGCCAAGUCGUUUGUGCCAUAAAAAAGGAGAAGACGCUAAAAGAGCAGCGAAAGAAAUAAAGAUGUAUCCGCCCUGCUAAUGACAAAGCUAAGUUUCAUUAGAAAUUUUGAAAAGCGCGCAUUCCAGGCCCGUGGAACUUGCUUUAGGCCAUAUAUAGCCUUUCGAAGCUUGCAGACAUGGUUGGGAUGUUCUUUGCUGACAAAACCUGGCGGCUGAUGCAUGUAGACUGUCUACUCUAGGUCACCUUGGAGGAAGGCGUUUUGUACAUCCAAUUGAUGUAUCGGCCAGUUGUUUGCGACACCCAUGUGGAGUACAGUCCGAAUGGUUGCUGGUUUCACCACCAGGCUAAAGGUUUCGUCGAAGUCAAUACCUACCUCCAGUGAUUUACCAAUCGCGACUAUACGAGACUUGUGCUUCUUGAGCUUCCCAUUUCCAUCGUAUUUGUGUCUGUGGAGCCACAUUGACCUGAUAAUAUUGACAUUUUUGUAUGACAUAAAAAAGGAGAAGACGCUAAAAGAGAAACGAAAGUUACAGGCGAUUGCGUUUUGAUGGAAGCUGGAACAGAGUACAAAUCGCCUGAGCUCUCACCGCGGAGCAGGGUUUUCUUGGUGAGAAGGUCUUUCACAGAAAAGCCAAAGGGGUCAAAAUCAACAGAACACCAUUUAUCACGAGUAAAUUUGCGAACAGAGAUUAGGUUUUUCACAAUCUGGGGAGUUACCAGAACAUUGGAUAAGGUUAGAGGACGAGUUGGUGUUUUAAGAAGAGAAGAACCAAUAGAGGUUACAGGGAUUUUGGAACCGUUACCCACAAUGAUCGAUUUACCGGUGCUAUUAUUAAGAUUGACGUGAGAGUACUUGCCGAGUUUGUGAUGUGUGUUGUGGCACCGGAGUCCAUGAACCAGUCCGCAAUGAUGUUGUCUGGCAUCGUGUCUGUCGUGUAAGCUUCUCUGAAUGGUUGGAGUUCCGUGAGUUGAGCUUGAUGAUUGUUGUUGAAGAUUGGUCUCGGCGAAGGAGAAGCAGUUGCAUACGGGCCUCGGUUUGUUGGUUGUUGAUUGAAUGGGCUUCAAUUUGCAAGCUGGGCCGGCCAGUUGGUCAUUGGGCCUUGAGUGGACCACAUCUGUGGGGGAGCCCAGUAAUUGAAGUUAGGGCGAGAGUUGUAGUUGCUUCGUCCUCGGUAGCGGUUGCCUCUGCGAUUUCCCCGGUAAUUGUUGGAGUUGUUCCGUGUUUUCUGGUUUCGGCGUGGCUGAGUGUUGUUGCUUUCGUUAGUAGCAGUCAUGGUCGAGGUGGAGGAAGAAGAUGUGUCCUUGUGAACCGGUAGAGGUUGCUUGUGAGCCUUCUUCAAUCGUUCCUCCAUCUCCAGCAUCGAGGUUGCGUUGUCAAACGAAGGGAACAGCUCCUUAUGUUUGAUAACAUUGAUAAUGUUAUCAUAUUUCUCAUUUAGACCAUUUAGCAAGUACAUGACAAGGGUCCUAUCAGAGAUCGGCGCAUCCACAUUGGUGAGAAGACCUGCAAGCGAUUUGAGUUUCUGUGUGUACUCAUGGAUGGUUUGAUCACCUAUUUCAAUUGUGCGUAGGUCGUUGUCGAGCUGUAUGGCCCGUGCCUCCUUGUUGCUGUGAAAUUGAUUUUCGAUGCGUAGCCACACAUCUCGGGCCGUACCGCCGGUUUUGAAGCUUGAUCGGAACAGGGGCUGCGUGAGGGUUCUGUAGAUCCAGAGCUUUACAAGACCGUCUCGUUUUUGCCAGGCAACAUCAGCAUCGUCUUGUGGUUGAGUCGUGCCGUCAAGAUGUCCUAGCACAUCAAAGGCUAAGCAGUGGGGCAUGAAAAGCUCUCUCCAGGCAUCAUAAUUGUGGUCAACCAGAUCAAGUGUGAUCGGGAUAUGGGUUUUGAUAUUUGUAACGCCAAAGGCGCGUUCAUGUGGUUGGGGUUGGGGUUGAGCCAUUUUGCGAAGACAGAAAGAUAUUAGAAAAAAAGUGUGAGAUAAGAGAUAAUAGAGAAGAGUUGGCGUAGAAAAAAUUCAGAUCAUAAGCUAUAGCUCUGAUACCAUGUUAUUGAUGAAUUUUCCUUGAGGGGUUCUGUGAUAACCCGCCCUUCGGGAUUAAAAAAAAAAAAAAAAAAAAAUGAAUGUGGAGCCGAGCAUUUGGGAGUCUAAGUAUCAGGAGGAAUGUUGAGUUUUGAUCACAUAAAACUUGACAUGAUUCGAAGAAAAGAGAAGACUGGUCGAACAUCAACUUGGUGGUCGAACCGCGGGCGGUAAGGAUCGAUCGACAAAUUUCGAAGAACGAGGUGGUCGAAGAAUUGUUUGCGAGGGAACUAUGAGUCGAAUAAGCUGCUCGACCAUAGUUAGAAGAUGUCUUAGAUUGAUCAGACGAAAGUUUUGGAAGCAUAACAUUUUUGGAAGCACGACGUUUCAGAAGCUCGACGUUUUGAAGACCGACGUUUCUUCAUUACGAAGUUUUCUCGGAAAAUCUUCGUAUCAGUAAAAUAUUAUUCUGGAGACAUAAUAAGUUGGAAGCAGGACGGAAAUUAAGCAGGACGGGAAGCAAGCACGACGGGAUCGAAGCACGACGGGGAAAACCCGAAAUUGGGCAAAAACCCUAAUUUCGGUAUUAUGGAAUUCUUCGAGGAAGCCGGAGGCUCGGGAAAUAUUUUUACAGGAUAUCAGAAUUCAUCUGGAGUCUAUUAAAAAUAUUUAGAGCAUCAGAACGGGAGCGGAAAAAUAUUCGGGAUUGAUCGCGGGUCAGAAAUUUGCCGGAAGGGUAAAAAAUCGCGUAAACCGACCGAGAAGCUCGAGGUGGCUCGUUGCAUGGGUUCAGAACGUGGUGUCAAGCAUCUAACAAGCUGAGUGUCUCCAGAAGCUCGAGGUGUCGCCGUGCAUGGAAGCUGUACAUGCAGCCUGACAUGUAGAAGCACGAGGUGGAUCGACCAAGCACGAGGUGUCUCCGCGCAUGCAACCGAAGCAUGCUGAUCGACAUGUGUGUACUGGUGUGGCUUCUUGCAUGCACUCCAGGCAUGCAUCCUGACAUGUGGGAGGAGUGGUGGCGUCCUGCAUGUGUCCUGGACAUGCAGCCUGACAUGUGGAGCACGAGGUGCCGCCGCGCAUGCGUCCGGAGCCAUGCGAAGCGACACACGGGCUGCCACCAACCUGAAGCUGAUUGGCUGGUGUCUCCUAUAAAUACCCCACGACCCCAGCUCAUUUCUUCACAUCCAGACCUGUCCAAACCAAGUUAAAAACGUGAGAGAGAAGUAGAAAAAGAAAGGAAGUGAUUCCGAGCUAUUUCGAGAAUUUUAGAGAGUUUUCGAGGUCAGUUCUCUACUGAUUUCGAGUCAGCGCCUAGGGACGGUUCUGUCCAACUGAAUUCGUCCAGGGCACUCAGUUCCUUUUAUGAUCAAGUGGAGAUGCUGUCCGGAGUUAGUUCAGUUCUACGGGUUCAGAUCAGUCGAAGUUCUGCUCGAUACUCCGCCGGGAAGUCCGAAGAACUGUCCAGAAGCUAAAGGAGGUUCUGUCCGAGUCAAGAUCAGUUUGUCGAGGCCUGUCAGUUUCUUCAUGGUGAAGCCGAGGUUCUUUCCAAGUCAAGAUCAGUCCAAGUCGAGAUCAGUCCAGUCCACUCCAUUCAAGUCGUCCCUUGGGUUUUGGCCAAGUCCUCUCCGAUCAACCAGCUACUUCUCGCCUAGAACACUGUGAGUUGGUUUUGUGUGAAUUCCAUUUGGAAUUUAGGGUAGAUCGAGUAGCAUAUAGAUUGGAAUGAUCAAUCUAUUGAAUGGUAGAGUCCUUAGGGUUAUUUAUUUAUGGAACUGGACUCAGUUUAGCAAGGGCUAAGCUGAGAUGAAUGGAAUUAAGACUGAGUUGAUAACCUGACUAGGACUAGGGCUAGGAUGCAUCAUGUUUUCUAUUCUUGUGUGUUGAUAUGAUUGAGUGCAGGUUCCCGUUAUCUUUAAAGAUAGUGUCGUAGCAGGAGGCCGAACUAUCUGGGUAACGGUUUGAUUGAGUAGAUUGAUUGAGUAGAUUUAAUUAAAUGCUUGCUCGUUUAAUUAAUCUUGUUGAUUGAGGUUAGUCAUCUCUUGGUAAGGGAGUGACUAACUGGUUGAGUUGUUUAGUUUUGGGUUGGAGUCUUGUCCCUUAGGUCUUUCCUAGGGAUAAUUGUGUCGAGUGUGUGUUAUGCCGACAGCAGGUGCGAAACCCGCCCAUGCUAGGCAUGUUUUGGGGUGGACUAGUGUUUCCUCGCCCUCGUAUUCAGCGGGUUCAAGGAAACCCCUUAUUCGCUGGAUCGGGAAGACUCAGAUAGACGGGGUCAUGGCCUAUGGCUGAGUGAUUACACGACGGUGUAAUGUGGCAGUGACCCGAAGGACUGUGGGCUGUCGCGCGGUGACCCGAAGGACUGUGGGCCGCGGUCGGUUGAAAGUUCCUUCUUCUGGCCUUUGUGGUAGGGAGAUAGGAUAUUGCCGAUAGAGAGGAGGAACACGAAGUCACCAGGGCCCAGGUUAGAGUGUUGUGUUAGUGUGUCGUAGAGGGUUAUGGAACCCUCGAGUUAAUGUAGCACCGAUAUACGGUGUUACGAGUAAGAUCGAGUCAUUGGUAGUUACUAUCUUAUUAUUAUUGUGAUUGUGUUUGGUUGUUGAUUGUUUGCUUGCAGGUUCUGACAUUAAGUCCUAAGUCUGGUUUAGGUACCGGAUUAGGCUUGUGUGUAUUUUGUUAGUGUAGGCCUGACGUUGGCCUGUAUGUGUUUGAGGGAUUGCUUGUGAAGGGUGGUGGAUAUUAAAGCUAUGCGGUAUCAUUGGUUGGCCGAUCAUGUUCUUGUUUGAUUGUUGGUCGACCGGCUCAUGAUACUUGUAUAGUCUAAGUGUCUAACACUACAUGAGUACUGAACUCAAGCGUAUAUAUGGUUAACUAGGGAUUGGUUGUUGACUUGUUUAAAUGCAGGUUCCCGUUACUUGAAGUUAGAUUAUGGCAGGAGGCCAAGUCUAACUUAGUAACGGUUUGCUUAGCCUUAGCUUAUAUUGCAUGCUAGGGCUAGAUUGAUUGUUAUUUUGGGUUAUCUGGGUUAGAGUCUAGGUUGCGGGUAGAGGCCGCCAGCUCACUGAGUAAUACUAGAUUACUCAUCCAACUCCGUUGUCCUUUUUGCAGGUCGCUUUAGGUAAGGAUGAUCAGAUAGCUUGGUGCUGGAAGUUAGGACCGCCGGUGUAGAUUUUCAUGCCUUUUGUAAACGGUAUUGUGAAUUGUGUUAUGUUGACUCGAUUUGGCAUUAGGCCGGGCCCAGUCUUGAAUUAUUCAAUGUAUGAAUAUUUCUUAAAUCAAUAAAAGUAAUUGUUUUAUAUGCUCUUCAUGAGUACUCUGAUAUUUGACUAGUCCGGUCUAACACAACGUUAGGUCGUGGUACGGGUUGAAAAGCUUUAGGCCUCGAUCUAACGGAAAACGCUAACUCUAGGUACAGGUUGCAAAGCCUUGUGCCUUGACGCAGCGGGACGUGUUAGUAGACGAACUGGUCGAGGUCGUGGAGUAAAUUUUGUGACUCUGGCCGGAUCGUCCCUAACCCGUCACGUAGCGCUUCCGGACCAUGGUGUUGGGUUGGACGGUCAGUCAUGUUCUUGUUUGAUUGUUGGCUGGCCGGUUGGCCUUUCAUCUCCAACUCUUGGUGUGGGUAGUCCGUCGGUCAUGUUCUUGUUUGAUUGUUGGCCGGUGGGUUGACCUAUGCCUAGGACGGUUUGGGGGUGUUACAGGUUCAUUAUAUUAGAUAUGCUAUAUAAAGCCAAAGUUGUUACACAUAUUACGUUAUACAAUUGAGAUAUUAACGAGAUAGAUACUAGAGAAUUAGGAAUAUUCUUCUAUAUUCUUUCACAAAACUAAUAUCAAAAUGUUGUUAUUUGAAGCAUAAGGUAUUAGGGAAUUUGUGUCCGAACUUUUUGAUAUUAAAAUAAAAAUUCAAGGAUUCAUUUUAUUUUAAUCUUGGAUGCAUGGGAAUCUCACUGUAUUUUGGAAGAGUUGUUUUGCUAUAGGUGUGAGUAUUCGGAUGUUCUAGGAAUUAUUAGAGCUUCAUUAGUAUAAUUGAAAAUGAAUUUGACUAUUGUGUUAAAGAUUUCCGAUUUGAGUCACAAUUGAAACAAAACUAAUACUGAAUUUUGUUUUCGGCAUGAGGGAUUAUAGACUUCGGCCCUGAAAUUACUCGUAUUCAGAAAAAAAAAAAAAUUAUUCCAGAGGUUCAUUUUAUAUUUUAUCUUGGAUGCCUAGAAUCUCAUUGCAGUUUCGUAGAAUUGUUUUGCUGUUUUUGUGAGCUUUUUUCCGUGAGACUAUUCCUCGGUGAAACUAGCGAAUCGCAUGGAACCAGAAAUUCUAAAACAACCUUUAGACUCCAUGUUCAGUAUCGAUGUUAAGCUUUUCAAGUAGAUACCAAAAUAUUUUUUUUAAAUUGUUUUAUCUUGGACUUUAACUAGUAAAUCUGACAACAACAUGCAUCAGUAGUACAUAUGGCAUAGUAAUAACCAUGAUCUCUACACCAAAAAUGGCAGGCGCCUGCUCCUCCACGACGACAUAUUUCUUCGUCGAAACACUGUUUAUCCAUCUCCUUUACUCCAUAACCUGUUUUAUAAAAUAAAUAUUACUGACCCUUAAUCUAGGGGUUUUUGCCAAAACUAACCCACAACUUGAUUUUAACCCCAAACAUAUACCCAAACUUGAAUCAAAUGCAAAAUUAACCUAAAAGCCUAGUGAAAUUACAGUUCAGCCCCUUGUGACCAAACAAAAAAACAGAAGCCAUUUUUACGAAUAUAGCCCUAGUAAAUCGUCUGAGUCGUCUGAGAUGUUGGAAGUCGUAUGGACGACUGAAGUGUAAGUCGUCUGGUACCGGUUUAUUUUAAAAAUAAUUUAUAAAUCUUGUAAAAAAAUAUUUCGAUGCGUGAAAAAUAAAAAUCAAGUAAUUAUAAACAGUUUUAAGUGAUAUAAAUUAAGAUAUGAUAAAAUUGAUUUGUUUUGAAGAUAGAUGAGUGGAAGUAGUGAAUCAUGAAAUACUUUGGUUUAGGAGUUUGGCAAACAUAUGUUGUAGUAUUGUAUGUAUUGUUAGGGUUAGAUUUUGGAAAACUAAAAUGUUUUUUUCAAAAAUUAGUUUUCACCUAUAUGUGUUUAUUUAUGUGUAUAGUAAACACUUUUCAAGUUUGAUUUGAUUUUAUGAAGUCUUUAAUUAGAUAAUUAAGUUUAGGGGUUAUGUUUAGGGUGUGGACGACUUAUAUUUCAGUCGUCUGUUGAAUAAUUUACUCGGACGACGUAUAUUUCAGUCGUCCACAUCGUACCGAACCUUUAAUUUUACCAAUGUACGUUUUAACCUAACCGGAUCAUUUUACUCGGACGACUUACAUUUCAGUCGUCUGGUGAAGAAAUUAAAACAGAUGACUUACAUGUAAGUCGUCCAAAUAUUCCCGCCUAAAAUUUUUUAAAAAAAUUAUUUUCCCGCUUAAAUAAUUUAAACCAGACGACUUACUUGUAAGUCGUCUGGAAAGUCUUCUAUUUUAGUUUCCCGCUAAAAAUAUUUAAUUUCCCGCUAAAAAUAUUAAACUCUUCUGGACGACUUACAUGUAAGUCGUCUGUUUUAAUUUCUUCACCAGACGACUGAAAUGUAAGUCGUCCAGGAAGUCGUCUGAGUAAAAAAUAUUUAAUCUAAUUGGAUUUUUUGUCUCCCUAUAUAAAGAAAAAUUUACACAUUCUCUCUCCUCCUCUCAAAUGGCUGCAACAAAAAUGUAAUGUUCAUCAUUCUAAAACUCUCCAACCUCUCUCUAAUCUCUUUGACUUGAAAACACCAAACUUUAUAUGAAUUUUUCAGUUUUGUCUCAUGUAUUUCUUACUAAUCUAUCUCUUUUACAGGUUUUUAAUCAAAUGGUACUCAUCUUCCAUUAAUUUAAAGGUAAAUCUAUUAAUUUUAGAUAUGUAUUUUUGUGUGUUCUAUAAAUGUAGAUUUAUCUAAUCUUCCACUCAUUUUCUCUAUUUUUAAGUCAUUUGAACGUUUUUGGAUAUGCAGGUUUUUCAGAUCUGGAUUUGAUAUGCAGGUUUUUCAGAUCUGGAAGACUUCUUGGACGACUUACCUGUUAGUCGUCUGGAAGUCGUCUGGACUUCUUGGAAGUCUUCUGACAAAGUCGUCUGGACUUCCAGGAAGUCGUCUGGACUUCCAGGAAGUCGUCUGGACUUCAUGGAAGUCUUCUGACGAAGUCUCCCUUUCAUAAUAGAUCUGAGCGUUUUGGUAAGUUCUUAUGUCUGAUUUUUCUUCAUUUGGUAACUUCUUGUUGUAUAAAGUUCUUACUUUUUUCCCAAACUAAAACUCUCCAAACCCACUCUAAUCUCUUUGACUUGAAAACACCAAACUUUAUAUGAAUUUUCCAGUUUUGUCUCAUGUCUUUCUUACUAAUCUAUCUUUUUUGCAGGUUUUUAAUUAGAUGGUACUCAUCUUCCACUAAUUUAAAGGUAGAUCUAUUAUUUUUAGAUAUGUAUUUUUGUGUGUUCUGUAAAGGUAGAUUUAUCUAAUCUUUCACUCAUUUUUUCUGUUUUUAAGCCAUUUGAACGUUUUUGGAUAUGCAGGUUUUUCAGAUCUGGAUUUAAUAUGCAGGUUUUUCAGAUCUGGAAGACUUCUGGGACGACUUACCUGUUAGUCGUCUGGAAGUCGUCUGGAAGUCGUCUGGACUUCUUGGAAGUCUUCUGACAAAGUCGUCUGGACUUCCUGUAAAGUCGUCUGGACUUCCUGUAAAGUCGUCUGGACUUCCUGUAAAGUCGUCUGGAAGUCGUCUGAACUUCCUAAAAGUCUUCUGACAAAGUCGUCUGAACUUCCUGGAAGUCGUCUGGACUUCUUAGAAGUCGUCUGGACUUCUUAAAAGUCGUGUGGUCUUGUCUACUCAAGUGGAAUCCAAGCUUGUCUUUGUAGAGGAAUGAUCUAUAAUAGUUUUGUUUGUGGUCUGUUUUGUGAAUUGCAUGUAUACUCUUUUAGUUGUGAAUUUUUUGUAAAAUCAGUAAUAAUGUUUUCCAAGAUGUAUUAAAUGUGCUAACAAUGUGUUUACACAUUUACAAAUCAAUGAAAUAAUAGACUUCAGUAGCCUUUUUCUUAUCUUUGGAUCUCUCAUAUGCAAUAAUAAACUCCAAUGGCCUUUUUCUCAUCUUAAUAAACAAGAAUGUUGGUAGCUUUAUAUUGAUACAACAUUUUAAGAAGUAUUUUAACCCUUCUUCCAACUCAUAACAAUAGUCAUCAUUAUUGUCUAUAACAAUAAUACUUAAGAGAUGGAAACAAACAAUAGUAACUAGUCAAAGCAUAUCAUAUUUUUUAUAAGUUUGCAUUGAAAAACUUAGUCAAAUUUAGUAAAACUAAGGGAGAGAACAUAUUUUGUAAAUAUGAGUUUUACAUAUCUUGAAGUUACUUAUCACUCUUAAAAAUACAAGUUAUUCAAAAACUAACGUAGAAGACUUAAAAACUAGCGGAGAAGACGCGGACGACUUCAAUCUAAGUUGUCUAGACGACUAAACUAUAAGUCGUCUGGUCAACGCAGAGGUUAUUUUUGCAAUUGACUUUGAAAUCUGUUAUUUCGGACGACUGAAAAAUAAGUCGUCUACUAUUGUUUGGCUAAAAAAAAAACUCCAAAAAAGCUAGACGACUUACAUUUCAGUCGUCAUAGGUUAGUUUUGCAUUUGACUGGAUUAUUUCAGAAGUUUGACUUUUCUGGACGACUUACAUUUCAGUCGUCUAGUGAAAAUUAAAAUAAUAAUAUUUUUUUAAAAGUAGACGACUUACAGUUAAGUCGUCAUAGGUUAGUUUUGCAAUUGAAAAAAAAAACUUCAAGAUUUAAUUAUAUACAGACGACUUAUAAUUCAGUCGUCCACGAGACGACUGAAAUGUAAGUCGUCCAGGAUUUACGAGGUUUGACCAGAAUCUCGGAAAAAAAUCCUGGACGACUUACAAGUAAGUCGUCUCGUGGACGACUGAAUUAUAAGUCGUCUGUGUAUAAUUAAAUUUUGAAGUUUUUUUUUUCAAUUGCAAAACUAACCUAUGACGACUUAACUGUAAGUCGUCUACUUUUAAAAAAAUAUUAUUAUUUUAAUUUUCGCCAGACGACUGAAAUGUAAGUCGUCUGGGGAAGUCAAACUUCUGAAAUUAUCCAGUCAAAUGCAAAACUAACCUAUGACGACUGAAAUGUAAGUCGUCUAGGUUCUUUGGAAAUUUUUUUGAAACCAAACAAAAACAGACGACUUAACUUUCAGUCGUCUCAGGUUACAGAUUUCAAAGUCAAUUGCAAAAAUAACCUCUGCGUUGACCAGACGACUUCCAGGUAAGUUGUCUACAGCCAGACGACUUCCCAAGUAAGUCAUCUAACGAACAGAUCUGAAAAAAAACUCGAUGUCAUACCUUAAAUUGGUGAGAUAAGUUCCUUAGCAUACAUAAGGCUUCUCCAAGCACACAGAAUCACAAACGAAAGUAACCCACCCAGAAUCGUUAGCUUCUAUGACUCUAUGAACCAUAAAAAAUUUAGAAUCAAAAUCUUGGGUUUUUUUAGUUCAUUGUGGAGAGAAAGUGAGAGAUAUGUUGUGUUUAGUUCACAAGAAUGGAAAAAGAAAAAGGGUAAAUCGAUUUUGGGAGCAUUAAGAGCUUCAAAUUGGUUGUUCAUGGUGGUUGUGGUAUUGAUGACAAUGAUAAUCUUGUAAUUACUUGAAGAUGAUGAGGGUGAGAGAGUAAAAAUGUCGUUUUCGAAAAAAAAAGAAAAAAAAAAUUGAUGGCAUUUUCGUAAAUUAUAUGAACUUGUGGGAUGAAUAGGGCAAAACCAAUUUAAAAAAAAAAGGAGGUUAUUUUUGUGUUUGACUUUAAAUUAUAGGUCAAUUCUGCAAAAAACCCAUCUAUCAAAUCAUAGUUUUUCUUAUCAACUAUUUUUGGACUACCAUUUAAAUUAGAAUGGUCAAACUAAAAUAUGUAUUCUAAUAUUUAACAUAAUCUUAUUUGAUUUUCAAUAUACUAUCUACUAUAUAUAUAUAUGUUAUUAUUGACUGGUAGAGCUAAUUACAAAACAGUACCAAUAUGCUAUAUAAAUUUAUUCAUUAAAAACAGUACAAAAUCUUGUUCCUCUAAGAAAAAAACACUGUACAAAACAUUCUUAGUAAUUAUAAAAUGAAGAGUAACCAAUACCUGGAAUAUUUAUAGCAGUCGGUCGACAAUGAACGGUAGAUACGAUGAAAAGGGCAGUGAAAAGAAAUGCUGCUAAACUUUUUAAGGUGAUAGCCUUUUUUAUAAUAAUCUCCUAACUUUUUUUGUUCUGUUUUGUCUUCUGUAUUUGUAUUGUAUUAUAUAUACAUAUACUAGUAUCAGCUCCCGUGCGUAGCACGGGUGUUAUUUAUUUAUAUAUACAUAUAUAUCCUAAGUAUAUUAUGUGUAAACUUAACAAUGAAGUUGUUGGAUGUUUAUGUCAAAAUUAGAGGGUUAAUUGUUGUCUAUUAUGUUUGGGCUUAGAAUGAUUGCUAUGUGGGCAAUGUGGACAUGUGUCAAUUUUUUUUUUCUAUUUUGGUUUUUGAUUAUUUGUGGUGCACAGUAAUAUAAUGUAUCAUAGUAACUGUUCUAUUUCAUGCUUUGCGUGAUAAUUUAUAUACGUAAUUAAUAUCUUAAAAUGUUUGUUUAAACUCUAUAAGGCUCCAAAGAGUUUAUUAUGUUUUGCUAAUCCAUUCGUGCCUGAUAUCAAACUGGUUGAGUAUGGUUAUAGUUUGGCAAUUUGUUGGAGUUAUAGUUUUGCUGUUUUUUGUUAUGUUUGUAAUGGAUGGGCUCAUGCGGCGACGUGUUAAGUUGUGGUAUGCUAGGUUACGAUGUUAACCUUAGGGUUGUUCAAGGCGAAGUAUUGCUUAACUUCUUUUCUAUUUAGUGUACUUUACCAUUAUUGUGUUUGGGGCAAGCUUGCAUGACUGACUUAUAACAAUAGAGUGUUCUAGCUAAUAGACGGAGUCGAGCAAUUCAUACAACUAUUUCAUUUGUUUUGUUUGUUUGAAGUAAUAGUAAAGAUGAAGCUAUUCUACAAAUCAUAUAUAACUAUGUAUAAUAUUUUUUUAACUUUGGUUAUGAUAGCAAAUAGAAAUAAAAUUUUAAAAUAUGGCCGACUGAGUUUGACAUAAAAACAUGACUUAUAUUUUAUAUAUAUUUGUUUUUCAAAUUAGGUACCUUUUGUGCAUUCUCUUGAAUAUCUUGUUUAGAUGAUACUAUCAACUUUUUUUUUACAAAAAACCUCUUCAACUUAGAUUGACAUCAUGUAAAACUUUGUCACUAUUUAAAAUAGACAUAAUCACUUAAAUAUAUUGUAUUUUAUUAUAUGUAAACACCAAGUACUCCAAUUUAUCUGAAUAAACAAAUAAUUUUUAAUAUAAUUGAUAUUUUAUCAGUUUUUUGAAUAAAACCAUUGACUCUAUUGUAUAUUUUCUUAUUAUAAAUAAAUAAAUAUAUAUGUAUGUAUAUUUUAAAUUUGAUGUUCUCAUUGUGUUUAAUAUAUAUUAUUUAUAAAUACAAAAUAUUUGAAAAUCUUAUUUUGCCAUGAGUUUGGAUUAUAUAACAUUUAAUUAUUCAAUUUAUCUAUUCAAUUAUUAAUUAUAAAAUUUCAUAUUUAAAUUUAAAUUAUAUAAAUAAUAUUUUAUUCAAUACUUAAAUGUAAUAAAAAUAAUUUUAAAAGUUUGAAAUUUUUAUAAAAGCUUACAACAUCAAUACAUAUAGGAACCAAAACACCUCCCCAAAAAGCCUUUUACAAAUGUAAAAAGAUCUAACAUAAUCAAAUCAUGAUAAUGUUAAAUCAGUAUAUAUAUAGAAUAAUAGAACACAUAUAGUAAAAUUCAUUGAAGAAUCUAAAAUUUUAAAUUUAGAUAAUUUUAUAUUUUUUCUUUUAACAUAUUAUCAGUUUUAGAAUUUUUUUGAGAUUUGUUUUUUGAAAAAAAUCAUUUUUUCUUAAAAAAAUUAAAAAAUCCCUUUUCUUUUUUAAAAAAACAUUAUUUGAAAUUCAAAUUUGUUUUGUAACUAUUCAUAAAAUUAUUAUUUUAAAAUUUAAUUAUUAUUAUUAAAAAAAAAUCUAAACUCAAUCAAUCAAAUCUAAACUUUAAGUCUAGAUUAUUUAACCAUUGGAAUAUAGUUUUUUACCUCUUUAAUAAUAUUUAUUUUGGAUAUUUUGACACUUGUGUGCUAUAUUUGUAAUAAAAACUUUUUAGGACUAUCAUAGAAAUUAUUUCAUAUAUUAAAUACAAAAUAAAAUUUUAUAUAUUUAUUAAUUCUUGUAUCCAUCAAAAAUUUAAUUUUUUGAAAUUCCUUUUUUUUGCUCUGGUGAUAGCAGUCUGGAUUCUUGACAUUUUGUUGAUAACAUUUAGAAAGCACUCGCUUACCGAUGGAUGUUAACUUUAGGUGAUAUUUUUUUUUGUAACUUAACUCAGGGUGAGAUUUUAAAAUUCAUUUUUUUUUUUGUAUGGGACCUUUGCUAAGAGAAUAAAUGCUGGCUUUUGGUAAUGAUAUAAAUCUUCACUUCAGAGUUGCAGCUGCUUUAGACAUUUAGAGACGAACUGAGAUUUUUUCAAUUCAAGGUACUAAAAAAGAUUCUCAGUACGAAGCCAUUGAAGAUUUGCAAAGCCUAUUUAUUGGGCGAGAGUGAUUAAAAAUCGAAUCACGGAUCUCCUGAGUCUUGACCUAAAUGUUGAUAGAGAAUCUCCGAGCAAAUCCAGAAUGACAUAAUUGCAAGUAAAACGAAUAUUCUUUUGAUAUUCAAGAAAUCAUAUAUUUAUGGAAUAGUAUAUUUUUAUUAAAAAUAAAAACAAAGAAAAAUGCAAAAGGGUAUAAUAAUGGAAAGUUUUACUUUACGCAGAAACUUUCUCCUCUCUGUUAAUGCUCUCGUCUCUUUAUCUCUACCAUCCUCAAUGCCUCUUUUCUCAAUUUCCUUCAACACCGUCAUCCUCUUCCUCUCGUCCGUCGCCGCCGCUUUCCCCCUCAUACUACGUUUCAGGCGGUUGGCUCUUCCGGAAAGUCUCAUAGGCGAGACUCUAAUCUGAUCGUAGCUUACAAAAUGGAGGAUCAUGGGACUUUCAUCGAGGAGAGAAUUUCCCGGAAUAUGUUUUAAAUACAUUUGGUGAACUGACAAUUUUCUCAGCUGACCCGGAGUCGAACCGAUUUCUUAUUCAGGACAAAGGUAAGCUUUUGGAGUCUUCUUAUAUUGUCUCACUUCAAAUUGUAAGAACCAAACCAUUCCGUAUUCCAUCGCCGGUACUUGGGUUUCAGAGGAUUAUAAUGGUUGAGAGGAAGAAAAUGAUGUGGUGAAUUUCACGAAAGCUUGCUCCAUUAUUUAUAGGUGCAGAUUUGAUACCAAAAGGAGGGGUGUAUAGAAUGUGGCGUAGUGGAAAGGGUGGUUCAAUGAAUGGUAUUGAUGAGAACGUUACUUAUGUUGAUUGAAUGCAAGAGUAAAUUGUUCAGAGGUAAUAGCUUGAACAUCAAUCAACACGAAGAUGACGGUGACUUUGACCAAAAAAAGAAAAAAAAGAAGAUGACGGUGGCUUUACACAGAUUGGGUAUAUGAGAGGUCUGUGAAUUACUUUUGCAAAUCAGGACGGUGUUAGUGAAAUAAAUUUUGGGCCCAAGUAAACCAGGCAGCCCAAUGUGUGUGAGGCCUAUCGAAACAUACAACCUACCCAAUUUUAAAAAGAGCUGACGUGUUGAAAGGAGGUGAGUUUAAUUGAGGAUGUGGCAUCUUAGGUGUCUCUCUAAGGAGAGAAAGAAAGCAUAUAUAUAUAUAUAAAAAUAUGUUUGCCUCUCUCCUAAGCUAUCCACGUGGAAAGUCACUCUCUAACAAGCCGACACGUGUCUCUGGGUUUUAUUUCUUUGGCUGGGUUUGAGUUUAACUCUGGGCUUAUACUAUGAAAGGGUUUUUACUCUUAAAUAUUAGUGAAUGUGUUAAUUAUUUCUUAAUACAUAGUAGAUAAAAUAAUAAAAAAACACACAUUACGAUAUAGACGUUAUAUUAUCAUCAAACCAAUCUUUACUCUAUGUACCUCAUCCUGUGAUAAUUUAUAAAGUAGCAAUGAAUCUAUGAGUUCAGCAAAUCAGAAUUUUAAGUAUAUAAACAGUCAACAGUAGUGUGUUGAAUAUUAUAUUCAUAUGAUUUAAAAGCUUUUACAAAUUUUUAUUUUUAAACACACACCAAAAAGUAAUGUUUGACCAAAAAAACUUAUUUUCCUAAUCAAGGUGGAAUAAAUAUUGAAUAAUAUUUUUUUAAAAAUUAUAUAUACAUAGAAAUAUUUUUAGUGGUAGGGUAUAUUUAUAAUUUCCAAUAUUUGGCCAAAUAAAGAAAAAGGAAACCUGCAUGUAUGUAACCACGAAAAGAAAACUAAUUUAAAUAACUUAAUCAAAACAACAACCACAUACAACUAAACCCGAUGAACGUCCCAACCUCAAAAGAAAGAUAAUAUAAGAGCAAAAAUCCCAAGACAUGACAUAUAAUUUUGUACUAACAUCUUACCAACCAAUUUAAUUUACAUAGUUCAUUCAACAGUAAUCAAAGCAAACAAAUAUCCCUAAUCAAAGCAAAUACUGGUAGCUUCAUAGUCUAUUUAGUAUUCAAAUACAUUAACAUGUACAAUAUUUAACUAAUGUGUAUAUUUUUAUAUGAUACAAAUUUAUAUUAAACAUUCAUUCUAACUGUUUAAAUUGUUUUUUAAUUUUCAUCCUGCCCGUAGGGCGGGCCGGCUCUAGUUAUAUAUAUAAAGAUGUGAAAUUUAUUUUUACUAGUCAGAGUUUUAAAAGGAACAUAAUCUUUCAUUUAAACAUAUGUUGACCAAUCUGCCAUUAAAUCCGGCUUAAAAUAUAUGUUGACCUAAAAUGCACGGAAUGAUUUUUUGACUAAUUCCUUAUAUAUUAAUUGAGAAUCUCUUAAGAAAUUAAAAUAUAAAAUUUGUAUUAAUUAAAAAAAAAUUAUCAUAUGUGGCAGUUGUGUAUGCCUUCUAAAUCCUGUUUAAAAGAAUUCUAGAACACCUUAUAUAAACCAUAGUUUUAAAAUAUAAUGUUGGUCGCAUAUAUAUUUUAAAAUUACAUAAUCUACUAAAUAAAUGAAAAUAUCAACAAUUUACAGAUUUAGAAAUAUUCAUCAUAGAUUUUUUAACAAAUCAAAUUUCCAUAAUUUUAUAUUGAUAUAUUCAACAAUAAAUGUUCACUACUUACUAAAAUGUUGACAAAAUAUCUGAUUAUACCAAAAUUAUUUCAAUAAUUUUAAAAUUAUUUGCAAUAAUAACCAUUUAAAUAUACAAAAAUAAAUAUUUAUAAGUUAUUGAUUGGCAGAGCUGAUUACAAAGCAGUACCAAUAUGCUAUAGAACCAGUAUGGUAUAUAAAGGGGUGUUAGUGAGAAUUAGAUUUAUAUGAGUCUUAAAAUUUUCAAGUCUAGUGUUAGUGGUUUAUAGAUUCUCACAUCUCAUUAAAAUCUAGUGUUAUUGGUUAGAUGAUUCUAUAAUUCUAUACAAAAUUAUUUGUUAUUCAAAAAGUUUAGAUUUUAAUGAUUCUACAAAUCUAUUAAAGUAAGUAUUAUAGGAGUUGAAUUCUUAACAUUUUAACUCACAAAACAAGAUUUUGAAAAUACUACAUGUUUCCUUUGAAUUCUUAGAAUCAUUACAUUACUUUAUUUUCAUAGAUUUUCACAAUAUACAAAUUUCUCUACAAUUCUUUCCAAAUUUAACAAAUCUUUCAACUUUUAAAAUCAACAAAUUCUAUAGAAAUCUAAAUAAUAUACUCUUAUAAAUUUUUUUUUUUGUCAUUGCUCUUAUAAGUGUAUCUACUAAAGUGAUUUGUAAAUCAGUAAAGUAUUCAUAUAUAAAAAUACCAUGUUAAUUAGUACAUAAUAUAUAAUUUUUUUAUUUAUAAUAAUAUAUAUAUAUAUAUAUGUGAGGAUUUUUAUUAAGAAUAAUAAAUCAUAUUUAAUUAUAUUUUAAAUGUGACAUAUUAUUCUUCAAAAAGUUUGAAUUUUUUUAUUUUAUAUUUGAAUAUAAAUAUAACAUGUGAUAUUAUUAAAUGAAAUAAAUUAAUUUAUAUUAAAUCAUUUUAAGUUUGUAUAUAUCCUAAAUACAAUUUAUCUACCAAAAACUUUGUAUGAAAGCAUUGGACAAAGUGCAUUUGAAUCAUCUAAAUGUUAUUCUAAAUACUUUUUAAUAAUUAUUAAUUAGAUAAUAAAGAGUAUAAUGCUUAUGCCAAUACUUUAUCAGUAAAAAUCUAAAAUUUUGACAAAAUAUAUAAUAAACCAAAAAUUAUACAAAUAAUCCUUUGUACUAAUAUUUAUUAAUUUAAUAAAAAUUACAAUAAUAAAUUAUAAUGUUUAUAUGCAAACAAACAUAUAAUAGAUUCAACUUCAAUAAUAUUUUAAUUUUAUCUGAUUAUUUUUAAAUAUAAUCUGCAUUUACCGCAGGUAGUAGACUAGUUACUCAUUAAAAAUAGUAUAAAAUAUUUUUUUUUAAAAUGAAACACAGUACUAAAUCUUUUCUUACUUCUAAAAUAAAGAAUAAACAAAUACCUGGAAUACUUGCAGUAGUCGGUCUACAAUGAACGGAAAAUACAAUUAAGAGAGCAGUAAAAACAAUUGCCACUAAACUUUUUAUGGUGAUAGCCAUUUUUUAUAGUAAUCUCCUAAUCUCUUUGUUCUGUUUUGUCAUUUUUUUGUUUGGAUUAAUUAUAUAUAUAUAGUGAGAAGACCAUUAUAUAUAAUGCUAAAUGUAUUUUAAUGGUCAAGAGUUUUAAAAGGAGCAUAAUCUUUCAUUUAAUAUAUAGAUAGUGACAAAAUCUUCUAAACACUAUUUGAAAAAUGAUUUUAAAUUUUAUUUAUGUGUUAUUACCACAUUUAUUUUGAAAGAAAAGUGAUAACUUAGUUUAGUUAAAAAUGAUAUAGCUCCUCUCUAAUUAUGAUAUGUAUAAAUGUAAUGAUAAAGAUUUUGUUUUUUUGGUAAAUUUCUUAAAAUAAGAUAAUUACAAAAUCUGGCUACAUACCAUAAAUUUUAAUAAUUUUUAUUAUAAUUUUUAAAAUUCUAAACACAAUCCCUAUAAUAUAACUGUAAAUAUAGAAGUUUUUCAACUGUAAAAGAAGUAACUAAUCUCAUAUAAUUAUUUAUACUUUCAUCAAAAUCAAUUAUAUUUUUUUAACAAAUAAGAUAUGACAAUUUUGAUUAAAAUUUAAAAUUUAAGUUAUAUUUGGAUCCAAAUGUAUAUGGAUGAUUAAUCGUGUUUUUAAUCUAUUGAAUUUUUUUUAGAUUUAAAUUUUAUACAAUAAUUGUUAUGUGAUGAUUAUUUGUUUUUUGAGAUAAACAAAAUAAGUAAAGUUUAUGGAUAUAGUAAAUUUAAACAUAAAAAUCUACUCAAAACUAUAGUUUUAAAUAUAUAAAUUUAUGAUAGAGAAAAUUAUUUAUUUUAAUUUAUUUUACUUAACUAAACCGAAAAGUAAAUCAAAUAUUGUUAAGUCAAAUGAAAAUAAAUAAUAAAUAAUUAUUAUGAUUUCAUUUUUAUUUUAAUAUUAUUAAAAUUAAAUUAUAUUUAUAUAUUAUAUAUAAUUAUGUUUAAAAAAAAUUAUUUAUACACAUGAGCAGAAAACCAACUAGUCUGCCAUAAAUCCGGCUUAAAAACAUAUAUUGACCAAAAAUCACUGAAUGAUUUUUUACCUAAUUAAUUUUGAUCAUUUAUGACAUAGAAUUCACUCUCUUGUACAUAUUAAAUACUAUUCAUUUUAUUGGGUUCAGAGUGUUUUUUUUUGUUUACAUAUAGGAAUUGUUACAGAGGUUAGAUUUUUCAUUUAUAAUUGCUGUAUUGUUUGCUAAAAUUUUAGUUUUAUCCACGUUCCAUUAAAUUUAUUAGUUAGUAAAAUCAAUAUCAUCAUAUACUUAAAGAUAAAAAAAAAUCAUUAUCUUUUAAAAAUAUGUAUGAAAAUUCAUAAACAACAUUUACGAUAAAACCUGAGAAGUAUGUGAUUUGUUACCCCAUAUUUAGAUAAAAUUUUGAAACAUAAUUUUGCAAAUUCUAAUGGUUGUAAUUAUGGAGUCUGGUUGCAGGUAGAUGCAGGAUCCGGCCGCAGCGGGGAUGGGAGAGAUCUCUUGAUCAGAUGACCUUGCUUCCACCUCCAUCAACUACCCGAUCACUAACGCUUCUUGGAUGGCAGGCCACACUCUACUAGAUUUGGCAUGAGAGAAAUCAGAGACUGCAUAUGAAUCAAUUCCGUUCUAUCGACUCCCUCUUCAGCCUGAUCGACCAUCAAAUUAGAAACAAGUUUCAGAGCUUCUGUGAAGAAAACCCAAGGCGAUCGUCGUCGAUGAUACAACAAUGGUUCCGGUAGCCACAAUAGGGAUUCCAUCGACGUCUCGGUGAACUUCCUUCCCCACGAUUCCCCUUCUCCUCUUAUUUCUUACUGGGCUUCAUCUCUUUUGGGCUAAUUAACUAAAGUUAUUGGGUUAUUAUUAUAUGAGUUACUGGACUAGUCUCUAUUACUAGGGCUUUUGGGCUACUGUAAAAACAUUUUAUUUCUUUUGCAUUUAAAUUAAGAAAGCCAGUUACAAAAAAAAAAAAAAAAAAAAUUCUAAUGGUUGUAGCUCAAAAAAGAUUAGUUGAUAAAGAGAUGGGACACGAUAGAAGUUUCAGUUGUUGAUUGAUUGAAACAGAACGCCUGUGUCCGGAGACAAGUAACUUAAAAUAAGGCUUUCGGAAUAUUGCGAAAAAUCAGGAGAAACAGUUUAAAAAAAUGAUGUUAUGUUGAGAUUUGCUAUGUUGGUUGCCCCUUUCUGCAUAUUCAAGCAUCUUCUUUAACAGGAUUUCACAUUUCUCUUCUUAACGUCGUCAGAGAGAUCCCCAAGGAACAAAAAAGACCCUGAAGCAGAAGGGCUUGAUGAUACGAUUAAUCAAUCCUCAGAAUAGGUAAACAAAUUUUUUUUUUUUUUUUUUGGUAACUGAAUAAACAAAAAACUUGGUAAUACAAAGUUAUCGCUCGCGAACCAAGGAUACGCAUAUACUAGCUAGUGAACUGCUACACUUUCAAACUUAAAUUGUGAUACAUGUUUGCUUUAUCAUCCUCCUCGGGCUUCUCACUCUUCGUUAUGCAACAAUUGUUUUCAAAGGCGGCAGAAAACACAUGCAUAUAUAUAUCAUCUUCCGACCAGAAACACAUGCAUCUUCUUAUAUACUUUCCUAGACUAAAACACAAUCUCAAGCUUACUUACAUAACUUAACCCAUUAUGUAUUAUUGGUGGUCUCAUAGAAAAGACGCGUUAAGAGAGAGGACGAAUAGCUUUAAAAGUACACAUUCACAGAGGUAAAACAAGCUGGAAAUUAGCCACUAAGGAAUAAAGAAACACAAUGGUGACGACUUUGCAUAUGGAUCUCGUCUCUAAGCUGUAACUCCAAAAAAACACAAUGGUGACGACUUUCUUGAACAUCGCAACAAGAUGAUUCUAUCUUUGCUGUGUGACAGUCUUUUUUGGGUCUUUGCGAUUCAGAAUAGCCUAUGAAUUGUAUGAGAAGUUACCCAGUUAGGAUUUGUGUGCGUUCCACAAAAGCAUGUGCUAGGAUCUGUUUAUAAGUGUAUUUGAGUAAGAUUCUAGGGGUUUCUAUUAUAUUUUGAUGGACGACCCCUGGAAUCUCAUUGCGAUUGGGGAGGGAACUCAAUGUCAUUUAUUCUUUGGUAGUAGAGAACUGAUCUUUCAGAGAAUUGUUUUGCUGUUUCGCGAGUAUUCUUUCUGUGAAACGAGUGAAUCACAUGCACCCAGAAACUCUAAACAACCUUUAUUGAUGUUUGGCUUUUCAAGUAGAUACCAAAAUUUGAUUUUAAAUUGUUGUAUUUUGGACUUUAACUAGUAUUUAAAUUUGACAACAACAUGCCUCAGCAAAACAUCCGCCAUAGUAAUAACCAUGAUCUCUACACCAAUAAAUGCAGUCGCCUACUCCACCACGACAUAUUUCUCCACUGAAACAUUGACGAUCCAUCUGUUUUACUCCAUAGCCUAUUUUAUUAAAUACAAAUUACUAACCCAAUAUGUAUAUAAACUUAUUCAUUAAAAAUAGUACAAAAUCUUGUUCUUUUAAGAAAAAAAACACGGCACAAAAUAUUUUUCGUAAUUAUAAAAAUGAAGAAUAACCGAUACCCAGAAUACUUGUAGUAGUGGUCGACAAUAAAUAGAAGAUAGGAUGAAAAAGGUAGUAUAAACUAUUGAAGCCCAAAGAAAAGCCCAACCUUAUGAUCCAUUAGAAACUUUUAGACUAGGGUUAUAGACUCAUAUAUAUAUGUCGUUAACAUUUCUGAAAUUGUAACCAAGCCUGCCUUUCUAGCAGCCAAACCUUCAUUUUAUGAUUAUCAAUAAACAAUAUAUUUGUGCUUGGUGACAAUAAGUCUUCUUCUCUUCAGUUUCUUAGUCUUUAAAUAAAGCUCUCUGAGCUAUUUCUAUUUCAAUAAAGCUUUACAAAGCUAUAAUCUUUCUAGGUUUCUCAAAUGUUAUCAUGGUAUCAGAGCACCGGGGAGUAGAUCUUGGUGUUAUAUCUUCUACUUGAGCUUCAGCCUAUCUACAAGACCUCUAUGGAGCCAUUAAGUCUUCCAAGACUUUCGUUUGCUUGAUACGAGAUGUCUGUACGAAGAAGAAAGGGUAUUGGGCCAGAUGGGCCAGAGAUAUAACCUGAGAAAGAAACAGUCAUGUCUUCAAAUCCAACCAGCUUAUGUCAGACUCCAUGGACAAAAACUCGGCGGCGACGAAAGCGUUCCUCUGUAGGAACCGUGAUGAAACCGUAACCAACGACGAAAUCACACGUGAAUAGCAAGUCAUCGUACAAAAAAUGUUUAUCAAUGGCUUGGAAUCUGGAAUAGAAUGCUUACACUAUGUCUGGUUUUUGCUAAAGAUGGGUUUAUGGAAGAAAGUUUAUGUUUUUGAUGCGCACCAAGUGUUUGGUACAAUGUCACAGAGAGAUAGAAGAUGAUAGUGACUAAUGAUAAUGAAGCAGAAAGUAAGUAGGAUUGUUUGGUAGAUGUAGAAAGAGAGUUCUUCUUCAUGAGACAGUUUAGGAGAAUGAAAGGGUAUGUGAAACCCAUAUUCUUAGUGAGACAAAUAGGCCACAAAUACCUCUGAGUGAGAUCAACUAAGCUCUUCAAGUUCAAGAGAAACCUCUGAGUAAAGCAAUGUGAUACUUUCCAAGUAUAGGCCUGAAUAGAUCUCACACUUAAUUUGUUUUCCAGAAGAACAACAGCCCUUUGCCUACAUCAAAAGAAUCCUACCGGUCAUCUCAAGUCAUCUUCAUCUGCCCAUCUCAAGUCUUCUUCAUAUGUGCUUUCAAACUUAACGUAACUGCUCCUGCUCCAUCCAAGCUAAGUUUGCGGGAGAGUAUUGAAGCCUAAAGAAAAGCCCAACCUUAUGAUCCAUUAAAAGCUUUUAGACUAGGGUUAUAGACUCAUAUAUAUAUGUCGUUAACAAUUCUGAAAUUGUAACCAAGGAUGCCUUUCUAGCAGCCAAACCUUCAUCUUUAUGAUUAUCAAUAAACAAUGUAUUUGUGCUUGGUGACAAUCUCAAGUCUUCUUCUCUUUAGUUUCUUAGGGCAUCUGCAUCAGUGAACCCCAUAGAAGGGUUUCACAUAGUAUUUUUUUAUUUUUUUUUUCUGUUUGAUUUUUGUUUAAAAAAAAAAAUUAAUUAUUCGGACCAAUCGCGGGCUGCCACGUGCCGUGGGGCCCGCGCUACAGUGAUGACUCGGGUUCAGUGCAGUGACCCUGCAAGAGACAGGUUCACUCCUUUUGUUUAUUUUAAUAUUUUUUUUUCCGAAAACUGUGUGAACUUCCCAUGGAGUUCACUGAUGCAGAUGCUUUUAGUCUUUAAAUAAAGCUCUCUAAGCUAUUUCUAUUUUAAUAAAGCUUUACAAAGCUAUAAUCUUUCUAGGUUUCUCAAAUGUUAUCAUAAACAAAUGCAACUAACUUUUUAUGGUGAUAGUCAUUUUACAAUAAUCUUCUAACUUUUUUGUUCUGUUCUCUUCUUUGUUUGGAUUGGACUAUAUAUAGUGAGACAACUAUAUGUAACGUUUGGUCAAAAAAAAGAAGACAAUUAUACAUGUUUGCUUUAUGCCUUUAUCGUCCUCAUCGAGCUUCUCACUGUUCCGCUGUUCGAUAUGCAACAAUUGUGUUCAAAGGCGGCAGAAAACACAUGCAUAGUCUUCCGACCAGAAACUCUAAAACAACCUUUAGGCUCCAUGUUCAGUGUAGUUCUUAAUCAAAUUUUUUUUUUUUUUUGUUGUUGUAAACUAGUGCAUCACACCGGAGAAGCAUGAAAGACCAAUCCCUUUUUCUUUGACGGCUAAGGUUUUUCGACCGAGAAUAGCUACAAAGAUAUCUCAUGUCAUGGCAACAAUUUAUUAUUUAUAUAACUUUCUUUACGCAUAAUGGAAUGUUGUUAUACUACAAAAAGCAUACUCCAAAUCUAAAAUGAUGUAUACUGUGCAGUAAGUACACUAACCAUUCUUUUCAUUUUUUUUCAAAUUUGUGGUAUAAUUUCACAUGCUUGACUCAACCCAUUAUAUAUUAUCCGUAGUCUCAUAGAAAAGACAUUAAGAUCGCCUAUUCGAUAUGACGACGAAUAGCUUUAAAAGUACACGUCUGUUUGAACCGAAAUCUAUCGAUAAACAAGUAAAAAGAGGGGAUGAGAACUCGUCGGUGGGGAAACAAAGACGUUUAUUAGAUCAAGGAAUCGUUUGAUUGUGUUACAAAAGAGAAAAUAAAUGGUAGAAAGUAAGCCGGCGAAAGCUAGUUCGCCGGAAGGUACAAGUCAACAAGAGUAAGAUAUAAAAUCCUAAUUUAUAGCCGAAAGUAUGUGUAGUGAUUUGCGGAUCCCUUCCUCAUUAUACCUCUCUCUCCUUUUAUAGGCGGUCGCUCGUUAACCUACUCGACCUAAUGGGCUUUUCGUUGAUUGGACCGAGCUGUCGGGCCUUUAUUUCGAGUCGUCGAACUGAUUGCUUUCGGUCGCUCAUCUGAUCGACUAAAAAUAGUCUCGAGUCGAGCCGAGACGGUGACUCGCGAGCCAGCGAGCCGAGUCUUCCUUACGUGGUUAUGAGUCAGGACAGUUAUCUUGUGGGUCUUUUGGAAGGGUCAGGCCCAUACCCAACAACAUCCACAUAGGUAACUUUUUUUUGUGUGUGCACAACACAUUCACAGAGGUAACACAAGCUGGAAAUUAGUCACUGAUUCAGAGAAGGGAAAAGAGGCAGGAUAAACUUGGAUAUGGGGUCAAGAUUGCAGCCCAAUAUAGUACUUUUUUCAUGGUGACAAUGAAAGUGGGCUUUUAAAAGCCCAUUUACCAGCAAAGCGACAAAAUCAUUCCCCAAAAAAAACACAAAGGAUGACGACUCUCUUCAACAUCGAGAAGACGAUUUGAUCGAUUUCGAAGCUCUGAUAUCAAGUUUUUGGUGAUCCCAAGAAUGGCGGGACAGAAUCCAAACAUGGAUCAAUUCGAGGCGUACUUCAAGAGAGCAGAUUUGGACGGAGAUGGUCGGAUCAGUGGAGCCGAAGCUGUUGGCUUUUUCCAAGGAUCUGGCUUGCCCAAGCAAGUUCUCGCCCAGGUUUUUUAAAAAAAAAAAAAAAUACUAUUCUUCGAUUUCUUCAGCUUUCUGAUUGUUUUACAUAGAAAGAUCUGAUUUGGGUUAUCCAAAAACCGCCUUAAAUUUUGGUUAUUUUAUUUGAAUUGAUGCUCUAUUCCGAGAUUCUGAAUAGCCUAUGAACUUGCUUUAAAGGAGCAGCCUUUGCUAGGAUCUGUUGUGUAGAAGUUAUAAUUUUAUGAGAGUAAGAUUCUGAGGGUUCCCUUGCUAGGAUCUCAUUGCUAUUACGGAGAAAACUUAGUGGCAUUUAUUCUUUCAGAUGGUUGUUUUAAAUCUUCUCGUGUGGGAUAUAAGAUUUUUUCCCUUCUUUGGAAAUUUUCUUGGGAGGUUCUGUUAAGUGAUGUUUGCUAUAUAAAGUUGUCUACUGAUCAGUUGUGUUCUGCAUUUGUAGAUAUGGUUGCUUUCUGAUAGGUCACGCAGUGGUUUCCUUGGUCGGCAAGACUUUUAUAAUUCUCUGAGGCUUGUUACAGUUGCACAGAGCAAGAGAGACCUGACACCUGAGAUUGUUAAUGCAGCACUCAAUACUCCUGCCGCCGCCAAAAUACCACCUCCCAAAAUUAAUCUCUCAGCUAUUCCUGCACCUCAACCUAAUCCUGCUGCUACCGCAGCUCGUCCGGUUGGCUCAACAGGUCAUCAGAAUGUGGGGUUUAGAGGACCAGGGGCUCCAAAUGCGAAUGCCAACCAGAAUUAUUUUCCACCUCAACAAAACCAGCAAGUGAGACCAAAUCAAGUUGUCUCUGGGAUGACUUCGCUUAGACCAACUGCUGCUGGUCCAGAACAUAGACCAAAUGCCUUACCAGGUCAAUUUCAACCAGUUCCUGUUGGUAGUGUUAGUCCUCCUCCUCAGGCUGUUCCCACCAGUGCACCUGGUCCUGGUAGUUCACCGUUUAAUCUUAAUAACUUGUAUGCUGGAAACACCAGCGGAUACUCGUCAGGAUUUGGAGGGGGCAGCUUAGUAGCACCUUCUCCUGGAUUAAAACCAGAGUCACAGAUUGAUCCGAGAGCGCUGGUUGUAUCUGGAAAUGGAGGUGACAUGUUUUCCUCGUUCCAGCAAAAACAAGAACCCACUCUGAGUAAUUCUUCAAUCAGUUCAGCUAUUGUUCCUGCUUCUGCUGGAACUCAACCUCCAGUAAAGCCUAAUGCUCUCGACUCCCUACAGAAUACGUUCUCGAUGCUGCCUUCUGGAAAUCAGCCUCAGCAGCCAAGGCCAGCAGCAAGCUCACAGCAGCCAAGGCCUGCAUUUAGCUCACAGCCGCCUGUAGUGUCUUCUCAAGGUCCAUCCUCUGGUUUGCCGCAUGCAAGUGCAGUUGGAUCUGGCCAUUCAGUUCCUGCUGGAAAUAAUCAGCCUCCGUGGCCAAAAAUGAAGCCGUCCGAUGUCCAAAAGUACACAAAGGUAUUUGUUGGAGUUGAUACUGACAAGGAUGGAAAAAUAACUGGUGAGCAGGCAAGGAAUCUGUUUUUAAGCUGGAGGCUACCCAGGGGUAAAUGCUCUUCUAUCUUUCAGUCUACUUUACAUAAAGAAUUUAAUUUUCCGUUCAACUGUCAUCUCUCUUGAAAUUAGAUGCAUUGAAGAAUCUUUCUAAAUUUUCUUCUCGUUGUCUUAUGUUAAAUUUAUUUGCUACUCUAAGCUUAUGUUUCUUGAAUAAAUAUCUGGAAGUUAUUAUGCUAUGAACUGCUUAAGUUAACAUAUUCUUUUUGAUCGCAUCCAGAGGUAUUGAAGCAUGUGUGGGAGUUAUCUGAUCAGGAUAAUGAUACUAUGCUUUCCCUGAGGGAGUUCUGCAUUUCAUUGUAUUUGAUGGAGCGGUAUAGAGAAGGCCGUCCUCUCCCAACAUCACUUCCAAGCAGCAUCAUGUAUGAUGAGACACUGUUAUCUAUCUCAGGUGCACCUAGUCAUGGUUAUGCAAAUGCUGGAUGGGGAUCUGGUCAAGGUAUUGCUCAGGUUUCAUGCAUUUUAGUAAUCUUCUCCCUUUCCCUUAUACUGUACUUCGUUAUAAGUAAAAUUUCUGUAUUGCAAGGUUUUGUACAGCAGCCUGUGAUGGGUCCGCGGCCAGUCACUCAGACUGGCACGAGACCACCAGUUCCUGCACCAGUCCCUCACCCUGGCAGUGGUAUAGGACCUAAUCAGCAAAGGAAUCAAGCGCCAGCUUUGGAUGAUCCUUUUGCAAGUCACCUUGGUAACGGGCAUUCUGCGAGCUCAAAUCUUCAAGAAACAGCAACUGAUGGGGAAAAGGUAAUCAUUUGCAUUUUCAUCUUAAUUACGAAGCCUAAAAAAGCAUUUUCAAAGCUUGGAUAAGUUACUAUUCCCUGUGCAUUUUCUUGGAUGCUUGUGAAACAAUUGUUUCAAAUCUCUGUAGGUUGAAGAAAAGAAAAAUGCAUAUAUGGACUCCAGGGAGAAGCUUGAAUAUUACCGAACGAAAAUGCAGGAUAUUGUGAGUACUCCAUUAUAAAUUACUCUUGUUAUUUGGUUAGAAGUAGUGGUGAUUAUCUUUCUCAUGAUGUCAUUUUCUAGAGCAAGGUUCUUGUGAGAUCCAGUUCUUCUAAUGCCAUUUUUUUUUUGUAUUUUUCCUCUCUCUAUGUCAGGUCUUGUACAAAAGCAGGUGCGACAAUAGAUUAAAUGAGAUCUCUGAAAGGGCUUCAGCUGACAAGCGUGAGGUGCUUUUCAUGUAAAUAAUUACUUUUCUCAUUUCUUAGAGGCGAUCUCUGUCUUAUUCCAAGAACAAUUUCUACUGCAGGCUGAAACGUUGGCAAAGAAGUACGAGGAGAAGUAUAAGCAGGUUGCAGAAUUAGGGUCAAAAUUAACUAUUGAAGAGGCCAGGUUCCGCGAGAUUGAGGUAUGGCUAAUUCAUUUUGGCUGGCACAUAAAGUGGCAACACCUAAUGUACAUUCCAGCCAUAUAUUUUUCUUCAUUUCUUCCAUGUGCUUUUUCCUCCGAUAUCAGGCUUCUCGUUUUACCAAACAGUUAACGCUGUGGUGAUAGGGCUUUGGUUAAUGUUGUAAUAGAUCUCUCACGGAAUUUUGUUAACCCAUUCCAGGGGAGGAAGAUGGAAUUGAGUCAAGCAAUUGUGAACAUGGAGCAAGGUGGCAGUGCUGAUGGUCUACUUCAGGUACAUGGUCUCUAUGUUUAUGUGAUGCCUACCCUAUUGAUUAUCUUUUGUGCAUGCCUGAUUGAUGCUUUAAUGGGCAUAUUUAGGUCCGGGCUGACAGGAUACAAUCAGAUCUAGAGGAGCUGAUGAAGGCCUUAACUGAACGCUGCAAGAAACAUGGGUUGGAGGUUAAGUCGAAGGCCCUUGUAGACCUCCCAGCUGGUACUAUAUAUGAUUCUUUCGCCUUGUAACUUCUUGCUUUCACUGCAGAUGAAUGCAAAUUACAUGCAUUUUGUAUAUAAACAAAUCAUUUGGAAACUGACUGUGUUGUGACUUACAGGCUGGCAACCUGGACUUCAAGAAGGGGCAGCUCUUUGGGAUGAAGAAUGGGAUAAGUUUGAAGAUGAAGGUACAAUUGGAAACUGUUUUUCUUUUCUAUUACUUAUACAAUUAGAUAUCUAUUGCUAAGUACAUAAUCUUCCUAUUGUUAGGAUUUGGCAAUGAGAUUACUUUUGACAAAUCAAAAGAGCAAAACUCGUCUGGCGAGAAGGAAAACGGAACGGUGGAUGAUGGUAGUGGACCACCUGAUUCACCAACUCAUUUGGACGAGAAUUAUGGACCUUUUUCAGAAACCUCAGACCGCCACCAUGAGAGUGAAGAUGAUUCAGGCAGAAGUCCUAGGGACAGUCCUGUCUCUAGGACUGGUGAUACUGAGAUCCCUUCUCCAGAUUCUCAUGGAAAAAAUUCUGAGUUCUUUGAUGACUCGAAUUGGGCAAGUGCAUUUGACACUAACGAUGAUGUGGACUCAGUCUGGGGUUUUGAUGCAUCAAAAAGCCAGGUUAGUUCACAUAAUCCAUUCCAUAGUGUCUAUUCAAUAAUCACAAGUGAAUAUAUUCAUCCACAUUCUUCCGAGCUUAGGAUUAUAGUAUUGUCAUUCUCAGGAUGGAGAUUACUUUGGAUCUGGUGGCGAUUUUGGUGGAAACUCAGCGAGAGCAGAUUCUCCAACUUCAAGAAGUUUCGGCGGUCAGAGAAAGAGCACAUAUGCAUUUGAUGAUUCAGUUCCCAGCACUCCACUCUCGAGAUUCGGCAACUCUCCUCCUCGGUUCAGCGACGCAUCAGCCAGAGACAGCAACUUUGAUAGCUUCUCCAGAUUCGACUCCUUCAACACCAGUGAAGCUGGCGCCGGUUUUUCCUCCUCCCAGCCUGAGAGACUGUCUCGGUUUGAUUCCAUCAACAGCUCAAAAGACUUUGGUGGAGCUGCUUUCUCGAGGUUCGAUUCAAUCAACAGUAGCAGAGACUUUGGUGGUCCCUCGCUUUCAAGAUUCGACUCCAUGAAUAGCACAAAGGAUCAUGGAUACUCGUUUGAUGACGCAGACCCGUUUGGUUCCACAGGUCCCUUCAAAGUCUCCUCUGAUGAUCAAAGCCCCAAGAAAAAGUCAGAUAACUGGAAUUCCUUCUAGCCACAAUAUAUGAUUAUAUUAUCUUUUUUUUUCUCUCUCCCAUAUUUUCUUGAUGAACUUGUGAUUGUUUCAUAAAAAAAAAUUAUAAUUUUUUUUUCGCCACAAAUUCUGGUUUUUGGAUGAGACAAUAGCGUUAGACUAUUUGUAAUUUGUAAAGUCUUUCUUUGUAUUGGUCUCUGUUAUGUUCUUGUGAAUUCAUUUGGUUUAUGUCAUAAAAAACAUUUGCUACUUUCGUCGUGGAAAACUUCUUCAAUAUUCCGAGUCUCGUCUCCAAAAUAUUUUGAUCUUUCAUUAGCCCAAUGUCUGUAACGAAUCAAAACAGAUACAGUGAGUAUGUGAUUUGUUUACAUUCUAUCACUCUCUUUGAGGUCGGCUCCACUCCUGCUUCCGCUGACCAUUGAGCGCAUUUCAGGGGCAGCCUUUACUUCUUUGUGAUGUGCUCAAAGGCAGCUAGCAUAGAUGACCGUGUGUUGGCUAUUUCCACAAGAGCUGUCCUAAUGCAAAGAGAAAGAUGGAUAUUUGUUUCAGCUGAAACUUGGAAUCUUUUUAUUUAUCUGUGAGUAUACUACUUGUGGUGGUGAUGAAUGUUUACCUGUCUCAAAUGAUAGUUGAGCGCCACGCAGCGUAGGCGAGACUAGACCUCCAAAUACCCCGACAGAGACUUGGCUCGUUCUCUCUUAAUCUGGUUAUUAAGUAACACAUCCAGAUUAGUAAAACCCAUGUUCUAUAACCCAGUCAGUUGCUUAAGGCAGAGUCAGCUCAUUAUAUCAGUGAAGCAGAUUCAUAUAAACGAAACCUGUUCCCAGAUUCAGUCCUAAAUGUUAAUUAAACGCGAAAGCAAAAACAUCUAACAACAGAAACUGUAGCCUAACUGAUACAAGUGUAGAUUUUCCAUGAAUCUCCCGAGCUAGUGAUACAAUUUCAUACUUGUAUACAAUGUUAAAAUAUGUUUUGGUCUUUUGGAAGAUUUCGAGCAAACUAUUUAAUAACUUUUUAGCUAUGUCCAACUAUAAUAAAGUCAUAUUCCUCUUGUGGUAGAGAUAGAUAAAAGAAAAAAAAAUGGUGAGCGUGCAAUAAACAAAGACGAGAAGAACCAUGCAACAACAACAAUAAGCGCGACUUUAACUAUUAAACUUUCAAAGAACCAUAACGACUAGUUCCAUGCAUACGACUUCACUCUUCUUCUUUUGUUGAUUCUCUCCACGUUAAUUAACUUGUAAGAAGAAUAAGAAGAUUGCAACUCCAUCUUCAGUGUGGUAUCAUCUUCAUUCAACAAUCUUUUUCCAACUCCCGUUUUCUUUUUCUGAGCAUAUGCUGAGAUUGUAUCAAUAACUCUCAUGAUCAUACCUAGACCGGACUUACCUUUAUCAUCAAUCAGAUCCACCUUCAUGAGCUCCACGUUCUCAUCUACUUCCAUCGCAGCGGGAAAAGAAGACGGUGUAGACUCGUAACAGUCUGGACUAAUACUAUCGCACCUCUUUGGAAUCGAACCCUUGAGGUUGGAUUUGAAAUAAGGAUCGUUGGAUAUGUGGGAGUUGAUAGAUUUGUCCACACAUUGCAUUAUCGCCAGAGAUUUGUCAUUCAGUUUGAAGAGAAUCUCCUCGAGGAGAUGAAAAGGUAAGCUAUCCAUGAUCCAAUUGUAGAGAGAGGAAGAUGUUAGAAGAAAAGUAUAGAGGAAGAUGUAUGUUAAUGAUUUUUAUAGUGCGUAUAUAAUUUAUAAAGACAUGGUUAAUCCUAACCAAAUAAGGAAAUUAAGUUGGUGUUUCAGAAAACAACAAAGGAAAGAUAUUAUGUUUUAUUACAUUGUUUCCAAAAUAGUUAAAGACUUCGAAAACGACAGCGUUUCAUAAUUAUCAGUCGGGGGUAUAAAUGUCAUUUCAAGUAGUGAGGAGUUAAGAUAUGGAUAUAUGGAGGGCUCUCUCGAGUUUGGUUUUGUGGCAUCUCUCUCUCUCUCGCUCUCGCUCUCGCUCUGUGUCAAUGGCUACCAUUAGUAGCUUACACAUGUGUGCAUCCGAUCAUCGCUCCCGUCUUCCUCGAAUCUGUGAGACAGAUCAACCACGAGCCACAAACCAAAUCGUCACCUUUUCGUCUCCUAUUUCCAGAAGAGACGCGAAUCUUGUACUCCUCGGCUCGCUGCCGUUGACGAGCUUCGUCGUUCUACCGCCGAGUUCAUCGGAGGCGAGAGAGAGACGGAGCAGAAAAGUUAUCCCUCUCGAGGAGUAUUCCACUAGCCGUUAAGUCCCUCCCUCGCCCUCUUCUUACCACUAUCGGUUCGUAACAAUUCAGAGACUUGAAAAAACAGAGUCCAAACCAACAAAUUCUCUGAUAAAUCAAUUGGGUAUCGAGAUUUUGACAAUUUAUUGAUUAAAAGGAACUUGCUUUACUUGUGGGAGCAGUUUCUGGAUACUGAAGUUACUGUUUACUCUGUUUCUUGCAGCUGAAGGGUUGAAGUACUAUGACAUUGAGGAAGGUAAAGGUCCAGUAGCCACAAUAGGAUCUACUGCUCAGGUUGAGAUAAACCCCUCUUGAUUACACUAUAUAUCUAAUUUCAAAGUCCUCGCCUUUACAUUGUAAUGAGCCUAGCCUGUCUUUAGGUGCAUUUUGAUUGCCGGUACAGAAGCAUAACUGCAAUCUCCACCAGAGAGUCCAAGCUCUUGGCUGGGAACCGUAGUAUCGCUCAGGUUUACUACCUAUCAAAGUUUUCUUCUCCUUGAUGGUGGGUGUCGCUUACUUUCUUUUUUUUGGACAGCCUUAUGAGUUCAAGGUGGGAUCUACGCCAGGGAAGGAAAGGAAACGAGAGUUUGUGGAUAAUCCAAACGGGUUGUUCUCUGCGCAGGCUGCACCAAAGCCUCCUCCAGCAAUGUAUUUCAUAACUGAAGGAAUGAAAGUCGGUGGCAAGGUUAGAAAAACACAGCUCAACUCUUUUGCUUUCUAACACUUGCCUUGCAAUGUGUCUAAGUAGUAGUGUUUGGUCUUGCAGAGAACUGUGAUUGUUACUCCUGAAUCUGGUUAUGGUCAGAAAGGAAUGAACGAGAUACCGGUGAGAACCUACAAAUUGUACAUGAGGAAAGCUCCUUUUUAAUGUGUGGUUUAAUGUUUCUGGUUAAAUAGAGAAAAACAAAACAUGUAUGUUUGUUUUGUUGCAGCCUGGAGCUACAUUUGAGUUAAACAUAGAGCUGCUUCAGGUGACUCCCCCUGAAGAGAAAGAGAAGUGAACAAGAUUCUUCUGAUAAGAGAAGUUUGAAGUUUUCACAAGCAUGACCCAACAUUUGUUUUAAGAAGAUACUGUCUAAAGAUACAUUCGAGAAGAGAAACUAGAGAGAAAAAAAAAGAAUGUAAAUUUUCGACUCCGGUACACUAAAUAACCGGUAUUGUUUGUUGGAGCAGCUGUUAAAAAGUAGCUUGCUCUUACGUGGCAGCUUCUUAUUGGCUCAAAGGUGUUGAUAGACUCCGAAUGUGGUGUGGUCACUAAUUAAACCAAAAAUACCGAAAUGGUAUCAAACCGAAUGUUGUGAACCGUAACUUUGUAAACCGAACCGAACCGAACCUGAUGAUAAGCCAACCAGCGACUAGGUAGGAGGAAUCUAGUAGUUGGUGGUUCCGCAAAAGUGCCUUUGGUUCCCAAGAAAAUCUAGUGAAAGAGAAAGAGAAGAUGGAGACUUCUCUGAGGUAUUCAGCAAACUCCAGGUCUCUGAGAAUCCAUGCCAAAGAGAAGCUCUCGGUUUACUCCAAAACUCAUUUGCAGGUAGCUCUCUAGCUUCCUCCGUCUCCUUCGAGUUAGUGUUUCAGCACUGUUCUUCUCAAAGCUUUGUAAUUUCUUGCUUGAGUGGCCUCUUAGUUUCUUUCCUGGUCAAAAGCCUCUUGCUUGAUAUUUAAAGGUUAAAACUUUGAGGGUUUGCUUAUACUCUGCGUCUAAGAAAUUGCAAUCAAGGGUUAUGGAGAUGGCUGAUGAGGCGCGGACAAGUAAUAGACAGGCUUUUAGAAUCUUUACUAGAUGUGCUUCAAAGUCUCUAGCUUUUUAUGCUCGAAGGGGAAUAGAAGAUCUCUGUUUUAGGAAGAUUUGGUCUUAAGACUGAUUUGGCUAAGAUUGUUUCUCUUCUUACAUCCUUUGUUUAUUGUUUGAUAGCUUCAUGGGGAGCUAGAUACACGGGCUGGAUCGCCAAGUUACUUCUGUGCGAUGAUAAGACACUUUUUCCAUGAGGUUUUCUGCCAUCUCAAAAAAAUUGUGUUUCUUCUCUUUGUACCUUUCUUACAACCAUUUUUCCAAUGCUAUGAUAGGCUUCGACAAACAUUGGAGUAGGCUUGCAUUACGAUAAAAGCCAAAAGCUUCGGGGUUUUGUACGUGGGAAAAAGAAGUUCCCUGUGAGAACCGAUGCGCUUCUAACCUUUAAUAUCAAAGGAAGAUGUGAUUUUGACCAGGAGUUUAAUCAGGUUCACCUUCUUUGUUUUUCUUCUUCUUCUCAUACUACAAGAAAUUUCUUUAUCAGUUAUGUUUGAGGUUUUGUGACUUUGCGCUGACAGAGGAACCCAAAAGGAGCUGCUGAAUUUGAUUUGAACAUAUGGAAGUUUGAGAAAGAUCAGGACUUACGCCUCAGAGUUGGCUACGAGAUGUUUGACAAGGUACUCUACAACAAUUUACUCUUGAGCUCACUGUUUGAAAGUUAUAAGCUUUUGGCCUCAUGAUGCAAUUGCUCUCUUUCGAUGAUUGAAACAAUGCGUCCCGUCCCCCUUCUCUUUCGUACAGGUCCCAUACAUGCAGAUUAGAGAAAACAAUUGGACUCUCAACACCAACUUGAAAGGAAAAUGGAAUGUGAGGUUUGAUCUUUAAGGAGGGAAACAUGAACAGAACACACAUUAAAGGAAAGAUUACAUUCUAUACUUGAUCGUUUUGAGAGAAAUGUAUUACUGAUUGAGUUAUUCUUGGGUUCACCCCCUAGGCUGAACCUAACCAAUAGGAUUUCAUUAUUUCAAAUUUAAUAUCUUUUAAAAUAGGAAACAAAAUAUUGUCAAGUUAUAUUACUUUUUAAAAUAAAAAAAAGUAAAACAAAAUAGUAUUUACAUAAUUUUUUUUUUCCAUCAAACACUAAACCCUAAAUCCUAAUCACUAAACUCUAAAUCCUAAUCCCUAAACCCUUGGGUAAACCCUAAAUCCUUUGAUAAAUCCUAAAUUUUAAAUAAAAAAACACUAAAACUCUAAACUCUAAAUCCUAAACCUUAAACACUUUUGUGUUUUAGUGUUUAAUGAUUUUGAUUUAGAGUUUAGGAUUUAUCCAAGGGUUUAGGGUUUAGUAUUUAGGGUUUAGGAUUAUGAUUUAGGGUUUAGUGUUUUGCUGACGACGUUAAAAAUAUAUUUUUUGUAAUUAGUAUUAUUUUUUUAUUUUUUUUACCUUUUAAUUUAAAAAACAUAAUAUAAUUUGACAAUAUUUUGUUUUCUUUUCUAAAAGAUAUCGAAUAUGAAAUAACACAAUUCUAUUGGUCGGUGAACCUCGCUUUUGUUUAACCAAAUGUUAGCAAAUCUACAUAUCUUUUAAUUUGUUAUCACUUAUCAAUCACUUUUUACUCUUGCGACCAUAAGUGGAGAUAGAAUCCGUAUCUACCAGGUUGGACUGGACUGCCUGUGUUCUUAAAACUCACUUGGUUUCCUUAGUAGUUAUUAUGGAUCUCCUUUACUUUUUGGUAAAGUUGUAGUUAAUCGGAAAUUACAUACCACAACUAAACCAGAACAAACCAAUCUGAAACCGAGAUACACAAUUCAAUUUGGAAACCAAAGAAAUCCAAGGACGCUGUCAUGGACUCAUGGUUCACAAACCAAACAUCAGAGAUCUGGUUAUCUCAGACCGAUAUAGUUAGGUAACUUUGUAACGGUUUUGGUUGACUUUGAGAUCGGGAUGCGGCUAUUAUGAGCCAUGAACAUCACCAUCCAUCGGUAUCAAAACGACAAUACAGUCCCACAUACAAAGGUGAAGAAGAAGAUCUUUAUAGAUUUGCUUCUGAUGGUCUUAAAUCAAAGAUCAUGCAUUAACAAUCACAACGACCAAGAAUCUCUAAAAUUAUAGUUUUCAACAUCAACAGUAGAUGAAUAAACAUUGACAAAAAAAAACCACACUUUAUAAAAUUCCAACAUAGUCGGGUCUAUUAACUUGGCUGAUAGCCUGUAGUUAUUUAAUGUUUUCAAAAAAAAAAACCAUAAACAAAAAUGAUUUAGACAUUUAUCGUGGAAAGUAAGAUCAAGAUUAGUCUUUAGACGACGUGGGAAAUUGCCAGUGUCAUUGUCAUGAACCAAAGAUGUGGCAUAUAGCAAUCUCGUGCCCACAAUUGACAUGAGUUUAGUCAAUUUCAAUACAUUUUCCUCGAGGCUGCAUCAUUUUCAAACUCGCAAUUGAUUAAUUAGUGGAGGAAACUUCGUUCCUCCUCGCUUUGACUAUAUAUAUAUAGUAGAAACUAGUAAUGGAAGAAUGAUUAUAUAUAGACUUACCAUAAUUUUAAUUUAUAUGGUCUGAAAAAGGGUAUCUAUAGUGACAUGUUUAGAUGUGAUCGUCCUAUUAAUUAUCCUAAAAUUUAUAAAUUUAACGAGAAAGAUAGAGCAUGUGUGGAGAAAGAAGAAAUGGGCGGUGAGAAAACAGGAAGUGGAGAGUGCACUGAGAAUGGAAAGAGUCAACCAGAAAAUUAAUACCUGUUUUAAUUUUCUCUAGAUUUACUAUAUUUAGAAACUCCUAAUUUCACACGUUUCCUCCUCGCAUACCUCUCUUAGCAAUUGGCAUGCAUUAUCUAAUGUGUUGGUAUCCUUCUUUAAAAAAAAUUUCCCGGUGGGAGUCCCGUUGGUCCAAUGGAUUGACUAAUGGUUCAUUAACGUUUUUACACCAAGAGGUCUAGGUUUCGAUUCCCAAUGAAAAGAAAAUUAUGUGAAUUAAUGGAGAAAAAACUUACAAAAGAUCAACAACAUGACGCAAGGAAAACCGUCAAGCGUGGAUUCCAUAAAACAGUUCAGGUGAUACAGUUAAACGUGAAUCUUCGCAAGACAAGUAGAAAUAAUUAUCGAGCGUUAAAAAAAAAUUAUGAGAAGGUCAAGGUUAUAUAUUGUCUCUUAAUUAACUCGUAUAGAUUACCUUAGAGAUAGUCAUUAGCAAUAGUACUCUUGUUAUCAGAUAAUUUUUUGUAAGCUACAAAUGUGUAUCGCAUUUUUAGGUGCUCCAACUGUUUCUAUUCUUCAGCAAGAUUUUAAUAAAUAGGUACUAAAAUUCUAAGUGAUAACAAAUAAUUAUAUGCAUAAGAUCUAAACUGGAAAUCUUUUAAUGAAAGUUUGACAAGUGUCUCUCAAACUUUCUUCACCAAAUCGUUGAGUGCUACAUCUGCUAUUUUGAAGUUAGUUAGGUAUCAUCAUCGUUGGGAAAAAGUUUUAAAAGACCCAGUAUGCACUGACAAGUAACACGAGAACGACCAUAUAUUCGGCUGAUUCUGGCUACCAUCCUCCACAUAGUUUUGUUAUUUUUAUUCAAAAACGUCUAGAACAGAAAAUCUAUAGCUCAAAUCAUGCAAAACUUGGAAUAACGUCAGUAGUACAUAUUCAUAUAUAAUAUGUUACCUGUACAUUAAAUUACGCAAAACUUGGUUUAUCGAAAGGGACUAUAUACACUUAGUAACAAAAAAAAGAGGACUAUAUACACUUAAAUAUGUUACCUGUACAUUAAAUUACGCAAUCUUGAAUACUACGUCAUUGUUAUAAAUUAAGGAAGAUGAAAGGAUUUGAAUCUGUAUAUUAUUCAUUCACAGAGGUUCUUUUAUAUAUAAGAAUAGACCGUCAUAGAUAAAUAAAAAUUCAUAGUAAUAUGGAAAUCCUAAACAUACUAUGAAAAAAAAAAACCUAAGUACAUAAGUAAAAAGAAAGUCGGUCAAGUAUAAUGGAAAGCUUCCAGUCUCAUUUGGACAUGUGGUACGGGCCGGAUGGGCCGGUUCUAGUUGGACUGGAUCAGGCCGGUUAUGGUUCGUCCACAUAAGGAUUUAUAACACUCCCCCUUGGACGUCAUAACCAUUCAGGGUUCGUAAUGUGCUUUAUGUUGCCUCAAUAAAACCUUUUCAGGAAAACCCAAUGGGACAAAACCAUGGAUAAGGAAAAAGAGUACAACACACACACUACUCCCCCUAAUUUGAACCUUCCUGAAUGUUGAUUUUGAAAUAGCUCUUGCUGAAUUGUAACUUGAACGUAAUGCUUGAAAUUCUCAUGUCUUCUGGAAACUCGUGUGUGCAUGGACAAAACGUGAAUCUUUGCUGUCGACCACUCUAUACUUUUGGUCGGACAGAUCUCGACUAAACAUACUCAUUGACAAUAUAGACUGAGCAUGGUACCAUGAACUUGUAAUUUCAGGUCGUAAACCUAUGUUCUGGUGCAUCUUCUCCACACGGAUGUAUAUCAACCAUAUGCACCAAUAUCUUGUCCAUUACAGUUGAUCUUUCUUUAUUAUCAUCAGUCAUACUCUAAUCUGAUCGAUCCAUGUUGAGUCAUAGACCUCGUUUAUACAUGUCCAUAACUUGUCUCAUGAGUGUCUAAGAUCAUGACGUGGUCAAUGAUCAUUGCUGCAAUGAGUUUCACAAUCUCAUCAAACUAUGGCUAUGCGGCCAAAUACACUCAUGGACCUCAUACAUGGUUAUCGAUCUCUCUUGCCUUCGGUAAUGUCAUAUACAUUAGACCUUGACCAGACAUACCCCUGGUCAAUCUCUUUGGCCAUUAUGGUUCUACCUUGUCUAUUGAUAUACAUAAUGGUCUAUACUUACAUUUGCAGUCCUAUAUUUAUAUCUUGAUGGCGUCCUAUGACCUUUCUUGCUGUGGAUCAUACCACUCACUAGAAUAUAUAUUAGGUCAUGGACCUCGACCACACGUGCUUAUGGACUGCCACAUGAUAGCUGGUCUUUCUUUUCCACUAGCCAUACUACAAUCUGGUCGGUCCAUGUUGAUAUAUCAACUUCGACUAUAAAUUCUCUUGGCUAGUGUUACAGCGAUGGUUUAUAGUUUUUUCUGAGAUUUAAUAGAUAAUAUGUAUCAACCAAUUAACCUCUCUUUAGGCUGGUUUAGUAUAAAGUAAACACAAGGAAUUCAAAUUUCUUUUAUAAGUAUAUAUGUGGACUGAAUUUGGAUGAGCAAUAGUACUCUUGUUAUCAGAUAAUUUUUUGUAAGCUACAAAUGUGUAUCGCAUUUUUAGGUGCUCCAACUGUUUCUAUUCUUCAGCUAGAUUUUAAUAAAUAGGUACUAAAAUUCUAAGUGAUAACAAAUAAUUAUAUGCAUAAGAUCUAAACUGGAAAUCUUUUAAUGAAAGUUUGACAAGUGUCUCUCAAACUUUCUUCACCAAAUCGUUGAGUGCUACAUCUGCUAUUUUGAAGUUAGUUAGGUAUCAUCAUCGUUGGGAAAAAGUUUUAAAAGACCCAGUAUGCACUGACAAGUAACACGAGAACGACCAUAUAUUCGGCUGAUUCUGGCUACCAUCCUCCACAUAGUUUUGUUAUUUUUAUUCAAAAACGUCUAGAACAGAAAAUCUAUAGCUCAAAUCAUGCAAAACUUGGAAUAACGUCAGUAGUACAUAUUCAUAUAUAAUAUGUUACCUGUACAUUAAAUUACGCAAAACUUGGUUUAUCGAAAGGGACUAUAUACACUUAGUAACAAAAAAAAGAGGACUAUAUACACUUAAAUAUGUUACCUGUACAUUAAAUUACGCAAUCUUGAAUACUACGUCAUUGUUAUAAAUUAAGGAAGAUGAAAGGAUUUGAAUCUGUAUAUUAUUCAUUCACAGAGGUUCUUUUAUAUAUAAGAAUAGACCGUCAUAGAUAAAUAAAAAUUCAUAGUAAUAUGGAAAUCCUAAACAUACUAUGAAAAAAAAAAACCUAAGUACAUAAGUAAAAAGAAAGUCGGUCAAGUAUAAUGGAAAGCUUCCAGUCUCAUUUGGACAUGUGGUACGGGCCGGAUGGGCCGGUUCUAGUUGGACUGGAUCAGGCCGGUUAUGGUUCGUCCACAUAAGGAUUUAUAACACUCCCCCUUGGACGUCAUAACCAUUCAGGGUUCGUAAUGUGCUUUAUGUUGCCUCAAUAAAACCUUUUCAGGAAAACCCAAUGGGACAAAACCAUGGAUAAGGAAAAAGAGUACAACACACACACUACUCCCCCUAAUUUGAACCUUCCUGAAUGUUGAUUUUGAAAUAGCUCUUGCUGAAUUGUAACUUGAACGUAAUGCUUGAAAUUCUCAUGUCUUCUGGAAACUCGUGUGUGCAUGGACAAGACGUGAAUCUUUGCUGUCGACCACUCUAUACUUUUGGUCGGACAGAUCUCGACUAAACAUACUCAUUGACAAUAUAGACUGAGCAUGGUACCAUGAACUUGUAAUUUCAGGUCGUAAACCUAUGUUCUGGUGCAUCUUCUCCACACGGAUGUAUAUCAACCAUAUGCACCAAUAUCUUGUCCAUUACAGUUGAUCUUUCUUUAUUAUCAUCAGUCAUACUCUAAUCUGAUCGAUCCAUGUUGAGUCAUAGACCUCGUUUAUACAUGUCCAUAACUUGUCUCAUGAGUGUCUAAGAUCAUGACGUGGUCAAUGAUCAUUGCUGCAAUGAGUUUCACAAUCUCAUCAAACUAUGGCUAUGCGGCCAAAUACACUCAUGGACCUCAUACAUGGUUAUCGAUCUCUCUUGCCUUCGGUAAUGUCAUAUACAUUAGACCUUGACCAGACAUACCCCUGGUCAAUCUCUUUGGCCAUUAUGGUUCUACCUUGUCCAUUGAUAUACAUAAUGGUCUAUACUUACAUUUGCAGUCCUAUAUUUAUAUCUUGAUGGCGUCCUAUGACCUUUUUUGCCGUGGAUCAUACCACUGUAUUACAUACUAUAUGCAGCUGCUUUGUUUCAGUCCAUAAACAGCUUAGGAACAAUGUUGUUCUUUAUCCAGUGAUCCAUAUGCUGCUUACUACAUCAUUAUAUGUCAAUCUAAUUUCUUUCUUAUGACCAGACCUUUAUAAAUUCGAAAAUAUGUAGCAGCAUCCACCACAUUUGAAUAUAUCUCCUUAUAAACUGUUCCUGGUCUCUGUGAGUAUCCUUGUAUAACAAGCCAUGUUUUAAUGCUGUAAGUAGGAACAUGAACACCUUAGACCACGUGAUCAUGUUCUUCAUCUCACGAUUUUAUUUUCCUCACAGGACCCAUUUAUCCACUGGCUUAAUCAUCAUAUGGCGUCUCUAUAUUUAUAUGGCCAAUACGCCUAUCUCUUUAUAUAAUUUAAUCCCACGUUCCUUUUCAAUCUAAUCUUAAUCUUUACGAGUACUCUUACGUGGGUUCAUGAUACUCACUUAUAUCUUUAUGUUCAAGUGCUACUUUCUUGUGCAUCCUUAUACAAAUAUAUCAUCUAUGUGUCGAAACUCUUAUAUAGUUCCAUUGUGUUCCAGAUAUGAUCUAAUCGAUUUGAGAUCUCAUUAUCCAUGACCUUUAUUACCUAGCAGCUUGGCGUCCCAAGCUACAUGGUUUGGUCCCUUAGAUGUUCAGCUGGCCAGCCUUAUCUCUAUGUCUGGUCUGGUUUCCCUAAUGACCUCGGAUUUGUCUUAUCUUUCUAUGCACUUUUAUCAUUUCUUUCCGAGGAUUCUUAUCUUAUGGAACUCAUUGGUCUAUCUUGUAUAGACUCUGUAGCAACUUGACUAUGUCUCUUUCUAGGACAUCAAAUUCGUUUGGUGCUAAACUGGUAUGACUUAGUCAUUCUUUUCUUUUCAGGUCAAUGUGUCUUGCAUUUGAUUAGCUAGCUUUGUAUAAUUUUUCUUUUCUUUGGACGUCUUAAAUCAUAUUCUUUAGUCUGAUGAUCUUGCCAUGACAAUGAUGGUUAAUACCAUUCUAUUUUCUUAUCAUUCUUUUACUCUUGCCAUGACCAUACUACAAAUCCGUGUACCUGGCCUUAAUCUGAUCACCCAUAUUUGGCUCAAGGUUUCUUAAAACUCACGGGAGAAAAACAUACUCAUAUCCAACAUAUAUUCCCAAUCCUUUUCUGAGGUUCCAUCUUAGACGGCACAUAUGUCUGUGGUGGUUUAUUCAAAGUCUCUUAAGAUGGUAUAUGUCUGGCUCAUGACCCGUAUUCAAUCUGAGAUGGGAAUAUCUAUGCUCACUUGUAUGGCCUGAUGCAUAUUAACCUUAUAUACAUGUAAAACUCGUGAUGUCCCCAAGCUUUAGGCUGGAUGUGGAUUAUGUGUUUUAUAAAAGGGUCCAGCCAAGCCGUUUAUAGCAUGGUCAUAGGCCAUGGUACACGAAUUUGUAGUAUGGUCAUGGACCACGGGUUUAUCCUCACUCCCCCUCAUGAACAUACUAUAAUUUCGUGAUGCUUGGGACAAUAAAGCCUAAUGAGUUUUCCUUGUGUGCAUGUUACACAACGUGAGAUCCUAUGGGAUAACUCUGUGUGCCUUUUGCAAUAUCAAUCUUUGCAUCAAGUUUAUACUAGGAUGGCUAAUCCAGUCGUGCCAUAAAGUGUAUAAUUUCGUGGGGUAUACCAAUCUGGUUACCAUGGCUCUUGCCUCUUAUCAUACUGAUCUUUGGCAUAGUCUAGAUCAGUAGAGUACACAUUUAUAGUCUUGACCACUUUCUUGUAAGGCCUUAGGCGAUUUUUUUUCUUUAAUCUGAAGGAACUUUUGUUUCCUUUGCCCAUUGUUUCUAUUUGGAAACCAUUCUUAUUAUGACUCAAUGGGCCACAAAUUCUUGGGUGGAUAUAAUGCCCUUUAGGCAGUGCCUUGGCCGUAGGUCUAUAUUGGAAUGACUAUAUUCUCAUUUAUAAGCUCACAUUGGCGUUUUCAUCAAUCAAAAACAUUCAUAUAAAUCCAAAACAUCAAUAGUAAAGCAAUCAUAAAAACAAUCAAACAAGAUGUCGAAUUAGUCUUUGAGACAAUCUGAAAUCUCAUGAUCCAUAAGGUCAUCCUUUUUAUGGUCGAAAUCAUUAUCAACAUCAUACCCAUUAUCAUGAACCAUAUGGGCUUCCGGGUUCUUGGGGUUCUUGUUCUUAAGACUCUCUUGAUAGAGUUCACAUAAAUGCUUAGGGGUUCUACAAUUCUUAGCUCAAUGGUUACUCAUCCCGCAUCUGUGACAAACAGAUUUGGUCGAGUAAGGAGGCUUGGAUAUGCCGCCUCUACCAUGGCCAUAACUGCCUCGACCACGGCCAUAGUUGGAACCAUGACCACGGUUAUUGUGGUUUCCUUGCCCACGGCCGUAUGAGUAAUUGUCACGACCACCUCGUCCCUUGUACCCACCACGGCCUUUGCCGUGUGAUCUUCUUUCAUUAUAGACGUGGUUGCUAUCUUUGGGAUCUUUCUUUUCUUGUUCAGCCUUGUUGGCUUCUGGUAAUGGUGCUGAUCCGGGAGGUCUUAUCUCACUGUUCUUCAUCAGGAGUUCAUUAUUAGCCUCGGCCAGAGGUAGGCACGAGAUCAGAUCAGUGUAUGUGGCGAAGCCUCUCUCUCUAUACUGCUGUUGCAGCAACACAUUUGUGGAAUGGAAUGUGGAGAAGGUCUUAUCAAGUAACUCUUUCUCGGUUACUUCUUCACCACAAAGUCUAAUCAUUGAAACUAUCUUAAACAAUACUGAAUUGUAUUCAUCCACAGACUUAUAGUCCAUGAAUCUGAGAUUCUUCCACUCAUAUCUAGCCUUUGGUAGUAGCACCGUUUUCUGGUGAUCAUAUCGCCGCUGUAAAGCGGUCCAAAGGUCUAGUGGAUUCUCCAUGGUAAGGUAUUGAUCUUUUAAACCUUCAAUGAGAUGGUGACGUAUUAUACUUAUCGCCAUAUAUCGAUUCUUAUCAUUCUCAUUGUUGCCCUCAAUGAUAGUAUCACCGAGUCCCUUUGACCUCAGGUUGAUCUUUGUAUCUAGCGCCCAUUGCAAGUAUUUAUCUCCAGAGAGAUUAAGGGCAACAUAGUCUAGAUUUGAGAUUUUCGACAUCUGAAUCACAUUAUCAAUCAGAUUUUAGGGUUUCAUAAUGUGAUCAUGCGACCGUAAGACAAACAAGAAUAUUGGCCACAAUCAAAUCUUAUACGACCAUAAAUCAAUCAAUAGUAUCGACCAUAUAAAAUCUACUUGACCAUGGUGCGAACAGUCCUAGUUUAUGAUUCUAUAUGUAACAAAGAGAUUAGGCCACACGGCCAUAUAAUAUCAUGAUGCAAACUAUACAAGUUAUGCAAUCUAUAUAUCAUGCUGGUCGAGAAUUAAAUCAAGCGAAUGCAAUCAAUAAAUAUCAUUCAGCUUUAUAUGUUAUGCAAACAACCCUAACAAUCGGUUUCUAUUAUGCAACAAUAUAUAAAGUCUAGGGUUUCAAUUUAAACAAUAUAAGCAGCCGAUUUUAGCAAUAUGAAAUCAAGGUUUCAAGGCCUUUAGGAUUUUAAUUCGAGAUUCAAUCAAUCUAUUAAUCUUAAAACUCAGAUCAUCAAUCAUUCAAACAAGAAUAAUUUAAAACCUCAAUGAUCAAACGAUCAGACAAGAACACCAAACAAACCGAUUUACAAUUAGGGUUUUAGGGUUCUUCAUACAACCGAAUUUUACAUCAUAUCAUCUGGUUCUAUAUGAUCAAAUAAUCACAAAAUCUAACCGAUAUCCUAUCAUAAAUUUCUUGAUUCCAAACUUAGAGUAUUGAUUUCUAUUAUUAGGGUUUUGCAAGAUUUUAAUUUGUCUUAAACCUUUAUCAAUCAAGCCAAAUUCGAUGUGAGUUCUUAAUUAGGGUAAUCAGAUUUACCUUUUCUUUUGUAGGGUUGAACCGGACCACCAAAGAGCAGAGAGAGUUCACGAGCUGGUGCGUGCGGACUGGUCGGGUCGCGAAUCGGGAACGAGCUGAAGCUGGUCGGAUCGCUAUCGUCUCGCUGGAUCGUGCAGGCUGGACGGAUUGCUACCAGGUUGCUAUCGGCUCGUCGGGUGCGGCUGAGCUGGUCGUUAUCGGCUGCUUGUCGGAUCGUUGAACUGAUCUGAUCGGAUGAAGAAGAAAAACAGCCGAGAGAGAAAAAGGAAACAAGGUUUUUGUCGGCUGGGAUUUUAGGGUUUAUGGGUUUCGGAUUUAGCUUAGGGUUUUAGAGACUAUCGUGCUGAUAAUGUGUUAUAAAAUAAGGAAGAUGAAAGGAUUUGAAUCUGUAUAUUAUUCAUUCACAGAGGUUCCUUUAUAUACAAGAAUAUACAAGAAUAGACCGUGCCUCGACCACGGCCAUAGUUGGAACCAUGACCACGGUUAUUGUGGUUUCCUUGCCCACGGCCGUAUGAGUAAUUGUCACGACCACCUCGUCCCUUGUACCCACCACGGCCUUUGCCGUGUGAUCUUCUUUCAUUAUAGACGUGGUUGCUAUCUUUGGGAUCUUUCUUUUCUUGUUCAGCCUUGUUGGCUUCUGGUAAUGGUGCUGAUCCGGGAGGUCUUAUCUCACUGUUCUUCAUCAGGAGUUCAUUAUUAGCCUCGGCCAGAGGUAGGCACGAGAUCAGAUCAGUGUAUGUGGCGAAGCCUCUCUCUCUAUACUGCUGUUGCAGCAACACAUUUGUGGAAUGGAAUGUGGAGAAGGUCUUAUCAAGUAACUCUUUCUCGGUUACUUCUUCACCACAAAGUCUAAUCAUUGAAACUAUCUUAAACAAUACUGAAUUGUAUUCAUCCACAGACUUAUAGUCCAUGAAUCUGAGAUUCUUCCACUCAUAUCUAGCCUUUGGUAGUAGCACCGUUUUCUGGUGAUCAUAUCGCCGCUGUAAAGCGGUCCAAAGGUCUAGUGGAUUCUCCAUGGUAAGGUAUUGAUCUUUUAAACCUUCAAUGAGAUGGUGACGUAUUAUACUUAUCGCCAUAUAUCGAUUCUUAUCAUUCUCAUUGUUGCCCUCAAUGAUAGUAUCACCGAGUCCCUUUGACCUCAGGUUGAUCUUUGUAUCUAGCGCCCAUUGCAAGUAUUUAUCUCCAGAGAGAUUAAGGGCAACAUAGUCUAGAUUUGAGAUUUUCGACAUCUGAAUCACAUUAUCAAUCAGAUUUUAGGGUUUCAUAAUGUGAUCAUGCGACCGUAAGACAAACAAGAAUAUUGGCCACAAUCAAAUCUUAUACGACCAUAAAUCAAUCAAUAGUAUCGACCAUAUAAAAUCUACUUGACCAUGGUGCGAACAGUCCUAGUUUAUGAUUCUAUAUGUAACAAAGAGAUUAGGCCACACGGCCAUAUAAUAUCAUGAUGCAAACUAUACAAGUUAUGCAAUCUAUAUAUCAUGCUGGUCGAGAAUUAAAUCAAGCGAAUGCAAUCAAUAAAUAUCAUUCAGCUUUAUAUGUUAUGCAAACAACCCUAACAAUCGGUUUCUAUUAUGCAACAAUAUAUAAAGUCUAGGGUUUCAAUUUAAACAAUAUAAGCAGCCGAUUUUAGCAAUAUGAAAUCAAGGUUUCAAGGCCUUUAGGAUUUUAAUUCGAGAUUCAAUCAAUCUAUUAAUCUUAAAACUCAGAUCAUCAAUCAUUCAAACAAGAAUAAUUUAAAACCUCAAUGAUCAAACGAUCAGACAAGAACACCAAACAAACCGAUUUACAAUUAGGGUUUUAGGGUUCUUCAUACAACCGAAUUUUACAUCAUAUCAUCUGGUUCUAUAUGAUCAAAUAAUCACAAAAUCUAACCGAUAUCCUAUCAUAAAUUUCUUGAUUCCAAACUUAGAGUAUUGAUUUCUAUUAUUAGGGUUUUGCAAGAUUUUAAUUUGUCUUAAACCUUUAUCAAUCAAGCCAAAUUCGAUGUGAGUUCUUAAUUAGGGUAAUCAGAUUUACCUUUUCUUUUGUAGGGUUGAACCGGACCACCAAAGAGCAGAGAGAGUUCACGAGCUGGUGCGUGCGGACUGGUCGGGUCGCGAAUCGGGAACGAGCUGAAGCUGGUCGGAUCGCUAUCGUCUCGCUGGAUCGUGCAGGCUGGACGGAUUGCUACCAGGUUGCUAUCGGCUCGUCGGGUGCGGCUGAGCUGGUCGUUAUCGGCUGCUUGUCGGAUCGUUGAACUGAUCUGAUCGGAUGAAGAAGAAAAACAGCCGAGAGAGAAAAAGGAAACAAGGUUUUUGUCGGCUGGGAUUUUAGGGUUUAUGGGUUUCGGAUUUAGCUUAGGGUUUUAGAGACUAUCGUGCUGAUAAUGUGUUAUAAAAUAAGGAAGAUGAAAGGAUUUGAAUCUGUAUAUUAUUCAUUCACAGAGGUUCCUUUAUAUACAAGAAUAUACAAGAAUAGACCGUGCCUCGACCACGGCCAUAGUUGGAACCAUGACCACGGUUAUUGUGGUUUCCUUGCCCACGGCCGUAUGAGUAAUUGUCACGACCACCUCGUCCCUUGUACCCACCACGGCCUUUGCCGUGUGAUCUUCUUUCAUUAUAGACGUGGUUGCUAUCUUUGGGAUCUUUCUUUUCUUGUUCAGCCUUGUUGGCUUCUGGUAAUGGUGCUGAUCCGGGAGGUCUUAUCUCACUGUUCUUCAUCAGGAGUUCAUUAUUAGCCUCGGCCAGAGGUAGGCACGAGAUCAGAUCAGUGUAUGUGGCGAAGCCUCUCUCUCUAUACUGCUGUUGCAGCAACACAUUUGUGGAAUGGAAUGUGGAGAAGGUCUUAUCAAGUAACUCUUUCUCGGUUACUUCUUCACCACAAAGUCUAAUCAUUGAAACUAUCUUAAACAAUACUGAAUUGUAUUCAUCCACAGACUUAUAGUCCAUGAAUCUGAGAUUCUUCCACUCAUAUCUAGCCUUUGGUAGUAGCACCGUUUUCUGGUGAUCAUAUCGCCGCUGUAAAGCGGUCCAAAGGUCUAGUGGAUUCUCCAUGGUAAGGUAUUGAUCUUUUAAACCUUCAAUGAGAUGGUGACGUAUUAUACUUAUCGCCAUAUAUCGAUUCUUAUCAUUCUCAUUGUUGCCCUCAAUGAUAGUAUCACCGAGUCCCUUUGACCUCAGGUUGAUCUUUGUAUCUAGCGCCCAUUGCAAGUAUUUAUCUCCAGAGAGAUUAAGGGCAACAUAGUCUAGAUUUGAGAUUUUCGACAUCUGAAUCACAUUAUCAAUCAGAUUUUAGGGUUUCAUAAUGUGAUCAUGCGACCGUAAGACAAACAAGAAUAUUGGCCACAAUCAAAUCUUAUACGACCAUAAAUCAAUCAAUAGUAUCGACCAUAUAAAAUCUACUUGACCAUGGUGCGAACAGUCCUAGUUUAUGAUUCUAUAUGUAACAAAGAGAUUAGGCCACACGGCCAUAUAAUAUCAUGAUGCAAACUAUACAAGUUAUGCAAUCUAUAUAUCAUGCUGGUCGAGAAUUAAAUCAAGCGAAUGCAAUCAAUAAAUAUCAUUCAGCUUUAUAUGUUAUGCAAACAACCCUAACAAUCGGUUUCUAUUAUGCAACAAUAUAUAAAGUCUAGGGUUUCAAUUUAAACAAUAUAAGCAGCCGAUUUUAGCAAUAUGAAAUCAAGGUUUCAAGGCCUUUAGGAUUUUAAUUCGAGAUUCAAUCAAUCUAUUAAUCUUAAAACUCAGAUCAUCAAUCAUUCAAACAAGAAUAAUUUAAAACCUCAAUGAUCAAACGAUCAGACAAGAACACCAAACAAACCGAUUUACAAUUAGGGUUUUAGGGUUCUUCAUACAACCGAAUUUUACAUCAUAUCAUCUGGUUCUAUAUGAUCAAAUAAUCACAAAAUCUAACCGAUAUCCUAUCAUAAAUUUCUUGAUUCCAAACUUAGAGUAUUGAUUUCUAUUAUUAGGGUUUUGCAAGAUUUUAAUUUGUCUUAAACCUUUAUCAAUCAAGCCAAAUUCGAUGUGAGUUCUUAAUUAGGGUAAUCAGAUUUACCUUUUCUUUUGUAGGGUUGAACCGGACCACCAAAGAGCAGAGAGAGUUCACGAGCUGGUGCGUGCGGACUGGUCGGGUCGCGAAUCGGGAACGAGCUGAAGCUGGUCGGAUCGCUAUCGUCUCGCUGGAUCGUGCAGGCUGGACGGAUUGCUACCAGGUUGCUAUCGGCUCGUCGGGUGCGGCUGAGCUGGUCGUUAUCGGCUGCUUGUCGGAUCGUUGAACUGAUCUGAUCGGAUGAAGAAGAAAAACAGCCGAGAGAGAAAAAGGAAACAAGGUUUUUGUCGGCUGGGAUUUUAGGGUUUAUGGGUUUCGGAUUUAGCUUAGGGUUUUAGAGACUAUCGUGCUGAUAAUGUGUUAUAAAAUAAGGAAGAUGAAAGGAUUUGAAUCUGUAUAUUAUUCAUUCACAGAGGUUCCUUUAUAUACAAGAAUAGACCGUUAUAGAUAAAUGGAAAUCUAUAAUAAUAUGAAAAUCCUAAACAUACUAGGAAAAGGAAAACCUAAGUACAUAAGUAAAAGGAAAGUCGGUCAAGUAUAAUGGAAAGCUUCCAGCCGCCUUUGGACAUGUGGUACGGGCCGGAUGGGCCGGUUCUGGUUGGACUGGAUCAGGCCGGUUAUGGCUCGUCCACAUAAGGAUUUAUAACAGUCAUAGAUUUUUUUUUUAUAGCAAAAAGUAUAUACACAUUUUUGGCUUUUUAAUGUACUACAUAGUGUUUGGAAAUUUCACAAUAUUGUUUUUCUUUUCAAAAGUAUCAUAAUAUUUCAACAAAAAAAAACACAACAGAAUCUUUUUGUACAAAAGAAAAACUUCUUACAACUAAGAACAUCAUUAUUGCACAAAAAAUGGGGUGCUUAGCCCUAUGGACCCCACAAAAAUGGCAAGCAACGAUGUUUUCAGCUGCAAAAUAAGCGCCGCGUUUUGUUUGUUGUUUCUAUUAUUCGCGGACUCCACCGACACGUGGCGGUCCGCGAUUAAUUUUUUUUUAAUUUUUUUUAUAAUCAGAUAAAAAAAAAUAAAAAAUAAAAAAUAAUAAUAAAUAAGCACCCCUUUAGGAGUGCUGGAAUAAAGAUGGUCUAAGGGCUUCAUACUAAAAAAAAUCUAGACAUCCUUCCGAGAGAUGUAUGAUAUGUUUUAAAAGAAAUGUUUUACUAAAACACUACAAAUAGAGACAUUUCGAUGAGAUUUUAUGAUAAAAUUAAAUACAAAAAUAAAUCACCGUUUUUUAUGUACAUCCCUCCUCCUCACUAUUUCUUUUUCCUUCUCACUAUUUCAUAUCACUUCCAAAUGUAUAAUUCGUAUUAUGAAAACUAUAAUUUUGUGUCACUUAUUUUAAUUGACAGGUGUCUAGUAUAGUGUGUAGCUGACCUCAUUCUGAUGGCUGAAUGUGUUUGGCGCCCUAGAAAUAAAGUAAUGCUUCCUCGAAAUAUAAUUCUCCACACUGUAUUUUUCCUUCAGGUAAUCGGCUAUCAAAGGUAAGAUAGUAGAUACGUUAAGAAAUCUCUUGGAAUACUUGAGAUUAAAAUAAAGUAAUCUAACUAAAGAGCUUAAGAUAUUUUCCGGUAACAAAAUAUCUAUAUUCUUGUGGUUUGCUAACACUAAUCAUCUAGCAUUAACGAUCAAGAAUAUCUCCACGUAGAAACGCAGUCGUCAUUAAGUUCUCUACUACCAAAAUCAUAAGUUGGGCAGAUACUUAAACUAGAGAAUAAUUAGUUUAACCUAACUAAAGUCCAUAUUAAGAAAUGAUUAAGUUAUAGACCAGUAGACAUUAUAAAAGUUUCUUGAGUGCAAAUGGUAGGAUCUUGCUAUGGACGGUUUGAGUUAAAUCAGCAUCUAUAUGUUGCAAUGCCUUUUCUUUCCCAAUGGUAUCUUUGAUCUUCACAAAGACUCAACCUUUCUUUUGGACAACAGACUCUAUUCUUGAACUUUUUAUUUUUCAUUUACAACCAUCCAUGGAUUUUAAUUUAUUUUACUUUUCGGUCAAGAGAACAAUCACCUUUGCAGUUUGAAUGGACCAUGUGAAUAUAUACAUUUAUACAUCCAAAUUCGAUCGUAGUAAAUAAAAAUUUGAGGUGGUUUCCCGUCUAUUAUAAAUGUAUUAUAUAGCUUAAUACUAGCUCUUUAAGCUUAAUUUGAUUUAGUAACAAGAAAAUACACUUUAGUUACAUUUAACUUAAUCAAAAGCGGAUAAUUAAUAAUUUGUUUCUGUCAAGUUACUACUUUCUCCGUUUCAUAUUAAGUGUCGUUUUAGAGAAUUUUUUUCGUUACAAAAUAAAUGUCUUUUUCGAUUUUCAAUGCAAAAUUUAUUUUUUUAUUGGUUGAAAUAUGGUUAGGUGUAUAGGUAAUAGUGUUUUUUUAUAGAAAAUGUAAAAAAUUAAUUAUUUCCUUAAUCUGUGUGCAAAAACUUAAAACCACAUUUAUUAUAAUAUGAUUGUGUUUACGAGUCAAAGGCAAGCAAUUAUUGAGAGAAGUUGACCAAACCCAAGAAUCUUCGGUUAUUGUUCCAAUGGUCCAACAACAGAAAAUAUCUCUUACAUUAAAGUCAGUAUUACAUUUUUGCGAGACUUUGGAAUUUUUUUCAUCUAAAGAUACAUUACUUAUGUCAAAUUAAUUAUUUUUCCGUUUAACAAAAAAGAUUAAGAUAAACGUGUUUUCUUGUUUCUAAAAAACAGUUAUUCCAAAAAACUGUUAUCUAUGGAAGCUCAUUAGUCCAACAAUUUGAUUAAGCGUUUGUACGGUGAGAAUUUCAGAGUUCAAACUCUAAAAAAUCCAAAUUACGCGAUUAUAGAGAAAAAAUGUUACAAGAAAUCUUCAGCAUGAUGAUGCAGAGCAUACCAUCAUACAUGAAUCUCAUAGGAUGGUUCGGAACGACACAGUCAAACGUGUAUUUUUAUAAGGUGGUAGAAUUGUCGGCCGUAAAAUCAUCUAUUUAAUAAUUUUCAUUUUUCAUCGUUGUAAUAAUAUAAUGAACCAUACGUUAAAAAAAUGUUAUUUUUAUAUAUUUAAAAUGAAUAUUCACCAAGAAUACCAAAUGGGCAAAUUUCCAAAAUAGCAAAUUUCUAAGUUUAUAUCACAAAAACAGCACUCAAAAACUAAAAUGAUCAAAAUAGCACAUUUCUAAGUUUAUCCUUUGAAAAUUUUAAUUUUUUUAUUUUUCAAAAUUUGAAAUCUUAUCCCCAAAACCUCAUUUCUCAACUCUAAACCCUAAACCCUAAACUCUAAACCCUAAACCCUAAACCCUAAACCUUAAACUCUAAACCAUAAACCCUAAACUCUAAACCCUAAACCCUAAACUCUAAACCCUAAACCCUAAACCCUAAACCUUAAACUCUAAACCAUAAACCCUAAACUCUAAACCCUAAACCCUAGACCCUAAAUCCUAAACCCCACCUUUUAACUCUAAACCCUAAGUUUGUGACUUUUGAUAAAACAUUAAGUGCUAUUUUUGUGACUUUUGACUUUGAGUGCUAGUUUUGGAACAAAAACUUGAUUUAAUGCUAUUUUUGUCUGUUUCUCAUACGAAAUUCCACUAUUCAUUCCUUAUUAAUAAAUUUUAGUUAAUUAAUACUAUUAAAACAUAGUAAUUGACGAUAAAUAAUAAAAAUUUAUUAUUCUGAACAUGGCAUGAAUGCUAAUUUCAAUAGUCCUGGACAGAAAGCUAACAAGUAAUGUAAUAUCAGCUAUUAAAUAACCACAUAUUAUAAAAAUGAGCCGUGUUGUAUUGUAAAUGACAAAAGCAACCCUGUCGACAGAGAUAUAUUACGAAGGCGACAUACCAAGUAGAACUCUCGCACUCUCUCUCUAUAAAGCUGAGCUCCUCUUUGCCUCUCUAAAAACCUCUCAGACUCAAAUCAAAUCAAAUCCUUUCUCUUUUUCGAAACUCUCAAACCUCAACAGAAAAAAAUGGCGCGAAUUCUCUUCCGUCUUCUCGGAGAAUCCAACACUCCGUCGCCUGUCACGGAUACCUCCACCGUGUCUUUGAACUCCGACCUCGUCGUCAUCCUCGCCGCUCUCAUCUGCGCCUUGAUCUGCGUCCUCGGUCUAAUCGCCGUCUCUCGAUGCGUCUGGCUCCGCCGUCUCGCCGCCGGUACCAGAACCUCCUCCGGAUCCCAAGACGGUUCCGGCCAAUCUCCUCCGCAGCAGGCAGCGGCGGCGAACAAAGGACUGAAGAAGAAAGCGCUCCAGUCUCUCCCGAAGGUGACUUUCUCGCCGGAAUCGCCUUCAUCGGAGAAAUUCGCCGAGUGCGCGAUCUGCCUUACCGAGUUCUCCGCCGGCGACGAGCUCCGUGUUUUGCCGCAGUGUGGUCACGGAUUCCACUUGUCAUGCAUUGACACGUGGCUCGGGUCUCACUCGUCUUGCCCUUCUUGCCGUCAGAUCUUGGUUGUUGCCAGGUGUCAUAAGUGUGGCGGGUUGCCCGGUAGCUCCAGCUCCGGGUCUGAACCUGAGCCCGAACCUGAAAUCGUGAUCCGAAUUAAGCAAGGCGAAGAUGAUCCUAGCUCCUACUUGCCCUGAUUCGUUUUGUUCCUUCUUCGUAUGUUAGAUAUCUUUUACUAUAAUUUAAUGCAGAUUAGUGGAUAGUGUUUAUUCUCUUAAUAUGUACAUUUUUAUAUUGUAAUUUGUAAAUGUUGUAUUAAAUUGAAAUUUAGCAAUUUGCGUCUAAUCUUUUUUACUACUUUGAGUUUACGGGUACUUUUACGACCUACUGGAAGUUGAUAAUUCGAUCUCACCGAAUCGUCUGAUUUGUGUUUAAGUUUGUGAUUUUUUUUUCCCAUGAAAAUUGAUAUGUUUUCUUUCUCAAAAAAGAUAAAAGAAGAAAACUGAUCUGUUUUAGUUUUAUGCACUGUAUAUUAGUUUUAUGCAUAAACCUACCCAGUCGAAUUUGAAUAAGGUUUUCGGAUUUUCGUGUUAAGCAAUCUACUAACCUUAUUCGUGUUUUUGUUUUGUUUUUGGUAUUAAUGGUAUGUGUUCGAUUUCAGAUUGAACUCCGAAAAUGCCCAGAACAAGAAAAUGCCAUUAACCCGAUAACUUACAUAAAUCAAAAUCAAAACAUACAAACAUACAGUAGUUCUCGGCAUUGAUUCUUUGGCCCAUACAACUUUUCGUGUCUGAACAAGUUUUAGAGUCUAAAUCCUUAAUUCUUUGGUUCAUCUUUCUCGCAUGUGUGAAAGUUUCAGAGUCUAAGCUCUCAACUCUUUAAGUCAUUUUUUUCGUUUUCACAUUUAGUAGUUCUCGGAUCAAAAGCCAUCAAGUUUGUGGAUCAAAAAAAAAUUAAAACCGUCUCCAUAUGUUUAUCGCCUAGUAGGUGUGCAAUUUACAAAUUCAUACUUAGACUUACACAUUCCCGCUACUAUCUUAAACUGACCCAAAUUCAUAAACGACAAUUUUGUAUGUUUCUAAUAUGUUUGAAUAUAUUAUAAAUUAAUUUUCAUGAAACAUAGGGUGCAACACUAGCAGCUAGGUUUCAACCACAAAAAACCAGAAAAAUUGUGUUUCAUGUACAAAAUUAAAAUAAUUCUAAGAACAAAUCUUAUGCUAGAGACAUUAUUAAAACAUAUUGUAAAAAGGAAAAGCUCUCUAACUCGGUCCGGUUCAUUUAUAUAUAUAUAAUAUAUGUUUCAACAUUUAAAUCCUACAAACAAUCAAUUCCUUAUAAAUACUGCAUGAGAAUGUUGAUCUAUCACACUCUAUCUCAAACAAAAAAAUCUAAUUGGAAAAAAAUUACUUUGGUUCUUUUGCAACUUAAUGACUGAUAUAAAAAAUGUGUUAUCAAGUGUAAACUCUGGUUUUUUGUUGUUGAAGUAUUAGAACUUGUUUACUAAAUAGUAAUAUAAGAACCAAAUGUAAAAAAAAAAUCAAAAAAAGAAAGAAAAAGAACGAAAUGUCUUUGCAACAGCGAAAGCCUUUAGAUAACUAGACUUCCUGUGUCAUCUAAUAUCUGUUUUUAUUUCAUUGCUUCAUUGAAUAAUGGAAAUGGUUUGAGGUCCAGUGAUCGACCUGAUGUAUUCAAUUUUGAAUCGUACUCUGAAUCAUUCUUUAACUUAUAUGCUCGAGUUGGUUCACCGAGUGGUAAGCAUGUUGAUGGUGACAACCAUUCUUCAACAUAAAAUAUCAAAUAUUGCUACAAAAGAGAAAAAACAAAUACCAUUCUAGCGCUGCGCAUUUGAUUUCUAUAUUAUAAAGUCAAGAGAAUUAAAUUUAUGUAAUGACACUAUCGAGUAUCGACCGAUAGCCUAUUCUAGGAAACUCAAGCUCGUUAGUUUAGUAGCUUAUUUUGUCCAACAAAUAGCCACUAGCGUUGUUAACCACUAUGUUGUUCAACUUGGUUUAAAAAAUUAAUACAUUCAUUAAAACUCAUAAAUAUAAGUGGAUUUUCAAUUUAUAAUGCCUGAACGUCAUAUUAAAGAAUAUGAAUACGCCGACAAAAAAUCAUUUGAAUACAAUUUCUGUUUAAAAUUGAGCACCAAAAGACUAAGGGGAGACUAAUCAGUUGAUUACCUGAUUUUUUUUAUAGUUUCUUGCUAACUACGGGAAUAUUCCCCAAUAAAUGGGAAAGGAAAUCUGGCCAGUGUGCGUGAUACAAAUGGUACGUAAUGGCCUGAUGGGUCUGAUACCUUUCCAUGUGCACUAUAAAUUUUAUAAAUUUUAAUUAUAUCUAAAAAUAAAUUUUUAUUAUUAUUAUAGAAUUUAUUAUUUUUACCAAUAUUUUAAUAUAAUUUUUUAUUUAAUUAAACAUAAAAUUAAGAUAAAAUAAACAAUUUUAAUUUUAUUUUAUUUAAAAAUAAGAUAGAGAAAUUCUCUAGGAUAGCCUUUUUUAAGUUUUUGUCACAAAAAUAACAUUCAAUGAAGAAAAUGACCAAAAUAAGUUUUAUUAAAAGGUAAACUAAUCUAGGGUUAACUAAUCUAGACUUAGGGUUUAGAGUUAAGGGGUAGAGUUUUGGGGAUAGAGUUUCAAAUUUAAAAAAAUAAAAAAUUAAAAUUAAAAUUUUCAAAAUAAAAAAGGACUACUUUGGUCAUUUUUUUAGGGCUAUUUUUGUGACAAAAACUUAAAAAUGUCUAUUUGAAAGAAUUGCCUAGAUAGAUAUGUAUAUAUUUAAAAUUAUAAUCUCCGAUAAAUUUUUAUAUAUUUCUUUUAGAUAAAAAUAUAUUAAACCAAUUUGUAUAAAAUUAAGAAAAAUUGAUAUAAAAAUUGUAUAAUCAUCAAAAAUUAAAACUAAACAGUAUUUCUAAAAUUUGUACAUAUAUAAAAAACUAAUAAUAUUCCGAUUAAAAAAUCCUUUUUAGUAACAAAAUUAUAUAUUUAUAAAAAAUAGAGAUAAAUAAUAUUUUGAAAUUUGUAGAAUGUUAUUAUAUUUCUAUUAUUAUAUUAUUUAAUGUAUAUUUGUAUAGAUUUAGUUUAAUGAUGAUGUAUAAUUUAUUAUUAUAUUCUAAAAAAUUUACCAAAAAUAUAAGUAAACAUUAAAAGUAAUUGUCUACAUCAUAUUUAACCGUAAGACAUAUCGUCAUUUCUACUAUGUCAUGUCAAAUUUAUUUACUAAAAAUGAUUAUAACGAUGACACGUGUCAAAAUUAUUUCGUCUACGGAAUGUCUAGAGAUAACAAUAAUCAAAUAACUAUUUGUAUUUCUUCAACUUCUUUUAGGUUUUAGCCUUUUAGGGGUUAUAUAAUUUCGGGAAUACGAGCCUAUGAUCCACUAAAUCGGAUGGAUUUUAUAAUUAACUAUAAGAAUAGAAAGAGUCAAGAUGACUGCAGUCUGCAGCAGACUGCAAGAAAUUAAAUUUUGUUUUGUCUUCUAGCUUUUUUGAGUUUUGACCUAACAAAUAGAUUGUGAUAUUCCUCAUAUAUAUUUAAGAAUUUAAGUUAAUCUUUGAAUAAAAUAAUUGUUAGAUUUAUAAAUUGAUAGUUUAGUUUAAAUUCUUUUCGUCAACAGUGGUUUAGUUAUUUAAAUUGAAUAUUAUUCGUUUGCAAUUAAGGGGAGCCAUUGAAUUAAAAACGACGGAUGGUCCACCAUAUAAUUCCAUCACAAGCAUGUCCACUACGGAAAGUGCGUCCUUGUGCUUAGUGCUGCUAACCAUAUUAUAAACAUAUUUAUAUUGUAAUUUAAUCCCUUUUAAUUCAACAAAAACUUACGACCAUUAACCUAAAGUUCAAUUUAUAGUGGACUGUGAGAAAACUAUAUUUUUGAAUAUUUAUUCAUGAGAAUAGUAAUUUGUUUAGAAAUGUGCGGUCAAAUUUUAUGGAAAACCGAAUUUAUGAGAGCGGAAAAAACACACAAAAUUGUUAACGGAAUUCGGCUAAUGUUGUCUACGUCUCCGGAUCUGCUACAGAUCUUUUAUUAUCAACCCGAAAAAUUUUACAAUCUCUCAACUCACACCCGACCCCAAAUACACUCAAGAAAAUUAUUCUUAAUUUUCUUACAAGAGAUUUCUUUCACACAAAAAAUUUCUUUCUCUCUUGAACACUUUACUCUUGUGUUCUUCUUUGUUUUGGGAUACAUUUCAGAAACGAAAAGUUUGUAUAUUUAUAGGAAGAGCUUGAGGAGUAGGUGGACAUAAUUGUUGACAAAAGACCUCCUUCUUUGACUUUUGUUUUUCACUUCUUUCACCGUCCAACUUCACCGUCCAUUAUGAAACACGUGAUGUAACUAACAAUCUCCCAUUUGAAGACUGAUUUCAAUCCUGUCUUCACACCUUGAUCAAUAUUGCAGGUCUUCCCAACUUGUUACUCCAACAAGCUAACUGAAGUUGCACACAACCUCAACUUAUCAUACGGCACGUCACGACCUUCGGUAGCAUGUCUGUCGGAUUCUUACUUCAUGGGAUCUUUUCAAGCACCAACAUUUCAUCUUCUAAUGCUGAUCUGAUGAAAUGAUAUCGACGAUGUAUGUGCUUCGUCCGAGCAUGGUAAACGGAUUCUUUGCCAAAUCGAUGGCACUUUUACUAUCACAGUAUAACACACUUUUCCCUUGGUCAUGGCCUAGCUCUUCUAGAAAAGAUUGUAGCCAUAUCAUCUCUUUUGUUGCCUCCGUUACCGCAACAUACUCAGCUUCACAGCUUGAUAGAGAUACAAUUUUCUACAACUUUCAAACCCAACAAAUUGCAGUACCACCAAAGGUGUAGACAUACCCGGUUGUGCUCUUCGUGCUGUCAAUGUCACCUCCAUUGUCAGCAUCAACAUAUCCCUGCAAUCCCGUCUUAGACUUCGUGAAACAUAGCGAUAAACUUGGAUUUCCUUUUAGAUAUAUAUCUGAAAAUCCACUUAACGGCUUCCCAAUGUUCCUUUCAUGGAUUACUCAUAAAUCUGCUAACGACUCCCACUUCAUGUGCAAUGUCUGGCCUUGUACAUAUCAUCGCGUACAUCAAGCUGCCAAUAGCAGAAGCAUAUGGAAUUUUAUCCAUAUAUUCCAUCUCGUCUUCCGUCUUUGGAGAUUGUUCUUUGGAUAACAGAAAAUGACUUGCCAGGGGAGUACUAACUGGCUUCGCGUCAUCCAUGUUAAACCUCUUGAGGACUUUCUUCACAUACUCCUCUUGUGAUAGCUUAAGACCUUCCUUGCUUCUACUGAUUCUCAUCCCUAGAAUCUGUCUUGCUUCUCCAAGAUCUUUCAUCGCAAACUCUUCUGAGAGUUUCGUCUUCAAGCUAUUGAUCUCGUGCAAGUCUGCUCCUACUAUCAGCAUGUCAUCGACAUAUAGGAGCAAUAUCAAGUAGGACUCUUCAAGCGUCUUGAAGUAACAACAGUGGUCAGCUUCACACCUCAAGAAACCAACGCCUUUAAUAAAGUUGUCGAACCGUUUAUACCACUUUGUCUUGGAGCUUGUUUUCAGCUGUACAAACUCCUUUUCAGCUUGCAAGCAAGGCUUUCCUUUCCUUUGAUCUCAAAUCCUUCGGGUUGCCUCAUAUAUAUUUCCUCAUCCAAAUCACCGUGAAGAAAUGUUGUCUUCACAUCCAUCUGCUAAAGAUGCAGAUCUUUUUGUAUCUUCUUGUGCUACCAGCCCAAGAACCGUUCUGAUGGUCACCAACUUGACUACAGGAGAGAAGAUUUCGGUGUUGUCAGCGCCUUAUUUUUGCUGGAAUCCCUUCACAACAAGCCUCGCUUUAUAGCGCUUACUCCCAUUAGGUUCUUCUUUUAUUCGGUAGACCCACUUGUUAUGCAAUGCCUUUUUCUCCUUAGGCAAAUCUGCUAACUCCCACGUGUGAUUGGAUAACAACGAGUCCAUCUCGUCGUUCAUUGCAAGCUCCCACUUGAUCGACUCAUCAACUUGCAUAGCUUCCUCAUAACAUUCAGGCUCGCCUCUGUCUGUGAGCAGAAUGUAGUUGAGCGAUGGAGAGAAUCUUACUGGCUUUCUGAUGAUUCUGCUUGACUGUCGUAACUCCGUGACUGGUGUAUAUGGGACCACUUCAGGAUCAUCACUUUCUUCAGCUUCACCACUCUCUGAGAGAUUUUUUCUGUUGCUGUUGCGGUAUCCUGUGGCAACUUCGGUGUCAGGAUAUCUUCUAAGUCAACAGCUCCAGGCUCUUUCCUCUCCGAGCCUUCUCUUAGCUUAUACUUGUACAUCACUUCUUCGUUGAACACAACAUUCUUGCUGCGGAUGAUCUUUCGAUUUUCAUCAUCCCAAAACCGGUAACCAAACUCUGUGUUACCAUAGCCGAUGAAGUAACACUUCUUUGACUUCGAGUCAAGUUUACUUAUUGCAGCAUCAUCAUUAUGAACAUAAGCUAAGCACCCGAACACCUUUAGAUAAGAAAUAUUUACUUUCUUUCCGCUCCAAACUUCUUCAGGGAUCUUAAAUCCCAACGGUACAGACGGUCCUCUGUUUAUUAAGAAGGCUACGGUAUUGAUUGCAUCUGCCCAAAACGUCUUUGGCAAUCCACAGUGCAAUCUCAUGCUCCUUGCACGCUCAUUCAAGGUUCGGUUCAUCCUUUCCGCUAUUCCAUUCUGUUGAGGCGUUCCAGGAAUAGUCUUCUCCAUCUUGAUCCCAUUAUCAGCGCAAUAUCUCUUGAACUCGUCGCUGAUGUACUCUCCGCCAUUAUCAGACCUUAAACACUUCAACUUGAGAUUCGUCUCAAUCUCAACCAUGGCUUUCCAUAUUUUGAAAACAGAAAACACUUCAUGCUUGUUUUUCAUGAAGUAAACCCACACUUUUCUUGUGGAGUCGUCGAUAAAAGUCACAUAGUAGUAUGAACCUCCUAGCGAUGCAACAGGAGCGGGUCCCCACACGUCAGUGUGCACCAGCUCUAGCUUCUCAGAUUUUGGUUCUCUUCCUCCUUUAGAGAAACUAACCCGUUUCUGUUUCCCAAGGAUGCAACUUUCACACAUCUGAUGAUCCACCGUCUUCAGAUCCGGAAGAGCACCAUUUUCCACCAUGAGUUUCAUCCCUUUCUCACUCAUGUGUCCCAACCUACAAUGCCACAACUUGGUAUGUUUGGCAUUCUCGACAACAGCAACAAUGUCUUGAUAACUCGUCGUCAUAUAAAGAGUGCCUCUUUUAUGACCUCUAGCCACCACCAUGGAACCUUUCUUGACUCUCCAGGCUCCACCACCAAAAUUAACAUCGUGCCCCGUAUCAUCAAGUUGACCUACUGGGAUCAUAUUUCGCAUCAACUUUGGCACAUGUCUGACUUUCGUAAUCUUCCACACACGUCCAUCUGACAUCUUUAGGUUGAUAUCUCCAAUACCAAUUAUGUCCAAAGGUAAUCCAUCAGCAAGAUAUACCUUUCCGUAAUUUCCCGCAACAUAAUUUUCCAUAAUGUUAUGGUGCGGUGUGGUGUGGAACGACGCUCCUGAGUCAAGCACCCAUGAAUCGACUGGGCUAUCGACAUAGGAGAUUGACGCUUUGGUGGUAUUUGCAGUUGCAUCACGAGCUUCAAUUUUCUUCGGAGAAUCAAUAGACACUACCAAUGCAUCAGCGAUUUCACGUGUCACUGCAUUGGCUCCGCCUCUAGUGUUGUCUUCCUUCUUCGGUGGUGCUCGGCAAUUCUUCUUAAUGUGACCUGUCUUUCCACAAUUCCUGCACUCUGCAGGUUGUCUGAAUUUGGACUGACCCCGUCCAUUCCUUGACUUCGAUCUGCCAUUACUCCGGUUAUUUCUAUAUGGGUUUCUCCCUCUGUUUUCCACGUUGAAAGCAUAACUCGUUGAUUCCUCCCUAGAGUCUAUCCUUCGAACGUCCUCAGCAAGGAUACGAUCUCUAACAUCAUUAAAUUUAAGCUUCUGAGUACCCACAGAAUUACUAACCGCUGCCUCAUUGGCUCCCAACUAUUUGGCAGAGAUGCCAACAAAAUCAGUGCUCGCACUUCAUCAUCAAACACGAUUUCAACUGAUGACAGUUGGUUGAUAAUCGUGUUGAACUCGUUCACAUGUGCGGCGACCAGGUCACCUUCUUCCAUCUUUAAAUGAAAGAGUUUCUUCAUGAGAAAUACCUUAUUGUUUGCCGAAGGUUUCUCAUACAUAUCUGAGAGAACUUUCAUGAGUCCUUCCGUGGUCUUCUCCUUCGCAACGUUGUGAGCAACGUUUUUCGAUAAUGUUAACCUUAUAACACCCAGAACUUGUCUGUCAAGGAGCUCCCCCACUCAUCCUGAUCCAUCUUCUCAGGCUUCUUGCUCAACGGUUGAUGAAGCUUCUUUCCGUACAGAUAAUCUUCAAUUUGCAUUCUCCAAAAUACAUAAUAUGUACCGUCAAAUUUGCCGAUACUGUGCGCCAAACCAUCUUCGCCUCCCAUCGUUUCUGGAACCACCGUGUAUUAAAAACACCUUUGUCGACAAACCGAUGUUACCGACAAAAUUUACUAUUCAUGAAUUACUGUUCACGUGAAUAGUAUCUCCGCAAAAAAAAUUGACUGAUCACCGUAACUCAAGCUCUGAUACCAGUUGUUAGGAAAUGUGCGGUCAAAUUUUGCGAAAAAUCGAAUUUAUGGGAGGGGGAAAAACACACAAAAUUGUUAACGGAGUUCGCCAAUGUUGCAUACGUCUCCGGACCUGUUACAUAUCUUUAUUAUCAACCCGGAAAAUUUUACAAGCUCUCAACUCACACCCGACCCCAAAUACACGUUUUUAAUUUUCUUACAAGAGAAUUUUUUUUUCUCACAAAAAAAAUUCUUUCUCUCUGGAACACUUUACUCUUGUGUUCUUCUUUGUUUUGGGAUACAUUUCAGAAACUAGAAGCUUGUAUAUUUAUAGGAAGAGCUUGAGGAGUAGGUGGACAUAAUUGUUGACAAAAGCACCUCCUUCUUUGAUUUUUGUUUUUCACUUCUUUCACCCUCCAACUUCACCGUCUAUUAUGAAACACGUGAUGUAACUAAUAUAAUUUACUACAAAAUCAUACUUUAUCACAAAACAUAAAAAAGGAAAGAAAUAGAAACAAAUUCUUGAUCAGAAGGCCAUGUAUGUAGAGGAUUAGAAAUUGACUACUGUCAUUAUCAUUAAUUAUUUCUAACAUUUCGAAGUAAAACUAAGAGCAUGUCCAAAAUAUUUUGUAUAAUUUCAAAUAUAGAGUUUUGUAAACUUCCAAAUAAAUAAUCUUUUUGGAGAUGUUGUAAUGUGUUAUCAUUUUGAAGCUUUCAGUUGUACCUAGUGGCAGAGCUAGUCUGUGAUUUUAUAAGGGUCAAAAACUAAUUUAUAGCUAAAAGAGGCAUGUAUGAGUUUUGAACUCCUAACAUAGGGGUCAAAAUGAGAAAUUUAAACCAGCACACCACAACAAUAACUUAGGAGACAAGCUUAAAGAUUAAGCUUUUUAUAGAUUUCAUACGGGUCAGGUGGGUGGCUCCGCCGCUGGCUGUACCAAGGCGACAAAGAGUCGUCUUUGUCGCAGCAAAAAAUAAAAUGAUCUCAUGAUCAACAAAGAAAAGUAGAAACUGUAAAGCUUUGUGUUUUGUUGAAGGUCACUCUAUAUGUGCAGACUAAAACGAUGAGAGGUGAAAAGUUCACCAAUAAGGAUGGAGAUUCCCUCAUUUAUGUUCUGCACUAGUUUGCGCAUUACUGAAUAUUGUUUCUAUUUACUACGUGAACGAUCAAUACAGCUCUCCUCUUUAAAUGGGAGGUGCGAAAUAUAUAUGUGCUAAAUAAAGCAGUAUUUCAUUUUCAUGUCUAGCUAACAACAUUUUUACACCAUUGCGAGCUUGUGAAUUUAGGCUUCUAAAUUUGCUUCAUAAAUAAAAUGUUGUGAAGAGUCUAAACUGAAUCACAAGGUGAUUUACAUUCAUAGUUUUGAUUACAUAUAUAUACUUUUAAUUGUUUCAAACAAAUUAUUAGUACAUGUUUCCCAGUCACCAGUGAGUUUGUUUAAACAAAUAUUCUUUGGCAUGUAAAUGCUAUUUACAAACAAGAGUUAUUUUUCUGUUUAAAUUUAUAAUUUAUAAGAACAAUGAGUUUUUUUCCUUUUUCACCUCAAAAGGUUAUUCUAAGAACAAUGGUUAUAAUUGGUAAACUUUGGUGUAAUAUAGAGUAAAUAAAAAAGUGAAAAAUAGAGUAUAUAUUAAAAAUCAGAUUUCUCUUGUCAAUUCAAAAGUAACUUUAAUGGUGUUUUCUUUACUUUAUCAACAGUACAUAGAAUAAAAAUACAAUGGUAAUAUUUUACCUGAUUGGUAAUUUUAUAGCUGAACUUAGAGUAAAAUAAUUUUACUCUAAAAUAACUACACAGUCGCUCCCAAUGAGUUAAACUUAAAGGCUAAAAAUGGUUGCAUAUGUAUGAAUGUGAAUGUAUGCGUGUAUAUAUAUAUGUACUAGGUUAAGAUAUGAGCCUUGUGGAAGAUAAACAUUAUAUAUAUAAAUUAUUUUAUGUAUAAUAUUUUUUUACAUAUUAUAAAAUAAUAAAUAUAUAUUGAAUAAUUAAAAAUCUAUAACUAUUACAUAUAUAAUUAAAUUGGUGCGAAUAUAUAAAUACAUUUUAUUAAUACAAACAAUAAUAUUUUAUUUGAUAAGAUAUAUAAUUAAAUUUAAAUGAUAUUAACAUAUAUAAUAUAUUUUUAUUAUAUAUUUUUUUAAAUUUAAUCCACGGAUUAUAUAUUUGAAUGUGAGACUUUUAACAGUUUUAGUAAUUUAGAAUUGUUUAAAAAAAUUCAAAAUAUAACAUAUACAGAAAAAUUUAAAUUUACCGAUGAAAUAUUUUUCAACAAUCUUGAGUAAGAAUAUAAUGACAGCUUAAUUUCGGGUGGAGGGACACGCUAGUCAGUCAUAUAUGAAAAGAAAUAUACGCAAAAAUAUAUGCUUAGACUAUUUGUUUUAUGUGUACUCAAGAAUAUUUUGGCAGCUUAAAUUUUAAAUUUUGUAAUCUUUUUUUUUGUCAAUUAUGAAAAGAAAUAUACGCAAGAAUAUUUCUUUCCAUAUAUAUAUGUGUGUGUGUGUGUUUGGUCCAUACGGCGUAGUCGAGUAACACGACGGCUUUGAAAAUGCGCUACACAUUCUGAAUCAAAACCUAUAAUUCAGAUAAGCAUGUGUGAAAAUAUAAAAUAUUUAUAUAGUUUGUUUUCGGGCUUCAAGAAUUUUUUUGUUUUUGUAACAAUGUUAAGAUAUAUUACCGAGCUUUUAAGUUUUUGAUAGAAUGGACAUGGACAACAAGAAACAGAAAGACAAUAUUGAACUAAACACAUACUCAAUCUAACUAAGUAGAGACUGAUUCAAGCUUUGAAUCUAAAAGCUAAAGAUACAUCAAAAUCAGAACACACGCUUGCCGCAAAAUCAAACCCACAGUGAUUACGAGAACAGAGCUCGGUAGAAUAGCGGCUUACCCGAUGAACUAUUCUUAAGGGUCGGGUUCUUCAGAAACAGCUUGCGGAGACCUCAAAAUCUGCAGCCUUCGCGGACAGAUAUCUUCACCUGAGACCGAGAGAACCCACAUAGACAAAGACGAGCUUUAUUUGGAGGAGGAUCAACCAAGAUCCGCCACAAACCAACAAACCUUUACAAACCGGGCUGGAAAACAGCCACAUCCGCCACAAACCAACAAACCUUUACAAACUGGGCUGGAAAACAGCCGCAUUUCCACUGAAAGCAAUCUCGAGACCCCCCCUCCCCCCCCACACAGCCGGUUAAAUACAACCACUAGAACGCAACCGGAUGCAGUUCUAGAGCUGGGAAGUUGUAUUCAAACACAUGAAAACACCAAGACAAGCUAUCCGAAUGACAAAGCGGAGAAGAGAGACCUGGGCAUGGUCAGACUCUGAGAACCAGAGACCCUGACCAGCUUUCUCAGAGCAAAGCAUCGAACCAGACACUAGGAAGGAACAGCCGAAGACUGGGAAACUGGAGACACAUUCCCUGCACAGACCCUGACCGGCUUCCAGAAUUAGUUGGGUAUUCGGACCCAAACAUAUAUGUUUGAAUUCUCUGCACCACGCAUUCUCUAAAUAUUUUCAUCUUUCUAUUGUAUUUUCACUUUCGUAUUUCAACUUUGUAUUUCAGUGGAAAUCAAUAAAAGUAAGUUUUAAUCAUAAAUUAAUGCUUGCAAUUUUAUUUCAGCUUUCAAAUUUUAUAAUUUACACUAUAAUCUUCUGUAUAUUACAAAAUUAUAAAUAUACAGAAUCAUAACCUGGGAUUUACUGUAUUUGUUUAAUUUAUUUUAAUAGUUUAAAAUUAAACAAAUAUGAUAGAAGAUAUACUAUUUUUUUAUCAAAUCUUUAUUAUUCAAAAUUAUUAAUUAUCAUGUAUAUUUUAGCCACAUUAGGCAAUUCCACAAUUUUUUUUAAAGAAAUACUCUCUCCGUUUCAAAAAGUUAAAUAUUCUAGAAUUUUUUUUUUCAAAAAUAUGUAUUUUUUAUAUUUCUAAUGCAACUUUUGUCAACUAAUAAUGAAUAAUUGUGAACUUCAAGAACAUUAAUUGCAUUUUUUGAAAUCUUAUUGGUUUAGAGAUAUAUGAAAUAUACAAUUAUAAAAAACUAUGCAUUAAUAACUAAGUUUUAUUAAUAAGCGUGAAAAUCCUAAAACAGAAAGAGUAAUAAAGAAUAUUAAUAAUGAAUUUAUGGUUAAUUUAAUAAAAAUCUUAUUAUAUAAUUAGAUGAACCAAUCUGUUUUUUUAAUGAUUUUAAGAAUCAUCAUAUUGAUGACACGUGGAUAAAAAAGAAGUUAUAAUGUUUCUCAAUUAAUAUACAUGGGAUAUAGUAUAAACAAAAACAAAAACAGACAUAUAAAAUAAAUAUAAAUCAAAAAUAGAAAAGACAAAGAAUCUAUCAAACUCUGUAGUUUAUACCGAGUGUCGACCUUUUUUGCACAACUAGAAAGUUCUUUUCCUAGUGGGUGGUUCGACAAUUUCGCCUUGAAUAUAUAUAAGAUACCCCCAUCAACGAUUUAUUAAAGUGAUGUUAAAAAAUGAUCAUAUAAGUUUAAUUGCGAAUAUUGAUGAUAGUACUAGUGGUGGUAUCACAGAGAGUUUGAUGUUGUCAGAGCAUUUUGACUGAGGAAUAAAUAUUUGGGUCUUUACUGGAUUCUCUAAACGGCCGAACCAAGUGACCACUUCCUUUGUAUAAUUGGAUUCUCCUAACAGCCAUGCGUGACGUUUCUGCGUAUUUCUACUCUUCUUCGUGCCGUCUCGUAUAGAAGGUGUGAAUAAAUCCAAAAAAUAUAAAGGGAUUUCCGAAUAUUUUUCGGGAGUUUGAACCCGACGUUAAUCGAACACGCAACCUUCUGAUCUGGAGUCAGACGCGCUACCAUUGCGCCACGGAUCCCCAUGUUAAAUGUAUACAAAAAUAAGUACAUAACUAAUACUCCGAAUACACAGGUCGAAUAAGACCACACGGUGAGUGUUGCUCGUCUUCCCUCAGGUAGGCAUGAAAUGGCGUCCAUUGAUUCUCUCCGGUUCCAUUCUCUCUGCAAUCUCCAGGUAAUACUCGAUCCAUCUCUUCUCCAAUCCCACUUACCGAUACUGCCUUCUCUUCUUCCAUUGAUUGAAAUCUUAAAGGUCGCGUUUUUUGUGUUGUUAUCUUUGAUACCCUAGUCGUCGAUUGGAAGAUCCAAGCUCCAGAUUCCUUCAAGCUUGGUUGUCUUCAGACGCAGACACAAGAAUCUAAACUGGGUUCAAGUCCAAACCAACCAAAGGUUCGUGUGCAAAUCGAUUGGUGACGAAUCCUCGACUCCAGAUGAAGAAACUCAGAAUGAUGAUAAUGAGGAAGAUGAUGCUGUCUCGACUCAGAGUAACACGGCCACUGACUCCGAGACUUCGAUUUCGAGAUUCCGGAGCAUGAUUACCACCAUUGCCAACGAUUCCGAGAAUUCAAUCUCGAGACUUGGAAGUAUGGUUGCCACUCUUCCUCCUGUCGUCUUCUUGGUAUGAUUCUCUCUCUUGAUGCUGCCUAAAGUUUGAAUCUUUCACGACUUUUCUAGAUAGUUAAUAAGUCAGUACUAUAAGAUACUCUUUUAAGCUUUGUUGCGUCUCUUUAGAUGAACAAGUGCUCAGGGAACAGCGUUUGGAUCGGUAUAAGCAUCGUAGCUACAGUUCUGCUCGCUUCUAUACGAGCUUAUGCAAUAAGGAAGUCGAGAGAUAACCGUCCUGCUGGCUCUGUUUCUGAUCUUGUGAGACGUGGCCAGCUGAGAUCUGGUGAUAGAAGAGGCAUGUAUGGAAAACUCACACUCUCUUACUUCUUGUUUCUAACUUUUUCGAACUAGUUGCCUUUGGUCUAACUUCUCCUUUAUCAGCAGCUCAAAGGCUAUGAACUACGAAGAUCCAUUCAACAACCCUUUUGUUAAAGUUGGUAAAGGAAGCUCAACGGUGGAGAUGUGCGGGAAAGUUUAUAAGUUAGCUCCAGUCACACUUACGGAGAAAGAACAAAGCAUUCAUCAGAAGAGGAGGUCAAGAGCUUACCAGUGGAAAAGACCAACAGUUUUCCUCAAGGAAGGAGACUCAAUACCGCCUGAUGUUGAUCCUGAUACUGUCAGAUGGAUCCCUGCCAAUCAUCCGUUCGCAACCACGGUUAGCGAUAUCGAUCAGGACCUCGCUCAGAACAAUGUUUAUCAAAAGCAAGGUGUUCCUUUCCGGAUUCGUGCUGAGCAUGAAGCUAUGCAGAAGAAGCUUGAAGCUUUACAAAAUGUAAGCUUUGUGUCUUUCUUUCACAUAGAUAAUCAAUACGUUUCAAGAAGUAAUGAGUGAUGGGUUGUUUUGUACAGGAGGAGAAGUUGAAUAAUUUGGGUAUUGACAGUCAAAAUGCCAGAGAUUAAAUGUAUACAAAAAUAAGUACAUAACUAAUACUCCGAAUACACAGGUCGAAUAAGACCACACGGUGAGUGUUGCUCGUCUUCCCUCAGGUAGGCAUGAAAUGGCGUCCAUUGAUUCUCUCCGGUUCCAUUCUCUCUGCAAUCUCCAGGUAAUACUCGAUCCAUCUCUUCUCCAAUCCCACUUACCGAUACUGCCUUCUCUUCUUCCAUUGAUUGAAAUCUUAAAGGUCGCGUUUUUUGUGUUGUUAUCUUUGAUACCCUAGUCGUCGAUUGGAAGAUCCAAGCUCCAGAUUCCUUCAAGCUUGGUUGUCUUCAGACGCAGACACAAGAAUCUAAACUGGGUUCAAGUCCAAACCAACCAAAGGUUCGUGUGCAAAUCGAUUGGUGACGAAUCCUCGACUCCAGAUGAAGAAACUCAGAAUGAUGAUAAUGAGGAAGAUGAUGCUGUCUCGACUCAGAGUAACACGGCCACUGACUCCGAGACUUCGAUUUCGAGAUUCCGGAGCAUGAUUACCACCAUUGCCAACGAUUCCGAGAAUUCAAUCUCGAGACUUGGAAGUAUGGUUGCCACUCUUCCUCCUGUCGUCUUCUUGGUAUGAUUCUCUCUCUUGAUGCUGCCUAAAGUUUGAAUCUUUCACGACUUUUCUAGAUAGUUAAUAAGUCAGUACUAUAAGAUACUCUUUUAAGCUUUGUUGCGUCUCUUUAGAUGAACAAGUGCUCAGGGAACAGCGUUUGGAUCGGUAUAAGCAUCGUAGCUACAGUUCUGCUCGCUUCUAUACGAGCUUAUGCAAUAAGGAAGUCGAGAGAUAACCGUCCUGCUGGCUCUGUUUCUGAUCUUGUGAGACGUGGCCAGCUGAGAUCUGGUGAUAGAAGAGGCAUGUAUGGAAAACUCACACUCUCUUACUUCUUGUUUCUAACUUUUUCGAACUAGUUGCCUUUGGUCUAACUUCUCCUUUAUCAGCAGCUCAAAGGCUAUGAACUACGAAGAUCCAUUCAACAACCCUUUUGUUAAAGUUGGUAAAGGAAGCUCAACGGUGGAGAUGUGCGGGAAAGUUUAUAAGUUAGCUCCAGUCACACUUACGGAGAAAGAACAAAGCAUUCAUCAGAAGAGGAGGUCAAGAGCUUACCAGUGGAAAAGACCAACAGUUUUCCUCAAGGAAGGAGACUCAAUACCGCCUGAUGUUGAUCCUGAUACUGUCAGAUGGAUCCCUGCCAAUCAUCCGUUCGCAACCACGGUUAGCGAUAUCGAUCAGGACCUCGCUCAGAACAAUGUUUAUCAAAAGCAAGGUGUUCCUUUCCGGAUUCGUGCUGAGCAUGAAGCUAUGCAGAAGAAGCUUGAAGCUUUACAAAAUGUAAGCUUUGUGUCUUUCUUUCACAUAGAUAAUCAAUACGUUUCAAGAAGUAAUGAGUGAUGGGUUGUUUUGUACAGGAGGAGAAGUUGAAUAAUUUGGGUAUUGACAGUCAAAAUGCCAGAGAUUUUCAGAGGCCAUACAAGUUCUCAAGCAAGCUCGAAGAAGACGAGAAUGUUCAGAAGAAUUCUCAGGAGAAUCAUACCGGCGAUUCAUCCUCCGAGGAGACGCAAAAGUCCUGAGAAGCAGUAAGCUUUGUAAAUAUAGCCUUGAGAGUCAUACUUGUGUUCCAAGAAACUGUGAGAUACUUUUUUGUAUUGAACCUUCAAAAACCCUAAACCUUCAUUUGCUUUUCCAUCAAGUUAAAAAGAGUUGGAAUCUCAAAUCUUCAACAUUGAGUAGUUUAGUUAUUAGAUUAAUUUUGAUAACAAAACAAAGGAGACAAAAAACGAAAUGAAAGUAUCUCAAAACCAAAAAAAAAAAAGAUGAAGAAAUCUUUAGUACACAGUGCAAGUGAAGAAGAAUCAAACUUUACAAAUCAUGUAUCGUCCUUAGAAGGAGCAGAAGCUUGAGCUCCAAAGGCAAAGUAGUCUGUGAUAACCUCCAAAGGCAUACCUUUAGUCUCCGGAACCUUCAAGUAAACAAAGACCCACGAGAUCACGCAAACCGCAGCGUAGAUACUGAACACACCGACGAGUCCAAUGGAGCUGAGGAGAACAGGAAGCGAGUAAGUGACAAUAAUGUCACAAAUCCAGAACACCAUAGCGCAAAUGGCGAUGCAGAGACCACGGACUCUUGUCGGGAAGAUUUCAGAACAGAGGAUGUUUGGAAUGGGACCGUAACCCAUCACGAAGAAGCAGAUGUAUAGCACAACGCACACCGUUGAGAGCGCUGCGUUAACAACUUUGCUGAUCUGGACAAGCUCGCUGAUGAAAAGGGCGACAAGUGAGACGAUGAGGACAGGGAUCGUCCAGAGAAGCAAUGCCCUGCAAUGAAAAACAGAACAUGAGUAAACAAGGAGUUUAUGACACAAGCAUAGGCUAGUAAAGUAUUGGUUUAUGGUAUCAUUUUUUUUUAAAAAAAUUACACAUACAUAAACCUUAAAUUUAUAAGAAAAAAUAUUUAUAUUGAUUUAUGAUAAAUUAUCUAUAUGCAUUCUCUAAAAUCUCAAGACCCGCCAAAAAAUUUACAUAUAUAUAAACCUUAAUUUUAUAAAAAAAAUAUUGGUAUAUAUUUACAAUAAAUUAUCUAUAUUCUUUCUUUAAAAUCUCAGGACCGACCGUGAAUAGAAAGUCAUAGCAUUUUGUUAUUACCUUCUUCCAGAGACAUCCAUGAGUCUCAUGGCAACGACAAUAGCUGGAAGCAUGAGUAAAGUUGUUAACCCACUGAUGAGGAACGACGCCGAGAUGGAGCUUAGACCGAAGCUUGAGAGAAGAAUGUCUACACCAGCACGUUCAAGAAUCUGAGGAGUGUAGUAAAGAACUCCAUUGAUACCUGAAAACUGCUGUAGUAUCUGAAUCCCAACACCAACAACCAACGCACGCUUAACACCAGGCUCAAGAAGAGCCGACCAGAGCGGUCCAGUGGGAGGGGCCACGUCAGAUCCAUGGACCGACUUAGGACCAAGAACUGAUCUGCUCACAAGUGCUGAAGCGUGAACGUAGCUGCCUCCAUCGUGACCACCAGGAAGAGAAACGAUUGAGCCACGGCGAGACUCUGCACCGUCUUCUUUAAGGUAAUAACGUUUGUACUCGCCGUUGUCGUAUCUGUAUCCCAUGUGCCAACCACCGCCGAUCCCCAUGCUGUUUUCACCGUUAAGCGUGCUGUGGCGUCUCAUGCUCAGCGUGCUUCCUCCUGUAGGAUGUGGGAUCACGUCCUUGUCCGUGCUUGUGGCCUGACGCGACAUCAACGGGCUGCGAAGAUCGUUAUCCGAGUCGUCAUCAGGUGCAUUGUCAUCGGUGGCGUAGUCAUCGUGGUCUUUGUUGAACUGGCUCUCGACGUCUUUCUCCCAGUGAGCUGGUUUCAUGUGGGGCACGUCAGCGUUAGUGCUGAACAUGCUUCCGAAGAUCCCACUCUUUGUGUUUCCACCUGCUUCAGGCAUCUUCUCGUGUAGACUGUCGAAUAGACCCACGAUCGGGUCUUUGUGGAUCCCGCUUUGGUUUGCUAAGCUUCCGUGGCGAGAACGUAGCCCAAGUGAACUCUGUUGUUGGUCCGUGACGGGUCGAGCAAUGUAAGAUUGGUUCUCGUGUGUUCCGAGAAGCCUCAUUUGUCCGUCCUCAUCGACAGUUUCAAGUGUUUCAUGUUCCUCCAACGUUACUAAGAGAUCCUCUAAUGUCUUUUCUCCACCAAUGUCUAAUCCUUCAACAAGCAAAGCCAUCUCAUCUGCAAAAAAAAACCAUAACAAAAACUGUUAAUAGUAGCCAGGGCGGGUUCUGAGGCUCAGUUGGAUGAAACAUUCGUCUUGGUCCUAAAUUCUAAAGAGAUAUUAUACAUAGUCAAAUGAUCUCCAAAUUGUCAAAUUUUUUUAAUUAAGAUUAGCCUAAAAUAUUUCAUGACCUCCUAAAUCUUAGAGCCGGUCCUGAAGUGGCUAAACCAAACAAAGAUAGCGAGAAGGAGCCUUACCGGUAACAUCUUCUCUGCCACAUAACAUUUGAAGAACCUUCUUAGCCUCAUCCAUUCUUCCUUUACUAACCAACCAACGAGGCGACUCGGGCAAAUAAAACACCGUGAAUAACAAAUACACGAGAGAAGGGAUAGAUAGGACACCGAGCAUGGCUCUCCAGCUAGGAGCAUCGCUCAGGGACAUAGUGAAAACCAUGCAGUAAGACAGAAACAUUCCACCAGAGCCAAGAAACUGAGGAAGAGUGUUGAGCUGUCCUCUGAUCUCUGGAGGAGCGGUCUCAGAGAUGUAAACAGGGACAAGGGUAACGGCGAGACCGGCACCAAACCCAUCAAGAAGCCUAGCUAAGCAUAGGACAUAGACGUUUGGAGACCAAAGCAUUAUCAAACCGCUGAGGAAAUACAUGACCGAUGCUAGAAUCAGCAUGGGGCGUCUCCCGAGCCAAUCAGAGAUGGGUCCAGAGCAAGUGGUGAUGACCGUUGCACCGAUCAAUGACAUUGCUACAACAAGACCUUGAACAGAGGUUGCUAGAUUCAUAUCUUUGUUGAUAUAAACCAUUGCUCCUGCAACAUUUUAGAAAUCUUAAAUGAGACUGAUCUGAUGCAAACAAAUUCAAAUCAUCAAGAGAAGAGUUACAAACCAGCAAUGGUGGCAUUGUCCCAUCCUUGCAAGAAAUUGCCGAUAGUGGCGGCGAGAGCAACGAGGGUCGCUCCCUUCAUUGUUCAAACCAACCCUAAACACACAAAACCAUAAUUCAAAACAGUUCUAUUCAGUGAUUAGACAUUUCAAAGUUUCAGACUUUUAGUCAACAAUUCAAAAAAGGAAGAAAAAAGUUAAACUUUCCAAAUCAAGAUCUAAAUCACAGUCAAUUCAGAAUAUUGUUGAACCAAAAGAUUUAGUAAAAUUAAGUUUCAAAAAAAUAUAUUUAGUAAAUUAGACUACAAGAUCCUUUAAACAUUAGAUCAUCAAUGAAUAUGAAAAUGCAGCAACCUAGGAGGUAAAAUAUUAGCUUUUUAGUUUAGGUGAACGAACGCAAAGAAAAGCUUUUUUUUUUUUUUUUUUUUUUGCUAAAAGAAAAGCUUUUUAGUUUAUGUGAAUGAAAGCAAACAAAAAGAUUGCUUCACUUUCUGGGGAAAAGGUGUCACCUUUUCUUUUUCUUCUGAAAGUACAAUUCUCCUGCAGUCACGAGGAACUGAACUCUUCUUUUUUUAGUUUGCUUUGCCUUUUCGUCUUCGAAUUAUAAAUCAAGAAAGAGAACAAGGAUGAUUUUUGGAAUAUUUUGAUCGUUGAUUAACUUUUAUUUUCCCCGGAGAUGGAAUCUACAAUAAGGACAAGUAAUGGUUUUCAAAAUUAUUGCUACAACACUAAGUAAACGAAAAAAAAACAAAUAAUUGCUGCCAUACCAACAAAAGUUUGGUUAUUUCUUUUAUUAAAAAAGGAGAAAACUAUCGCUGCAUGGGAUUUAACUUUUUUUAACUAAAAAAAUUGCAUUUACAUACAGUAGUUCUUCUUGGCUGGUAAGAACUCUGUGGUGAAGAGCGAUUUAUGAGGAUUGUGUAAUGUUUUCGACACUUUAUAUAGAAGAGUCGAACAGAAAUAAUCAUAAUCAAUCUAUGUCACUAUCAAAAUUCUGAUGUAAAGAUCUAGGGAGAACUGUAUCUGACUGAAUACGUAUACAGAAAAACAUCAUUGUCGUGACUCAUCUAUGAGUAGAUUUGUAGGAAAUUAAUUUAAAGAGGGUCCGUCCGUUACGACAUGGAUCACGAUAGAGAGGAUAACGUUUUGUUCUUCGUCAAGAAAAUAUUAUCUCUUUUUGUUGUCAUGAAAGUCACAUUUUCAAAUCUAUCGUUAAGUGGUCCGGCUGUAUGUCACGUUCGUGUAAAAGUUGGACCUUUCUGUCGUCAUUUUUUUUUAUAUUUAGAUCAUCAAAAUUCAUUUCUAUUUUUUGCACUGAAAAGUUUUGAAACAAUUUUAGAAAUCUUAAAAGAUUUGAUUAUCUAAAUUUAUGAAUUCAACUGAAAUUUAAUUUCAGACUAAUUUGUUUAAAAUAUAUAUUAUUUAUAGUUUCUAUGCAUAAUUAGUUCUAUAUGUUUUCAGUAAUAUUUUGUGAUGUCCAAAUAGCAGAAGAGAGCAAAAAUAAACACCAAUGAAGGUGAAAACGUUUUCUCAUAAAUUACGACCGGGACAAUGUGGAACAUGCAAAUGCAGAGGAAUCCACGUUAUAACAUCAUCUCAAUAGUUGCAAAAGAAAAACAUCUCAAUUGUUGUCUAAGUUAAUAACGUGCUCCCUUCCGUUAAUCAUCUUUGGUCAUAAUUUUAGUCAUAUAAAUUUUCAAGUUACAAACUAGCGUUUUAGAUCAAGCAUAGUUCAGAGAUGAUAUCUGAAACGUAGUAAGAAUAUCAAAUAAACAAAUAUAUUUACAGCUUUUCUGUCAAAUCGAAUGUAAUAUUUCAGUUUUCAGAUGUCACACAGUCGUAAAGGGUGGGGAGCCAACAAUUCGUACAAACAUUUAUUCAAUUUACAGGAAUUCACAAGUGAUCAUGUGGCUUCAUUAUAUUAGCUAGGUCAUACUUUCGUAGACAUAUAAAUAUAUACGUGCACACACAAUCGUUGGAUGUACUGCGAAGUUCCGGUAAAAGGACGAAGAUACUUUGGAAGAAAAGGGCUAUGAAACAACGUUAAAAAAAUACUAUUAAAGAGAAAAAGGUUAUAAUCAAGAGACGCAUGGGGUAAGGUGCAAUGGGCGAUGAACACGGCGUCAAUGAGAGGGCAUGUGAUAUUAUACUAUUAGUGCUUUGUCACUUUCUCACGUACCUUUUUGUGCCUUACCAGUUACCAAUUACUUCUCCUCUACUACUACUUUAUAUAUUAUAAAUAAUGGAAUAUGAAAGGCGACAACAGGAUACACUACACCAUAAUAAGUUUCAAAAAGAUUUCAAUAUAUGUAUACUUUUCUAGUUCUGCAACAAGUUGAUUUUAUUUUCCUUUGUACAACACAAGUUGAGAAAUAAUAUCAAACGUUCCUCUUUCAUAAUAUAUACAUAAGACCUAAAGAAACAUGACAACGGUCUUUGUCUUCGUAGAGUUCGUGCUCCCAAGUAUCAUUCGAGCAUCUCCGACCACGUGUCUCCACCUCAAAACGGAUCUUGGAACACGAUUAAUGGGGAUUCUUACGGUGAGAUUCUUAUCGGAAUAUAAAAAACAAUUUCUUAAUUUUUAACUAAAAAAACUAAGAACGGACUCUAUAAAUAUCGUAUCUAAGAGCCGGUUCUUAAUUUUUUAAGUUAAAAGUUAACGGAUUGUUUCUUAUAUUCUGCUAAGAACUCACCCUAAAAACCCAUAAGUUCUUGUUUUUGUUUCACAUUUUUAUAAUAUUUUGUUGAUUUUUUCGCUCGAAACGAAUACCAACUAUAUAUUUGUUUCGUCUAUACAAGCAUAUAUCAUAGUAUUUUUCAGAGAGUUUUUGCUAAUAUAAUGAAUAAAUAAGCAUGAAAGAGGGAGAGAGAAAACUGAGAAACUUUCAACAACAAUUGAAAAACUUAUCUUACAUUUAGCUUUAUAUGAUUGGAUUAACAUAUUUUAUUUAAAAUUUAAUUGCAAUAUUACAAUUAUUUAAAAUUUAAUGGCAAUAUUACAAUAUAUUUCGUGGAUAGACUUUGUACUGAUGAUGAUGAUGGCCGUUGAUGUCCUGUAAAGAUAGAACCAGUGAGUUUUCAAUUUGGACUUUUACAUGAUUCAUGUUUUAGAUCAUCACCCACUCUAUAAAAUAUAGGUGUUACUUCAUAGUAGUUAGUGGUCAUAUAUAAAAAAUAACUUAUAAGUUCGAAGAUCUGAUCCUCCUGACUGUGUUAUCAGAUAUCUUGGUGGAAAGACAGGUCAAACUUUGUUCUUUAGAGAAUAAUAAUAAUCUUACAAGAAGAUAAAAGAAAAAUACCUCACUGUAGUCUCAUAUCUUAUGAAUUUUAGCUAGCCUGAUUAAAGAAUAUGUUUUAAAAGUUAGAUCAAUGGUCAAAAACUAAGCUAAUUAUAUCAUCGAUUAAAGCUAACACUCAUUACUACCAUAAUAAUACAUGGCUAGCUUGACACAAUAACGCCUAUAACUAAACACAGUCCACUGUGAUAACUAAUUUUCCUACUUUAACCACUCUCACGAAACGAUUUUAAACGACCAGAACGUCGUGUUGUAAUGUUACAGGAAGUAUCGGGAACGUGAAAUAUCAUGGCGUUUUUUAAUAGUUGGCCAGUUCUACUACUAGCCCACCUUUUCUUUCGAAGAAAUGCUGCUGAAUCAACCUGGAAAGUUAGCUGGUAGAGUUGUGGAAAGAGGUUAGUGAUUGUGGGCCGCAAGACGAUAUUAAUACAAACCAUAGAAAGAUGUAACUAUCCUUGUCAAAAUUGAUUUUCAGAUAGUCAAGAUUUAAUCCAAAUAAGGUGGGCCUAGUAUAGACUUGAUUAGGAGCAUUGCCAUAUAUCAUUCCAGAGGCCUAUCUUAGAUGAUUGAGCUUCUAGACCAAGUAGAGGGUUCUGAUGCUGCAGAGAACUUACUAAACAAACAUAAACAGAUUACUUGGAGUCAAAGUUUCCUCAAGGAAGACAGAAUCAAGCUUAAAGACACAAGAGUUUAUACAAGAUUCAGAUUCAGAUUCAGACAACUUUACUCUAAGGCAAAAAGAUCAAAAAGUCUAUCCUAUAUAGACUAACCUUUCUCUUUCAUUUACUCUUAUCAACUAACAAAAGUACAAAACUUCCAGUAACCCUAAUGGCUCUCUCUUCGCCUACAAGAAUCCUCUGUUUUGCUCUUGCUUUAUCGGCUGCAUCUCUGUCCCUCUCAUUCGCUCUGCUUCCCACGACUUCUCCAUCGUUGGAUAUUCCCCUGAGGAUUUGGAAGCUCAUGAUAAACACAUCGAGCUCUUCGAAAACUGGCUCUCCAACUUCGAGAAAGCUUAUGAAACCGUUGAAGAGAAGUUGCGUAGGUUCGAAGUUUUCAAGGAUAACCUGAAACACAUCGAUGAGACUAAUAAGAAGGUGAAAAGCUACUGGCUUGGUCUCAACGAGUUUGCGGAUUUGAGCCACAAAGAAUUCAAGAAUAAGUAUGUAAUGACCCUAAAUGUAAUGAUCCCAAAAAUUUGACCCAAACUAUCCCCAAAGGCCAUUUUGCCUUUCUUUAAGAGAGAGAGAGAGAGAGAGGAAGAAGAGGAAGGGAGAAAGCUCACCUGAGCUCGUCGCCGGAGCAACCGUGUGCCGUGACCACGUUGAGCUCGUCACCACCGUUCGCUGCAGCUUAGAAUCGCCGGAAACCGCCAUGCAGUUAAGCUUAGUUUCGUCUUAAAUAAUUAAUUAAAUAAUUGAUCUUGACCAGCGGGUUGACUUUUUCGUAAAUACCCGUUUUAAACCGUUCGAAAGGCGUUCUGACUCGAAAUUUCGAUCUGAUUUCAGAUUUGGAAUCCAUUUGAGCAGAUGGAGUUCAUAUAUAACACUUCUCUUCAUUGCUAAGGUGAGGGCUACUCCGUUAAAUCCUGAGCUAGUUUAGUACUACCAUUAUGGAAAGUUUAGUUUCGAAACAUGGAUCCGUCUCUUUGAAUCGAGUCUGUUUGAGAGUCUUGGUUGUUCGUUAUUGAUAUUGAUUGUUAAAACGGAAAUAAGCCCAUACCUCACUGGGCGAUUCCCCUGUCGCUCACCCCUCCUUCUUUCCCCCUUUCAGGUGAGACCGACGAGCAGGAGUGAUUAUACCGGACCGGUGCUUUUGGGCUUUUACUACUAUUGGGCUUUUGGGCUUCUAUCGUUUUAUCGCUUUUAUCGUUAUCGGGUCUCUAGGCCUUUGGGCUUUUAUCGUUUAUGUUAUUUCGUAUUUCGGACUCUCGGUUUAUGUCGUACUUUAUGUUUCAGAUUUUAUUUUAUAUUAUGGAAUUCAAGCGUGGAUGUUGACUUUCAAAUAUUUAUAUAUGGAUAUUUCAGAUAUUUGUACUUAUCGAAUUAUUUUUACUAUUUCGAAAGUGACGGGUGUCACAAAGUAUUUAGGGUUUAAGACUGAUAUAGCGAGACAUGAUGGUGAGAGAUCCUACGAAGAGUUUGCUUAUAAGGACGUUGAGGUUUGCCUAAAUCUGUUGACUGGAGAAAGAAAGGAGCCGUGAGCUAUGUCAAGAACCAAGGCUCUUGUGGUAAUCUCAAAUCUUGGACUAUGAUGUAUUAUAGUUUUAGCAUUUUUCAUUUAAUUUUUUGUUUUUUUUUAAUUAUCACGCAGGAAGCUGUUGGGCGUUUUCGACAGUAGCGGCAAUGGAAGGUAUAAACAAGAUUGUGACAGGAAACUUGAAAACAUUGUCAGAACAAGAACUCAUAGACUGUGGCACAACCUUCAACGGUGGUCUCAUGGAUUAUGCUUUUGAGUACAUUGUCAAGAACGGCGGCCUUCGCAAGGAAGAGAAUUAUCCUUAUUCCAUGGAAGAAGGAACUUGCGAGACUCAAAAGGAUGAUUCUGAAAUGGUGAAUAUCAGUGGGCACCAAAAUGUACCUAGGAACGACGAUAAGAGUCUCUUGAAGGCAUUGGCUCAUCAACCACUCAGUAUUGCUAUUGAUGCCUCUGGUAGAGAGUUCCAGUUCUACAAGGGAGUAAGUCAUUAAUUAAUAUUAACUGCAAUAGGUUGCACGGGUACGGCAACUUAGUGCUGUCUCGCGUACCGGGCUCGGCGGGGGGACGGGGACGGCUCGGGUACGUCUAGGAAACGUCCCCAACACGUGUGCAGUGAACCCGAGACGGCAUGACUCGACGGGGAUGGGUUUGGUCAGAGACCGGAGACGUCUCGUAAACGUUUCUAAGCCAAUUCGACGUAUCUGUUUGAUUUUUUUGUGUGUCACGAUGUGUAAAUUAAUCUAUAUUUGUUUUGAUUUUUUUAAUUAAACUUUUCCACCUUAAAGCAUGAUUAUCCAUAGAACCCAUUAGGGUCUCUUAAUCACUUGUUUAGUAAUAAAUGUGUCUUAAGAACUUUAGUUAAGAAAUACUUAAAUUUUUAACCUCAAUUGCAAAUUUCUCAAGUAAGGGUUUUAAAAAAAAAUUAUUAAACAUUAUUUUAUUAAAGAUAAAAUUUAUUUAUUAAAUAAAACAUAACAAAAGAUAACAUAUUAAACAUAGAUUUAACAAAAAACAUAGAUUAGUAAAAUAAACGAGAAUAAUUUGAAAUAAACAUCCGAGCUCAGUUGUUGUCUUCAUUACGUCCAAAUUUACGCCAUAUAUGUUCAACCAAAUCAACUUUCAGAUGUUGAUGAAUUUGUCUAUCACGAAUUCUAGGUCGAACACCCAUCAUAUUGGCGAUAUUUGUAGGGAUAUAUGUAGAAUACGUGAGAUCGACAUAUGAACUUCCGUUGUCUUCUCCUUGUUGGAACUCCGAAACAUCAAAUUGAGUGUAUCCAUCUCGUUCAUCUUCUACUAUCAUAUUAUGAAGUAUGAUACAUGCUCGCAUAAUCUUUCCAAUUUUGACUUUAUCCAAAAUAGUGCUGGAUUUUUAACAAUGGCAAAUCGAGCUUGCAAGACUCCAAAAGUACGCUCGACAUCCUUUCGGACAACUUUUUGACGUUGAACAAAUAAAACUGCUUUCGGCCCUUGUUGUAUUGGAAUAGAUUGGAUAAAAGUUGUCUAUUUCGGAUAAAUACCAUUGGUGAGAUAGUAAGCCAAAUGAUACUCUCUUCCAUUGACAUAGUAAGUGACUUGCGGAGCUUGACCCUUUAUUAAGCCAAAUGAUAUAGUAAGUGACUUGCGGAGCUUGACCCUUUACUAUGUCAUCAAAUACCAUUGGUGAGAUAGUAAGCCAAAUGAUACUCUCUUCCAUUUGGCUCCGCAAAGUAUGCUGCAAUCCUCUUCCAGAAAUCACCAGAUCGUUGUUCAUUCCCUACAACAGGGUCUUUGCUCGUGUUUAACCACGAGCUGAUGAGCACAAUAUCAUCUGUUGGCGUCCAUUUCUUUCGUUCUCUACGCUCUGCAGGAGUGGCUUGACUCUCUUCUACUAAACGAAACUGUGAUGAAGCUUCAGUACCUUGACUCUGUUCUAGUAAACGAAACACACUGUCUUGUUGACUAUUUAGAAGCUCAACAAACUUUGGUGUCUGCGUAUAUGGAUUAUAAUCCAUAUCCGGAAAUGUCACAGAAGAGAAUAAAGAAGUUUAAAAGACAAGAAUGUCUUUACUAGAUGGAAAAGAAGAAAGAAGUUUAAAAGAUGAUAAGAAAGUGAAGAAGGAAUGUGUGUUUAUAGAUGGCAGAGAAGGAAGAGAAGAAAAGAAGUUUCAGAUGCAUUCAUCACAACCAACCAAUUAAAACGACUUGACAUUUAUCUACAACAUUCAUCACAUUAAGCCUUAGCAAUUCUAGCUAACCAUCACUUCUAUUUAUCACACAACCGUAUUCUAACUCUAACCAACACAUUAAUUACCCUCGAUUCAAUUCAUACCAGAACCUAAAUCAAUUCGUUUGCAGAACCAGAUCACAGAGUAACACUAACCUUAUUUGUACAUUGUACUCCUUUGCUCGAUGAAUCUUUCUCAUGUCUCUUCAUCCAUCUGGCUUAAGGCAUAAUGACAGAACAAAUGAAGAGGGAUUUGAUCCUUCCAGCUGACAACACAAAGACAGAAACAAAAAAUAAAUCAAAACCAGAAACCAACACAACAAACAAACCAAAAUUGAAACAAACUUGCAACAACCAAUUCGAAAUUGAUCAAUCCAUCUUAAGACACAAGAAACACGAUCUAGAGACAGAAUUGAACAGCACAAACAAAUCAAAAUUGAUAAACCUUGAAGAACAUGAAACAUAAGCUUUACCUUUUGACUAUCGGACAGCCACCGAGAGAGAGGCCUUGCGCCGUCGCGGAGAGCAACUGAGAGACAUAAUCGAAGAGAAUAAACACAACAAAAUGGAAAAACUUGCGAUCAGAACAAGAACAUACAUAAUCUAAAGACAUGCAUAAACGAACAACACAAAAUAUCUUUACCUUUCGAUUCGAGGAGAGCCACCGAGAAUCAGGUCCGCCGCCGUCGAGGAUAGCCACCAAGAGAGAGAGAUCGACGUUUUCCUCCUUCGAGAACGGCCACCGAGAGAGACGUCGCCAUUUCACGAUGGAGAGCCUCAGAGAGGAAGACAUCGCCUCUUUCGUCGCCGAGAGAGCAUUCGAGAAAGAGAAGCCGAAGAAACAAACCAACCCCACACCUCUUCUCUGUCCUCUAAUUUCUUGACACGUGUAUGCUAAGAUAUGUUGCUUGCUUCCCCUAAUUAAGAGCCGUGUCUUAGAUUAAUCUGUGUUUUUCAUUUUCUUUUAAAUCUCUUCCACUCCCACUCCCACUUUCAUGUAUUUCUCUUUGACUCUUGAGUCUCAGCCACGUCUCUCUAUGACAACUUAACUUCAUGUCUAUGUGAUUCUGACUCAAAGAUCUGAUUUAAUGUUUUUUUUGUUGUUUAAUGUUAUUUCAUUUACAACAUUUCUGAUUUUUAUUCUGUGUGUUUUUGUAUACAAAGAUGUGAUUUCGUAUGUUUCUGAUUUCUCUCGAUAUAUCAUAUUUCAUACGUUUUAUUUAAUUUCAUAUAGAUUAAGAAGAUGAAUUCCCAAACUGAAGGUGUGAUUCAAUAUGUUUCUGAUUUUACUUGAUAUAUAUAUAUGUUUACUUAUAUUUUGGUUGCCGUUUCUAUGCCGUACCCGUAUCUAGAAAUUUUAAGUUUGUCGUUUCCAGUCUCCGUUUUCUGUCUCCGUUCCCGUCCCAGGGGUGCAUUUUAAUACAUGAUUCAAGAAAAUGACUGAUCCAUUGCUUAGUUCUCAUGAUUUUACUGUGUUUAGUUUGGUAUAUGAAGGGUGUCUUUGAUGGGCGGUGCGGGGUAGAUUUGGACCGUGCGGGGUAGAUUUGGACCAUGGUGUGGCUUGGGUAAACACUGGGAAGCCAGAGGGUCUCUGUGGAAUCAACAAGAUGGUUUCUUUGCCCACCAAAACUAAAUGAUAAAAUCAUUCUAUCUUUUUUGAAAAUGAUCACUAUCUUCAUAUUGAUAUGAACGUUAUCAUGACAUUGUAAUUUAAGUGUUUCCUUGUGACUUACGAAUUGAAAUGUUGUAACAAUGAUGGGGCAAAAAUAAGUUUUCAAACAAUGAAGUCAGAAUUUAGGUUAAACCGUCUACUUUCAAAAAUAAAAUAGAUAUUGGAAAAAAGAAAAGAAUAAGGUUUUAUGGUUGAUUUUUUUUCAGUAUUUUAAAAGAAAACUAUUCUAAUAUUUGUCAUUUUUUCAUUGGCCAAUUAUUUAAUAUUUAAUACUUGGUUGAGAAACUCAAUUUUCUGCCCAAUGGUAUGAGAGCAUCAUUAACUGGGUAUGCAACUCCCGUCUCUUAGUAUUAAUUAGAUUAAAAAAAGAAAAUUAGCAUAAUUAUGAGGAAAUGUAUCUUCAUCAGGGGAAAUAAGAAACACCUCUUCUGAGACACAUUGUUGUCUUUUGGUUGUUCUUGUGUGUUUCUCUCUCUCCACGGAAGCAAAUCACCGCAUCUCAAACCCGUCGACGGAAGCAAACCCGUGCCUCUAUCGAUAGAUCGUAAUCGAAUUGGGGAGGUGUAGAGGAACCGAUCAACAUGGGUAACACAGAUAAGCUGAUGAAUCAGAUAAGCUGAUGAAUCAGAUAUGUGGAUUUGUAUGAUAGUUUGAUUGUUUCUGGGUAGAGAGAAAGGUUUUGUAUGAUUGUUUGAUUGUUUCUGGGUAGAGAGAAAGAUAUGUGGAUUUGUAUGUUUGUCUGAUGAAUCAGAUAUGUGGAUUUGUAUGAUAGGUGAAUGUGGAUUUGUAUGAUUGUGGGAACCGAAAUUCGCACUGUCGAUUUCCAUUUAAAUUAGGAAAGUUAGGAAAACCCUAAUUUCCCAGAGGUCCCGGAUAUCUAUUAAACCACACGCCAAGCAAUCAGAACACGCGAUUAAAGACCAAAAGAAAUAAGAAAUCGUAAAAGAGAGCAAAAUGAGUUUUAUUCCGAAUCCGCGUAUGAGCGUUACAACAAGGUAGAAGCCUUGGCUACGAGAGCUGUCGGCGAGAUUCCUAGUUCUAACAACCUAAGACUGCAAAACCUAGUUGAGUCGCAGCUCGAAAUAACAAAAACGGAAAGUUGCCUAAUUGCUCUAAGUGCUAAGUUUGCUCUGAAAAAGUCUUCCCCUUAUGCCUCUCGCCUAGGACCCCUUAUAUACUGGCUCCAAGGUCGGUUUACGCCUUUCCUCUUCUGCCCUUAAGCCGCCAUAGCAUAAAAAUAGAGAUAUUCCAUUUUUUCCGAUCUUCGUAAUUAUCUUCAAAACUACGGGCUGUUGGUUAAGAAAUCGUAAGUUGGGCCUCGAGUCAUGUCUUAGGUACGUAGCGACCGAACUUUGGUUCGAGCUCGGUCGCUACGUAGCGACCGAGCAGAAUGGGCGUUUGGUCGCUACGUAGCGAUCCUUCUCGAGUUCUUGUCCGAUGAUUCGAGUCUCUUCCGUAAAGAUUUUCGUAAAGAAGAAUCUAUUUCAAAAAAGUAUUUGUCGGAGAAGUUUCCUACGUUUUUCUUCUUCGGGGAUUUGGACGUUAACUUCGUCGUAACCGUUUUCGACCCCAACAGUUAGCCCCCCAGCUCGUUAGAGUCGAGACUCUUGCGGGCGGUUUAACGAUUUUGUCGAAGUUAGGCGUAUUGAACGAAGUUUACUUCAAAUUCCGCGGAAGAGAAUUCUCGAGAAAACUUUUAUUUAAAAAAUAUAAAAUUCUGAGUCCCCAUUUCUAUAAGUAGUGAGCUCUUGUCAUUCAUUUGCUUCACACCUUUCAUUCUUCAAACCUUCGAAAACUCUCUAGCUCCAAAUCUCUCUCUUUUUUUAACAUGUCUUCUUCCCAUGGUGACAAGCGAAGUUCCGAUGUGGAGAUGGGCGAGGCUACAUCUCCGGCCCCGAUUCUGACUUCUCCGGUCGAAGCGCCGGCUUGCGUUGCCGAUCAUCUCUCCUUUUGAGAGAAAUUAGUUCGUCGCCAAGCCGAGAAAGAAAAGGUUCGAGCCGGCGCCGAGUUACCAUCCUCUUCUGCACUGGCCGUUGCUCCGGGUCAUGGGACCGAGGGCGUAACUCCGCGAGAUACGGGAACUCUCGCAGGCUCGGUUGUUCCGGAUGCUUCGGCUUUACCUGCUGGAUCGUCCACGACUUCGAUUCUUGUCGAAGAUAAGGAGAGGACCGCUGACUCUAUGCCGUCUCCUCUGGCCAGGAAGGAGAUCGUUCUAGCGCUGCACGCUCCUAGUGUUGUUCCGGUUACUCAGCCUAAGGGCCGGAAGAGGAAGUUUACCAAGGGCGGUGACGGGGAAUCUUCGCAGCAAGGAGGCUCGAGCAUAGCGUCGAGGCUUCGCGGAAAGGUUUGUCGCUUACUCACUUUCUUGCUCAUUGUAUAUUUUUCUAAAAGACAAAGAAUCUCUAACUUUCUUCUCGUUUCGCAGUUCGUGUCGUUGAUCGACGGGAUGAUCAGCGAGUGCGGUUCUGAGACCAGUCGUCUUGCCGGGGAGUUGUUGAAACUUUGGUCCAAAACCGAGGCCAUGCUGACGGCUGUCAAGGGUUCUCACUCCGUGAAAGUGUCGAAACUUGAAAUCGCGAUAGGGGAGCUCGAGAGGGACAUCGGGAAGACGGCGAGUUCAUUGCUCAAGGAGAAGAAAGCCAGGAAGGCCAAAUCUUCGGAGGUUCGUCGUCUUCAGCGUCAGAUUGAGAGCGAUGCAGGAUUAGUGAGCCGCGGGAUUCGAGAGGCCAAGGACGCUCUUAGUUCUGAGUUCCAAGCUCGCUUGGCGAAGAUCUCCGCCUUUCUGGGCUCUCUCGAGUGCAUUCGGAACAGGAAUUUAGCCUUGGCGACGAUCGAGGGUGGGAUGGCUGUGGUUCAGUUGUUCCAAAGUGAGACUCCUCCGACAUUAGAGGCCGAAGAGGCCCGACUGUCCGGCUGCAAAGGAGAUUUGGCAGUCGUGGAUGGAUAUUUCGAUCUUAUCCUAGCUGACCUGAAAUCCGCGUGCCUCCUUCCGACGUGUUCAGAAGGCCCUGUGGGGAAGGAUCCGGUACUCGGGGGUGAAGCGGCUCCAGGUUUAGAUGAAGCGACGAGUGAAGAGGGAGCGUGAGCUCUGAGGAUGACUUUGGUUAGAUCUCUUGCGGGAGAUUUUUUUUAUGUUUGAUGUUUCGGCCUUAAAUGGCCUUAUUUCGUGUUUCGGGACUGGCCGUGUGUGGCUUUGAAUCCCCGCCGCUCUGCGGCUUUUAUGACAAGAUGGUCGAGUUGCAUUUUUCAUAAGCUUACGUAUGGAGUGGAAGAAGGGUGAUGAGUUGUCGUCUCAUAUCCUUUUUCGAUGUGAAAUGUUUUGUUCGAGAUCUGUUUCGAGAGUUUUUCCGCGAGGUAUCGACUUCGCGGGAUAUCUGAAGAUGUCGAACAUAAACAUAGAGGCAUGGUUUUGGGAUCUCGUAUCUUUUGGAUAUCAUGCCUUGAGAUGUUAGAGACCAGUGCGCUGGGUUUAGGGCAAGACCUAGGUUUACUUUCGAUUUAAGAUUUUGUGCGGUGACUAGCCGGCUAUCGAUUUAUCUGUCGCGAUUUUAACCUGAUUUGUACCGAUUUAAAGUCCGCGAUAGGUUCUCGGCUUAUAUGACUUGUUAAAUACGAAUCGAGCAUCUCUCCGGAGACAAUUUUUAAGCCAACCGGAAGUGCUGGACCAAAAUUUUGGGUUUCUUUUAUAGCGCUAUUAUCCUUGUGUCGGAUGUACGAGAGUCAUCUUGUAAGAUGGCUAUGUAUGUUUAGGACGUUCAAGAGUUCGAUGUGAUCAGCACCGAACUUGGCAGCAGAUGCCGUCGUUUAGAGUUUUUGCGCAAGAUAUGUGUUAAAAUGUUCGUCAUUUUUGACGGAGUGUCCCUUUUUGUUGUUCGGAAGAAGUAACCCUCGAGGCAUCUCUCGUGACGUCUCGUGAUGCCAAAGGUUGCUUCUCCAAACGGAUGAUUUAUUUUCGAAUAUCGAAAAUGUUUUGCGGAUAAAAGAUAAUUUGCUUGGUUAAGAUAUGUCGGAAACAUCGAAGGCGUGGUCGGAUGUUUUCGAGUUUGAGAGUAUACGAGUAUACGUAUCCACUCCCCCCCCCUUUUUGAUGGAGGGGGGACAGCUGAAUUUGCUUUUUGACAAACUGCCUACGUACUCCUUGUGGAGAUCAAGCCGUCUCGUAGUUCGGUGAUUGCGAGUUGGUCAAUGAUAAUAUUUUUUGAGAUGCAUCGCGUUCCAGGUCCUCAGAAUUUUUAUGCCUUGCAUGUUGGCUAUUUCGUAGGAGCCGGCUCGGACGAUUUUUUCGAUUUUAUAGGGUCCAUCCCAGUUUGCUCCGAGUUUUCCCGCGUUUCGUUCAGUGGUAUUUUGGAAGACUUUGCGAAGUACUAGAUCUCCUCGAUUAAAUCUGCGAUUCCGUACGUUGGAAUUGUAGUACUUCGCGGCUUCGUGUUGGUAAUUUUGGAUUCGGAUGAGCGCUCGAUCUCGGUGCUCGUUAAUGAGAUCGAGGUCAUCGAGGAGCAUUGCGUUUUUGAGCUCCUCUCGUUCGGGAAGUAAUCUUCUUCGAACACCGGGGAAUUCUAGUUCUGCGGGAAUCAUGCAUUCCGUUCCGUACACCAGAGCCAAAGGGGUUUCUCAUGUUGCUCGCCUCGGGGUGGUACGGUGGGACCAGAGGACUCCCUCGAGUUCGUCGGCCCACCUGCCUUUUUUGGCCUCUAAGCGUUUCUUCAGUGCGUCGAGAAUGGUUUUAUUAAUCGUUUCAGCUUGUCCGUUACACUGCGGAUAUCUGGGCGUUGAUUUGUUAAGCCGUAUCUUCCAUUUUUCGCAGAACGCCUCGAACCGGGUGGAGAUAAACUGAGAUCCGUUAUCGGUUACGAUUUCGUAAGGAACUCCAUGCCUGCAGAAGAUGUUUUUCCAUACGAAACUUUUGACUUGGACAUCUUUUAUACUUGCGUACGAAUCUGCCUCUACCCAUUUUGAAAAGAAAUCGGUGAGGACUAAAAGGAAACGCUUUUGCUUUGAAUUAUGAAGGGGACCGACGAUGUCCAUGGCCCAGCGCAUAAAAGGAUAGGGCGAUGUGAUGGAGGAGAGGACUUCGGCUGGUUGUCGGAUGGUUGGAGCAUGCCUCUGGCAUUUUUCGCAUUUUCGUGCGAACUUCUCGCAAUCUCCGAUCAUCGUUGGCCAGUAGUAUCCAUGGCGNNNNNNNNNNNNNNNNNNNNNNNNNNNNNNNNNNNNNNNNNNNNNNNNNNNNNNNNNNNNNNNNNNNNNNNNNNNNNNNNNNNNNNNNNNNNNNNNNNNNNNNNNNNNNNNNNNNNNNNNNNNNNNNNNNNNNNNNNNNNNNNNNNNNNNNNNNNNNNNNNNNNNNNNNNNNNNNNNNNNNNNNNNNNNNNNNNNNNNNNNNNNNNNNNNNNNNNNNNNNNNNNNNNNNNNNNNNNNNNNNNNNNNNNNNNNNNNNNNNNNNNNNNNNNNNNNNNNNNNNNNNNNNNNNNNNNNNNNNNNNNNNNNNNNNNNNNNNNNNNNNNNNNNNNNNNNNNNNNNNNNNNNNNNNNNNNNNNNNNNNNNNNNNNNNNNNNNNNNNNNNNNNNNNNNNNNNNNNNNNNNNNNNNNNNNNNNNNNNNNNNNNNNNNNNNNNNNNNNUUCAUCCUGAUUCCAUACCGAUUUAAAGUCCGCGAUAGGUUCUCGGCUUAUACGACUUGUAUGGUUGGAACCGAGCAUCUCUCCAAGGACAAUUUUUAAGCCUCCUGGAAGUGCUGAACCAAAAUUUCGGGUUUCUUUUAUAGCGCUAUUAUCCUUGUGUCGGAUGUACGAGAGUCAUCUUCGUAAGAUGGCUAUGUCUGUUUAGGACGUUCGAGAGUUCGAUGUGAUCAGCACCGAACUUGGCGGCAAAUGCCAUUGUUUAGAGUUUUUGCGCAAGAUAUGUGUUAAAAUGUUCAUCAUUUUUGACGGAGUGUCCGUUUUCGUCGUUCGGAAGAAGUAAUCCUUGAAGCAUCUCUUGCGACGUCUCGCGAUGCCAAUGGCUGCUUCUUCCUAACGGCUGAUUUAUUUUCGAAAUUUGAAAAUGUUUUCGCGGAUAAAAGAUAAUUUGCUUGGUUGAGAUAUGUCGGAAACAUCGAAGGCGUGGUUGGAUGUUUUCGAGUCUGAGAGUAUACGAGUAUACGUAUCCACUCCCCCCCCCUUUUUGAUGAGGGGGGACAGCAAAAAUUUUCCUUUCGACAAACUGCCUAUGUACUCCUUAUGGAGAUCAAGCCGUCUCGUAGUUCGGUGAUUGUGAGUUGGUUUGUUUAGUGAUAGUAUUUUUUGAGAUGCAUCGCGUUCCAGGUCCUUGGAAUUUUUAUGCCUCGCAUGUUGGAAGAUGAUGUUUUUCCAUACGAAACUUUCGACUUGGACAUGUUUUAUACUUGCGUACGAAUCUGCCUCUACCCAUUUUGAAAAGAAAUCGGUGAGGACUAAAAGGAAACGCUUUUGCUUUGAAUUAUGAAGGGGACCGACGAUGUCCAUGGCCCAGCGCAUAAAAGGAUAGGGCGAUGUGAUGGAGGAGAGGACUUCGGCUGGUUGUCGGAUGGUUGGAGCAUGCCUCUGGCAUUUUUCGCACUUUCGUGCGAAUUUCUCGCAAUCUCCGAUCAUCGUUGGCCAGUAGUAUCCAUGGCGUUUGAUUUUCACUUCCACUUUUUUCGCUUCUUCCCCUUCCAGGCACGUCAUGAGUUGUCCGGAGAAUCUCCAUUUGUAAAUUUUGCCGUCUACUGUUACGUAUCGCGCGGCCUGUGUUCGGACUUUGCGGGCUGCCCAUUUCUCGGUGGGCAGGCGUCCGUCGAUAAUGUAGUCUUGAAUCUUCUGCAGCCACGGGGUAUCGCAGCCGUAAUCAGAUUGCUCCGAUUGCGGUUGUAUUGCAACUUCUUCUUCUUUGUCGUCUUGACCUUCUAUGAGGUUGACGACGAUUGGCGGUCCGAUGCUCGGGUGUUCGAUGAACUCGACCGGAAUUACCCUUUUGAGCCUAGGAUCAGAACUUGAUGCUAAGGCCGCGAGAGCAUCUGCCUGGACGUUUUCGGAACGGGGAAUUCGCGUGAGGGCCUAACAGUCAAACUUUUGAGCUAGUUUUCGGACCAGUUUAUGGUACGCAUCCAUCCGUUCAUCCCUAGCUUCAUACUCUCCGCUGUACUGUCUUGCCACUAACUGGGAAUCGCAGUAAGCGUGGAUGUUUCGUAUCUUCAAGCCGUGAGCCAAACGGAGUCCUGCGACGAGUGCUUCGUAUUCGGUUUCGUUGUUUGAGGCGUGGAACUCCAGCCUAAACGAUUGCUCUAAGAUCUCGUUCGUCGGAGAUGUGAGGUGAAUUCCGAUGUCUGAUCCCUUCUUGGACGAGGAUCCGUCGACGUGAAGGAACCAAGUGGAAUUUGGUUCCUCGUUGGUUAUGGUCUCUGUCGGUAAUUCGACCAAGAAAUCUGCAAGCACUUGUGAAUUCGCGCUUGUUCUUGGUCGGUACUCGAUAUCGUAUUCGCUAAGUUCUACCACCCAUUUGGCUAAUCGGCCCGAUUGACUCGGGCUAUGCAGGAUCGUUCGUAGGGGAAAAGUCGUGAGGACGACGAUCGUGUGGGAUUGGAAAUAUGGUCUUAGUUUUCGGGCCGAUGUUACGACCGCGCAUGCUAAUUUUUCCAUCAGCGGGUAUCUAGACUCGGCAUCCAGCAAGGUUUUGCAGAUAUAGAAAAUAGGUUUCUGUUCGCCGCGUUCGUCCCUGAUUAGCACGCCGCUCACAGCUGUUGCUGAUACAGCGAUGUACAAGAACAAAGGUUCCCCCUCCACUGGUUUUGCGAGGACUGGGGGGAAGCCAAAUACCGCUUCAGCUGUUGGAAAGCGUUUUCGCAUUCUUCCUACCAUUAAAAUUUUUUAUUUCCCCUCAAGACAUCGUAGAAAGGCAUGCACUCGUCUGUCGAUCGCAAAAUAAAACGGUUAAGUGCCGCGACUCUACCGGUCAACCUUUGGACUAACCGCUUAUUCUUCGGCGAAGCCAACUUGAUCAGUGCGUUGAUCUGUUUUGGAUUAGCCUCGAUGCCACAGAAUGUGACUAGGUAGCCGAGGAAUUCCCCUGCUGCCACGACGAAUCUGCAUUUUGUCGGGUUGAGCUUCAUGUUAUGCAAAUUUAACUGGGCGAAACAUUCCUCAAGAUGUGAUAUGUGAUCCUUUGCUUGGAGGGAUUUGACGAGCAUGUCAUCGAUAUAAACUUCCAUCAUUUUACCGAGUUGUUGAGAGAACAUACGGUUCACGAGUCGUUGGUAAAUAUAACAAUCGUCGUAGAGUCAACAUGAUCAUCGGAGGUUCGCAAUUCUGCAACGAUACGGUUUCGGCCAUCAAGGCUUACCAGAACCGCUUAUUCUUCGGCGAAGCCAACUUGAUCAGUGCGUUGAUCUGUUUUGGAUUAGCCUCGAUGCCACAGAAUGUGACUAGGUAGCCGAGGAAUUCCCCUGCUGCCACGACGAAUCUGCAUUUUGUCGGGUUGAGCUUCAUGUUAUGCAAAUUUAACUGGGCGAAACAUUCCUCAAGAUGUGAUAUGUGAUCCUUUGCUUGGAGGGAUUUGACGAGCAUGUCAUCGAUAUAAACUUCCAUCAUUUCUAACAGUCAAACUUUUGAGCUAGUUUUCGGACCAGUUUAUGGUACGCAUCCAUCCGUUCAUCCCUAGCUUCAUACUCUCCGCUGUACUGUCUUGCCACUAACUGGGAAUCGCAGUAAGCGUGGAUGUUUCGUAUCUGUCUGGGUUCAUCAUAAUUUGGUUGUAACCUGAGACGGCGUCCAUGAAAGACAGAAGUUCGUUUCCUGCCGUUGCUUCUACUGCGGUAAUCGAUCAUCCUGCCAUCUAUAACGUGAUAAUGGGAACCCCAUGGCUCAACGCUAUGCAAGCCGUUCCAUCGACGUACCACCUGGGUGUCAAAUUCCCGACCCCAAACGGAGUCGCAGCUAUCUGGGGAUGUCAGAAACAGUCGCGACUAUGCUUCCUUGCGGAGCACAAGUUAAGCCAGAUGACGACCUCUGCAACGGCAAACCGCAAACGCACGAAGAUUGAUAAAUUUUCGACCGACAACGUUUCAAGAAAAGACGAUUUAACAUCGUCUGCUGACGCAGACCCUUCGGGUGUCGAAACUCAACAUGAGUCCGAAGCCGACACUACAACUCAACCGGAACAUCCGGAAGAGAACACUGACCCAGCCAUGAUCUGUCGUGGACCGCGGAAGCUCGUUCAGGUCCUAGCUUCUGCCUGUUUUUGUUUGACGGGCUUGAAAGUCGGAUCGAUAUUUAAUUCGUGACACGUUAUGUCAAUGUCAAUCCCUGGCAUAUCUUCUGCGGCCCAUGCGAAAGUAUUGAGGUUCUUUUUUAGACAGGUUACGAGCUCUGUCCUCAAAGGCUCGCGGAGAUUGGCUCCGAUUUCGACGCGUCGUUCCGGAGAUGCUUCGUCGAGACAGACCGUGACCACAGGCUCGCAAGUUGGUUCGCGUUUUUCCUCUAGGGCCGCGAUGUUACGAGACUGCCAGUAGAGUUCAGCCGAAUCUUGACUUCGCGAACCUUGGUCGGAGACCUUUUUCUCCGUUUUUCUAGGAACGGUCUCGAGGUCUGGUCUUUUUCGUUUUUGUUCUGCGGCGUAACACACCUGUGAUACUCUUGGGUUUCUCCAUAUUACCUCGAUUCCGUUAGGGGUUGGAAACUUGAGGCAAAGAUGAUACGUGGAUGGGAUGGCACGCAUGGUGUUCAACCAUGGCGUUCCCAUGAUAACGUUGUAAGAUGCUGUUUGCUGACAGACACCCACGGACGUCCUGUGUGUACUGAACAACACUUGUCACGGUUCCGGCUUUGACUGCGAGUUUAAUCGAUCCGUAGGCCAUGGUCGUGUCUCCCGAAAGUCCCAGUAGUGGGCUAGGUUAUUUAACGAUUUCGAAUUGAUCGAUGCCCAAUUUCUCGAGAGUAUUUUUGAAGAUGAUAUCGGCCGAACUUCCGGUGUCGAUUAUCACCCUAGCGACGUCGAUAUCUCGGAUCAUCAGUUCGAUAAGAAGGAGAUCGUUUCGAGGUUUGGCUCGAUCGACCGUUGCUCCCCCGAAAACCUAAUUGAGUCGCAGCUCGGACCCUGUCGCACCACGAGGCGCUGUCUACGAGUCGGGUUGUUUGGGAAUGCAGCCCCAAUCGGGCGGUAAAUUCCGUCCAAGGCUAAAUAUGGGCGAGAGACCGAUAGCGAACAAGUACCGCGAGGUAAAGAUGAAAAGGACUUUGAAAAGAGAGUCAAAGAGUGCUUGAAAUUGUCGGGAGGGACCGGACCAAAAUCUUCCCGCGGAGAGAUCUCCUCAAAGAAACCAAUCUGGGGAUAAACGCGGCAGGAGGCCAGACGACAAAGGGAAAUAUAACAAUCGUCGUAGAGUCAACAUGAUCAUCGGAGGUUCGCAAUUCUGCAACGAUACGGUUUCGGCCAUCAAGGCUUACCAGCGGAAGGCAGAGUCAAGCGCAAACUGGCCUACAUGGUCUCCUACCCGAGAUGAUCAGAACUGCUCAAUCACCUUCACAAAGGAAGAAGUCGGCGGUAUCGAUCAACCUCACUGUGAUCCGCUCGUCAUAGACCUCGUCAUACGAGAUCUGGAAGUCGGAAGAGUACUCAUUGACACGGGAAGCACGGUCAAUGUAAUCUUCCGNNNNNNNNNNNNNNNNNNNNNNNNNNNNNNNNNNNNNNNNNNNNNNNNNNNNNNNNNNNNNNNNNNNNNNNNNNNNNNNNNNNNNNNNNNNNNNNNNNNNNNNNNNNNNNNNNNNNNNNNNNNNNNNNNNNNNNNNNNNNNNNNNNNNNNNNNNNNNNNNNNNNNNNNNNNNNNNNNNNNNNNNNNNNNNNNNNNNNNNNNNNNNNNNNNNNNNNNNNNNNNNNNNNNNNNNNNNNNNNNNNNNNNNNNNNNNNNNNNNNNNNNNNNNNNNNNNNNNNNNNNNNNNNNNNNNNNNNNNNNNNNNNNNNNNNNNNNNNNNNNNNNNNNNNNNNNNNNNNNNNNNNNNNNNNNNNNNNNNNNNNNNNNNNNNNNNNNNNNNNNNNNNNNNNNNNNNNNNNNNNNNNNNNNNNNNNNNNNNNNNNNNNNNNNNNNNNNNNNNNNNNNNNNNNNNNNNNNNNNNNNNNNNNNNNNNNNNNNNNNNNNNNNNNNNNNNNNNNNNNNNNNNNNNNNNNNNNNNNNNNNNNNNNNNNNNNNNNNNNNNNNNNNNNNNNNNNNNNNNNNNNNNNNNNNNNNNNNNNNNNNNNNNNNNNNNNNNNNNNNNNNNNNNNNNNNNNNNNNNNNNNNNNNNNNNNNNNNNNNNNNNNNNNNNNNNNNNNNNNNNNNNNNNNNNNNNNNNNNNNNNNNNNNNNNNNNNNNNNNNNNNNNNNNNNNNNNNNNNNNNNNNNNNNNNNNNNNNNNNNNNNNNNNNNNNNNNNNNNNNNNNNNNNNNNNNNNNNNNNNNNNNNNNNNNNNNNNNNNNNNNNNNNNNNNNNNNNNNNNNNNNNNNNNNNNNNNNNNNNNNNNNNNNNNNNNNNNNNNNNNNNNNNNNNNNNNNNNNNNNNNNNNNNNNNNNNNNNNNNNNNNNNNNNNNNNNNNNNNNNNNNNNNNNNNNNNNNNNNNNNNNNNNNNNNNNNNNNNNNNNNNNNNNNNNNNNNNNNNNNNNNNNNNNNNNNNNNNNNNNNNNNNNNNNNNNNNNNNNNNNNNNNNNNNNNNNNNNNNNNNNNNNNNNNNNNNNNNNNNNNNNNNNNNNNNNNNNNNNNNNNNNNNNNNNNNNNNNNNNNNNNNNNNNNNNNNNNNNNNNNNNNNNNNNNNNNNNNNNNNNNNNNNNNNNNNNNNNNNNNNNNNNNNNNNNNNNNNNNNNNNNNNNNNNNNNNNNNNNNNNNNNNNNNNNNNNNNNNNNNNNNNNNNNNNNNNNNNNNNNNNNNNNNNNNNNNNNNNNNNNNNNNNNNNNNNNNNNNNNNNNNNNNNNNNNNNNNNNNNNNNNNNNNNNNNNNNNNNNNNNNNNNNNNNNNNNNNNNNNNNNNNNNNNNNNNNNNNNNNNNNNNNNNNNNNNNNNNNNNNNNNNNNNNNNNNNNNNNNNNNNNNNNNNNNNNNNNNNNNNNNNNNNNNNNNNNNNNNNNNNNNNNNNNNNNNNNNNNNNNNNNNNNNNNNNNNNNNNNNNNNNNNNNNNNNNNNNNNNNNNNNNNNNNNNNNNNNNNNNNNNNNNNNNNNNNNNNNNNNNNNNNNNNNNNNNNNNNNNNNNNNNNNNNNNNNNNNNNNNNNNNNNNNNNNNNNNNNNNNNNNNNNNNNNNNNNNNNNNNNNNNNNNNNNNNNNNNNNNNNNNNNNNNNNNNNNNNNNNNNNNNNNNNNNNNNNNNNNNNNNNNNNNNNNNNNNNNNNNNNNNNNNNNNNNNNNNNNNNNNNNNNNNNNNNNNNNNNNNNNNNNNNNNNNNNNNNNNNNNNNNNNNNNNNNNNNNNNNNNNNNNNNNNNNNNNNNNNNNNNNNNNNNNNNNNNNNNNNNNNNNNNNNNNNNNNNNNNNNNNNNNNNNNNNNNNNNNNNNNNNNNNNNNNNNNNNNNNNNNNNNNNNNNNNNNNNNNNNNNNNNNNNNNNNNNNNNNNNNNNNNNNNNNNNNNNNNNNNNNNNNNNNNNNNNNNNNNNNNNNNNNNNNNNNNNNNNNNNNNNNNNNNNNNNNNNNNNNNNNNNNNNNNNNNNNNNNNNNNNNNNNNNNNNNNNNNNNNNNNNNNNNNNNNNNNNNNNNNNNNNNNNNNNNNNNNNAAAGAUGUAGACCCAAAAACGAGGAAGAAGAACCCUCGUAACGACAAGUAUGUCCAUCACGAGGGGGAAGAACUCCAAGGAGCGCACAAUUACGCGAUCGACUCAUACCAGGGCCAAGCCACGGGUAAUACGUGGACUCGCAACCAAGGAUAUGAUGAAAACACCUUCUGCGAGUUCCACCAGUCCCGAGGACACUCCACGACUAACUGCAAGGUCUUCGGAGCAAGGCUGGCCACGAACUACUAGCCGGAGAACUCUCGGAAGUGACCAGCGUGAAAGAUCUCAUCCUCGAGACCGAUCGCCCCCGAAGCCGGACCAAAAUCUUCCCGCGGAGAGAUCUCCUCAAAGAAACCAAUCUGGGGAUAAACGCGGCAGGAGGCCAGACGACAAAGGGAAAUAUAACAAUCGUCGUAGAGUCAACAUGAUCAUCGGAGGUUCGCAAUUCUGCAACGAUACGGUUUCGGCCAUCAAGGCUUACCAGCGGAAGGCAGAGUCAAGCGCAAACUGGCCUACAUGGUCUCCUACCCGAGAUGAUCAGAACUGCUCAAUCACCUUCACAAAGGAAGAAGUCGGCGGUAUCGAUCAACCUCACUGUGAUCCGCUCGUCAUAGACCUCGUCAUACAAGAUCUGGAAGUCAGAAGAGUACUCAUUGACACGAGAAGCACGGUCAAUGUAAUCUUUCGUGACACUCUCAAUCGGAUGAGCAUCGAACACGGAGAAGUAACUCCAACUCCGAAACCGCUAACAGGCUUUUCAGGCAAAGUAUCGAUGACCCUCAGAUCGAUUCAGCUACCAGUCAUGGCCAAGGAGAUCACAAAAAUCAUCGAGUUUGCGGUAAUCGAUCAUCCUGCCAUCUAUAACGUGAUAAUGGGAACCCCAUGGCUCAACGCUAUGCAAGCCGUUCCAUCGACGUACCACCUGGGUGUCAAAUUCCCGACCCCAAACGGAGUCGCAGCUAUCUGGGGAUGUCAGAAACAGUCGCGACUAUGCUUCCUUGCGGAGCACAAGUUAAGCCAGAUGACGACCUCUGCAACGGCAAACCGCAAACGCACGAAGAUUGAUAAAUUUUCGACCGACAACGUUUCAAGAAAAGACGAUUUAACAUCGUCUGCUGACGCAGACCCUUCGGGUGUCGAAACUCAACAUGAGUCCGAAGCCGACACUACAACUCAACCGGAACAUCCGGAAGAGAACACUGACCCAGCCAUGAUCAAGGCGGUCAGCACGGCGGCAACCGCCGAGUGAAAACGCUCGCGGCAUAAAACAGAACUACGAGAUGGCUUGAUCCUCGAAAGAGGUACGUAGGCAGCUCGUCGAAAUACGAGUUCAAUCCCCCUCUCUAAAAAGGGGGGGGGGGAGAGUGGGUGCGUAUACUCGUAUACUCCCACAUAGGAAAAGACGCGUUAUUGUAAUCAAAUUCUAUAGAGAUUUCGAAAAUUUUGACGAUCAAUAUGCGUCGCUUCUUUUUAAGACACUUGCAAAAGUCUCAGAACACGCCUAGAAAAUCUACAAACGUUAUUACUCUUGCCAGCAGCCUCGUACGGUCCAAAAUCGCAAAACAAUCUCACUUCAGCACCGAAAAUAUACGUAUAGUCAUCGAAAUAACUGCGAGACGUCGCCAAGUUAAAAAUCGAGAUGAUACGAACAAAUUGUCCGAACGCGACCACUACGAAUCUUACACUCCGUUCGUCGAUUGGCCCCGACGAACACAUCAGCCAUCUUAAACAAACGCAACUUGAUCACUCUUUUUAUCUUCAAACGUCCAACACAAGGACGAAAGCGCGCUACAAAAAAAAUCCGAAAUAUUUGUCUAGCAUUUCCAGUUGGCUUAAAAAUUGUCUCGGGAAAGAUGCUCGAUUCGUACCAUACAAGUCGUAUAAGCCAAGAACCUAUCGCGGACUUUAAAUCGGUACGAAUCAGGUAGAAAUCGCAACAGGAAAACCGAUAGCCGGCUAGUCACCGCACAAACCUUAAAACCGAGAGUAAACCUUGGUCUUGCCCUAAACCCAUCGCAUUGGUCUCAAAAAUCUCAAAGACAUGAUAUCUAAACGAUAAGAGAUCCUAAAACAUGUCUCUUCGUUCAUAUCUCAACGUUCCUGAAAGAUCGUAAAUAAUUUUUACGAAAACUCACGUCUCGAACAAACCAACAGAUUGAACGCCUCAACGAAGUUAAAUAUGAGACGACAACUCAUGUUUACUUCAAACCCACUCUAAACAAAGUAACUCAAACAAACAUCCAUUAUAUAAACCGCAUAGCGGUAGGGGUUCAAAGCCACCAACGGCCAGUCCCGACAAAAACGGCCAAAACAGGCCCAUACAAAGUUCGAAGGCCACACUCGGCCAGACAUAUAUGAACAAAGGCCACACUCGGCCGCUAAAUACUAGAUAAAGGGAAAAACUCCUUCCCGUCAAAACACUCACAGAUCAAAGUUAAAAUUCCCGGACAAGGAAGCUCCGAAUGCAUCCGCGGGAUAGUUCACUUCCUCAUCGUCACCGGCAAAAUCAGUCGUGGUUUCUACGGUAUCAGGAGAAACCGGGAUGGGAUCCCAGAAUCCCUGAAUCUUCCCAUCGAUCGGAGGAAUGAUCGUCUCAGCGUGAGCAUGAUCCUUCAUGCCACCCUUCAUUAACUCCAUCUCCCUCUCGAAAACGUAGUCAUCUUCCUGCGUCUUCCAAAGGCUCCCGACGGAGCCGCGACACUCACGGAAGUCGCCCAGCGAGUUGAAAGCGCCCUUAAGAUUCCCGUACUCAACCUGGAAUUGAGAAGCGCGAGUCUUCAUCACCUCGACAAUUUCCCUCUUGCCCUUCCGUUCCGCCCUACGAACAGCCCUGGCAUGAUCACGAGCGAGUUGAGCAUCUCGCGCCAACAUCUCGUCUCGCAUGCGAGCAAGAUCCUUUUCCGCCUUCUCCGCUUUAAAGCGAUAGAUUAUGGCCUCUCUAUGGCUCGCCUCAAUGGCCGAUCCAAGCAAGUUCAAGCCCUAUAAAACCGAUUGACACGUUAUAAGCAAAAAAAAAUAAAAUAAAAUAAUAAUAAUAAUAAAUUCUUAAAGUUUAUACCCCGUUAAUGAUACGAGACCCUUCCGCGACGAUUUUCGGCCUCCCCGACUCGCUCGUGGCCGGAGGAGCAUCGAAGCCCGACGGAAGACCAGCGAAGAAAUCAUCAAAGUCUGGAAUAGGGACCUCGCUCGUACCGCUUCCAUCGCCGAAAGCAAGGUCUAGAUCCCAUCCUGGAAGCAUGCAAUCGUCCACCGAAAACUCCAGGUCACCGAGGUUAAUAUCUUUCCCCUUCGAAGAGUUCAGCCCCGUCGCAGUCGUGGGAGCGGCGUCGGGACCUUGGUCUUCAUGUUCGGAAUCACUCCUCGUUUCUCCGCCCAAAGCAGGACUAGGACGCACAAACCUCAGCGCCUUUCGAACACUCUUCGGCGUAAAGGAAAUCCAGAAAAAAGGACCAUUCUUGAGCAGAUCCCUCACCGCAAUGAUGUCCUCAGGAAACGGAGCAAGAGGGUUGAUAAAGGGACGAUCGUUCGGCAACCUCUGAAACAAUGGGAUACAACACUCCUCAACGGACGCGGCGUCUACACGAACGAAGAAGAAAAACUUCUUCCCCGAGUUGAAGUUAGAAGUAAACCCCUUUACCACUGACAUGAAAUUCUGGGGAACCAGCCUGUACAUGUCCGUAUCCUUGAUGAUCUGUAACCGAAGAAGCGCUUCGAAGUGAUCAACGGUGAGGGAGAGACCAUGCUCGUAGCUCAGGAUCAGGAUUCAGUUGGCUUAUCGCCACCCCGAAACGACCCAACACACGGACUAUAAUCUCAGGGAUCGGGAACCACAAACGGCAGCGCACUACGAAUGCUUCGUAACAAGUAAAGUAGCCCUCCGGGGGACUACUAGUGCAUUCUCCUAGACGAGGAACCCUGAAUUCCACCGCGUCCGAAAUAUGGUAGAACGACCGCAUGACCUCGAGGAAUUCACUAGUACUCCUACUUGGUGCACCUGCCUCCACCGGUCGAUGGUUCAUGACCAGGAACGAUUUUUCUUUGGGAGGCGUGAUCGAACCGUAACACGUCACCCAACAUGCCUCGUUCUCGGCUGGGUCUACCGAAUGAGGAACGAAUUCCAUCUUCGGCACUCGAAGCUCUUCAGAAACGUUCGCGGGCAAUGACCCUUUCUUCGAACUCCUCUUCUUACUCGACAUCUCGUGUUUUUCUUUUUAAUCAAGAAGGAAAUGAUAGAGAGAAAAAGAAAGAACUUUUCAACAAAAUCUCUCUAUGAGAAUGAGUAAGUGUAAAGAUUGUGAAGAAAUUACCUCCCUUCUUAUAGGCAUGAGAAAUUACUAUUUACUUGCGGAUUUUUGGACACGAACUUCGCCCAAAUACACCAAUCUCGUCCGAACUCGCCAUACCGCGCAUUGGGAUCUCACUAGAAAUCCACGCUCCCAACGAGCUGGGGGGCUAACUGUUGGGGUCGAAAACGGUUACGACGAAGUUAACGUCCAAAUCCCCGAAGAAGAAAAACGUAGAAACCUUCUUCGACAAAUACUUUUUCGAAAUAGAUUCUUCUUUACGAAAAGCUUUGCGGAGGAAACGCGAGUCAUCGGACAAGAGCUCGAAAAGGAUCGCUACGCAGCGACCGAACGCGUGUUCCGCUCGGUCGCUACGUUGUUGGGGUCGAAAUUGGUUGCAACGAAGCUAACGUCCAAAUCUCCGAAAAGAAAACGUAGAAAUCUUCUUCGACAAAUACUUUUUCGAAAUAGAUUCUUCUUUACGAAAAAGCUUUGCGGAGGAAACGUGAGUCAUCAGACAAAAGCUCAAAAAGGGUCGCUACGCAGCAACCGAACGCGUGUUCCGCACGGUCGCUGCGUAGCGACCGAGCUCAAGCCGAAGCUCGGUCGCUACGUAGCUCAUUCUUCCGAAAUGUCGAUACGACAUUAGUCCAUGCAUUCUCGUCUACCCUUCGAUGCUAUCUCCCGAAGACAGUAGCGAACCCAUUUCACGUUCCCCGCCAUUCUAAGUUAUCGAUCAAACUUUACCGUAAAAACCGCGAAAAGUUCGUUCUUUAUCGAAAGAAGCCGUAAUAAACGCUUCGAGUCGGAAGACGGCCCAAAGGGACCUAAGACAUGACAUGAAGCCCAACUUACAAUUUCUUAACCAAACAGCCCGUAAGCCGCAUGACGGUUUACGCUUAGUUCGCGAGGAAAGAUAAAUCUCAAGUUUCCGCGGAUAGGUACGAAAUUUUGAAGAUAAUUACGAAGAUCGGAAAAAAUGGAAUAUCUCCAUUUUUAUGCUAUGGCAGCUUAAGGGCAGAAGGGAAAAAGUGUAAACCGGCCUUGGAGCCAAUAUAUAAGGAGUCCUAGGCGAGAGGCAUGGGGGAGGACUUGACACAGCAAACUUAGCACUUAGAGCGAUUUUAGGCAAUUUUCCGUUUUUGUUAUUCGAGCUGCGACUCAAUUAAGUUUUUUCCGUCUUAGGGUUUUAGAACUAGGAAUCUCGCCGACAGCUCUCGUAGCCCAGACACUUACCUUGUUGUAAACGCUCAAACGCAGAUUCGAAAUAAGAACUAUCUUGCUCUCUUUUUCGAUUUCUUAUUUUAUUACUAUUCUCGUUUCGUGUUAUGAUUGCUUGGCGUGUGGUAUUAGCAGAUAUCUGGGACCUCUGGGAAAUUAGGGUUCUCCUACUUUCCUAAUUUAAACGGAAAUCGACAGUGCAAAUUUCGGUUCCCACAUGGUACAUGGCUGAAAUUCACGUAGAAAAAGAGCAACCUCUUUUGUCCAGAAGCAGCAGUUACACAUGUCUUCACCCUUGUUGUGCUCAAUGUGCCAAAGAACCCAAUCAUUUUGGAAAAUAAAAGAACAAGGGCAACUGUAGAAUAACGGGACGACUGUUGAUAUGAACAUGUGGCUCUUCGUUAGGAACAUAUCGUUAUGAUCCCUAUGCAUAACGGGACGACUGUUGAUAUGAACCACCAUUCCGAUCUUAGCAACGUAUUCUCUUGUAAAUCGAGACAAGUACUCCCCAUCGUCACUGAAUAUUUUUCUUGUCAAUGCAUAGGUAUAAGACGCUGACUCGAAUCCUGCAUCUGCUGCUCUCUUUAUCAAAGCAAGUCCCUCUACGUGACGAUCUAGCCUGUAGAAAUAUUCUACACCCUUGACGUAAACAGUACUAGGGUUACCCUCCUCAAAGCAUCUUCUCAACAAUAAAUUUCUCUUGCCGACGUACCAAGGGAAUUUGAACAAAUCGAACGCAGCAUAAACCCCACCAUUGUUAGCCAACGCACGCAUAGACUUGGAAGUAGCCCGGAGUAUAUAAAGAUCUGCAAUGGAGUUAUGUGCCACGCGUUGCACCACUAAAGCCUGGACCUCUGCCGGGAGGCUGAGUAUCGGAAAUUCUGGCAUUAUGAGAAGAUAUCUGAUGAUACCCUACUAUUAUAGGGAGAUGUGUUUAUAAAACUAGUACAAAGAGAAAUAUUCUAACAAACAAGUAGUAUUAAUAAGGAGUGGACCUGUAAGUAACCAACACAAAUGAAGGGAUGUGUUUUCGAAAGAGUGUCUUGUGGAUUAAACCAACACUUGCAUCUGUAAGCAGAUUAUGCAAAAGUUUGCAAUGAACCCAAUUCGGCAAACCCAAUGCGCCAAACCCUAACACCAUACCCUAAACCCUAAACUUAAAAACCCUAAACCCUAAACCCUAAACCCUAAACACUAAACACUAAACCCUAAA